Molecule: long non-coding RNA, 135659 nt
Filed under: Cucumis sativus (cucumber)
Lineage: Eukaryota; Viridiplantae; Streptophyta; Magnoliopsida; Cucurbitales; Cucurbitaceae
Description: long non-coding RNA (CSAT_LNC002011)
Source: RNAcentral
AUUUUUUUUUUGUUUAAGUUCAUGUACAAAAUAUCUUUUAUAUUUGGUACACGGUCUUGAACCAAAUAACAUUUUGAAAAAAAUAAUACAAGAUUGAUAAUUGAUUGAAAACAAAUAUCAUUCUUUCAAAAAAAUAUAAAAGAAAAAUUGUGUAAGAGAGAAGAAAGAAGAUGGAAAGGAAGCCACCCAAAAUUCAAAAACGACCAGAAAACUUGAAAUAUUUAAACCCUAAACCCAAUCUUACCUAUUUAUACUAUUACUUAUUUGAAGAUUUUUUAUUUAAUUUAUUUGUUUGCAACCCUAUCUAAAUAUGAUAUAUAUUGCAUACAAUUAUGAUAAUAUUUCAACUAAACUUUCUUUUCGUCUUUUUUUUCUUCUUCUAGGCAAAUAUUGUCGUAUUCCUUUACGUCGUUCAUCCCCGUAGAAAUAUAUUAUCUACAAUAUUUCAAAUAAUCUCUAUCUUCGUCCAUUUUUUCUUCUUUCGGUAAAAUCUUGUAUUCCUUUGUUGUUCAUCUUCUUCAUAUUUUCCUCUGAGUUUAUAUUUUUCUCAUCUAUAUUUUAUUAUAAUAUACAUCAGUAUUUUUUGAUGAGUUUAUAUUUUUUUCAUAUAUAUAUUUUAGAUAUGACCAACAUUACAAUAUAUUAUGAUAGUUUUUUCAAUGAUUCAGACAAGUAUAUUAGUUACAGUAUAUCAAAAACUUUAUUUUAUGAAUAGAUGUUUUUUCAAGAGUUAUACAAUAGUCUUAUAUCCAAGUUAGAUAGUUUUCUUAAUAUGGAUAGUUUGGAUAUAUAUCUUUGCUUAGUUUCUAUAGAAUGUCUGAAAGAGGAUUUAGCCUAUUACCAAUGCAAACAAUGUAAAAUGGGUUUAUCACGUAGUGGCGGAUCUAAAAAAAUUAUUGACACAGAGCUUUAUAGUUUAGUCAAAAUAAUUUAUAAGUGAGUGGUUUUAAAAAUGGAUAGUUGCAAAAUUUAGCUAUUAGAUUCAAAAUAAUUGAGUAUAUAACAACAUUUUAAAAAAUUUGCAAAUAUAACAAAAUUUGUCAAAUUCUAUCAACGAUAGAUCAUGUUGUAAAUAUUGGUCUAUCACUAAUAGACCAUACGAAUCUAUCAACGAUACAAGUCUUAGUUUUGUUAUAUUUGCAGUUCUUUUAAGAUGUUGUUAUAUACUUAAUUAUUAUUCCUAAAAUGACCCUCAAUUAUAAAUACCUUUUAAAAAUUAAUAAAUAAUCCAACAAGUUUACUUAAGAUCCAUAAAUGUUUUCAAGAAUUAAUAAAAUAUGUAUAAAACAAAUGAACUAAUACAAAAAAAAUAAGAAUGAUUUGAAAUAUGAAAACCAAAUGCAUAUAAAUAAAUUACAAAACUUACCUCAUAAAUUAAAAAAUAAAAGAUAAAAUUGAAAAAAAAUCCAAAAAAAGUUGAAAUAUAAAUUUUAAAAACUAAAACAAAAACAAUAAUAAAAUAUUAAUACUAAGGCAUAUAAAUAAAGUAACAAACUUAAAAGUAAAAAAAAAAAACAAACAACAAAAACUUACAUGACAAUCUACCAAAAGAUGUUGAAGAAGAGAAAAAAAAAAAAAAAAUUUAAAAGCUAAAAGAAAUUAAUUUGAAGACUUAUAAAAUAAAAAAAUAAAUGAAGUUGAAUAGCUAAAUUAUGAAGCUGGGAGUUGAAAAAAAUUAAAAAGCUACAAAAAAAAAUUAAAUUGAAGUUUUAUAAAAAAGAAAAGUAGUUUUAAUUUGAAUGAAGUUGAAUAGUCUACUAACUUUAAUUUUGGUGGUAAAGAGUGGAUAAUUAUUAUUUCUUAGAUGAAAAUCGAAUGAUUGUAAUUUGGGAAAAAAAGAAAAUUUUAAAAAUUAUUAUUAAAUAGGUGGAAGGGCGACAAGUAUUAAAAGUUAAAUAUAUUUAUUUACAUAUAUUAUGUAAGACGAUAAAAUUGAGAGGGACUUGAGUCCCGUGGACUUAUACGAAAUUUGUUGGUGUUACCACAUAAUAACAUCAAAUGUAAACCAACACAUUGCUCUCAUUGUUUAUUUAUUGGCUGCUACACACUAGACCUUCCAAUUCAUUGCCAACAAACAUUUAGGCAUAUGAGAGCCGUUUUUUCUUUAAAAUAUUGACAUGUCCAAGAUUUCUUCCAAUUUUGAAAUAAAAAACCAUGACUUUUUUUCAACGAAAGCUUUGUUGAAAAAAAUCCUUGCAAGUCAUUGCCAUUGUAGACAAUUUUCAAUAUCGUACUAUUAAAUCAAACAAGUAAGUUUUGAUUUUGCAAAGCAUAUUUAAAAAUUGUUUAUAGUCAGUACGUGCUUCAUUUUGUUUCCAUAGUGACAUAUCUUUAUGAGUUGUUAUUAGGUUUGAUGGUGAACAUACAUAUACUCUAUAGAUGUUUAUUUAAUAGAUUAUUGACAAGCUACUUUUUAUGUUAUCAAAUACCUGAUAAAGAAGAAAAAUAAGUAUAUCUAGGUCGGAGUUGAGACUUCUAAAGAUAUAGUACAUUAUAUUCAUUGUGAGCAUGGUUUGAACAUCAGUUACCUAAAAAGUUUGGUGUGCAUGCGAAGCUGCUUUCAAGAAGUUAGAGGAUCUCUUAGGACUCGUACAAGAUGUUACCAGCAUUUACGUACAUGUUGAAUUUGAACAACCCAUGUGUAUGUUCAUAAUAUAUACCCUUACAAAAACAAUAUAUAUCUAUGAUGUCACUUAUUAGACAUUAUUUGUUGAAUCAAUAUAUCCAUUUUUCACGUCCAUAGGUUUUUUUUUUUAUUGAAUACAAGGUUGAUGGUGAAGGUAGAUUCCUUUAUUUCUUUAUGGCAUUAUAUGCUUCAAUUUCUAGUUGGCAGCAUUGUCGUCUUGUUUUGUCCAUUGAUGGUACAAGUCUAAAAAAUAAGUAUGGUGAUACUCUUUUACAAUUAAAUUUUUAGACAGAGGUAAAGAAAUGACAAAUUGACGAGCGACAAGAUGGGCUCGUGACCUGCUAUAUAGGGACUCUACUCUUUUGCUUUUGCUCUUUACGUGUUUUUACAUGAUGCAACUGUUUGGAAUUUUAUUUUGAACUUAAUGAAUACUUUAUGUUUAUUUCUUUGGUCCAAACUAGGUUUACAUUUUCUAAUAUUUUACUGAUGUACCAAACUUUGCUUGAGAAACAUUUGUUUUGUAUUUAUUUAAUAAAGAAGUAAAUUUUGCUAUGUUUUAAAACCAUCCGAAAGUAUUGUUUAUUUUAAAGUAAUGAUCUCAACUUAGCUUGAAAAGUCUUGGGUCGUUACAUUUUUAGAGAGUCAAAACAAAAAUUUGAUGAUUUUUCUUGUGAUGAAUUAGAAUUAAAGACAAACAUCGUGAAAACCGUGAAAGAGGGAUAUGCUUCCAAUAGCCAAACCAAAGCUCUAUUGCUAGAAUAACCACCAUUAAAGUUUUUAUUGCCAUUGUUUCUAUUCUUAAAUGGUGAAUUAGAAGAAGAGAUUUACAUGGUAGAAAAAAUGGAAAGCUGACAAGUGAUAUGAAGCGUCCAUGAGACAUGCCUAAGUCUCACUUCCGCUUUUAAUAAUUAAUUUUUUUAGUAUUUGUGAUUUUAAACAUUUUAUUUCAAUAAUUUAUUAUUUAUUUUUAUCAUCUUUAAAAUUUGUAAAACUAGUUGCGGUAUGUUUUCAUGGUAUUUCACCGAUUUUGUAAAAUUUUGUUUUAUAAACAGUUGUUUGAAAGUUAUUAUAAUAAAGAUCUAGUUUUCUCCCAUUUUAAGACAAUGUCAAAAUUGUUAUUUAUCUUUUAGGUAAUGACCUCGACUGGUAUAAAAAGUUGGAUCGUUACACCAUACAUGUUAAUGCUAGUACUAUCAACAUAAUAUUCAAUAAAUUAUUAGACAAUAAUCAUCACGAUUUAAUGAUGAUUUCGUCUUUUUUUGAAAUAUAUGUUUGUUUAUGUCUUAAUUAUCAUUUUUACCAUUCUUUAUAUCCUAGUUUCUAAUUGCUUCCUAAGAUUUAAAAUGUUAGACGGUAAUUCCGUAAGUUAAAAGUUUGGUUUCAAUUUAGUUCCUAAAUUUCAAUUUGUUAUAAUUUUAUCUUUGACAUUUAAGUUUUGUUUCCUACAUUUCAAGAUUACCUUGAAUUUUCACUAAAUAUUAUUCACUUUCUUUAGUGACCAUGUUUAUUGAUUAAUUAAAAGAAUAACUAGUUAAAAAAUUUAUAAAACAACCAUUGUAAAUGACAAACUACCUAAAAUAUUUACAAAACAUAACAAAAUUUCAACUCUAUCAAUGGUAGACACCGAUAAAUAUUGAUACACUUCUAUUAGUUUCUAUCAAUAUCAUUGAUAGAUCAUCCACGUAAAAGUUUAUACCAAUACCUAUUACCUAGAAUGUUCGAACUCCAUAGAAUUAACGAUAGAACCUAUUUAACUAAUUAUGUAUGGAGAUGGCCGUUUUGGAAGAUUAAUAAAUUGCUUUUGUCCUUUAUGAAUUAUACCAAAAUAUGUAAUUUAUUAAGCAAAAUCAAUUUAAUGCUUAAGAUUUCACUUUUAAAGACUACUUUUAUACCAUAAAAAUUAAUUUAUACCAAAAUACUUUCAAUCAUGCCAUACAUAUAAAAUAAGAUUGAAACGUAUCAACACAAGUAUCCUACUGAAUCAUGGAAAAUUUCCUCAAAUAUGUAUAUAAUUAAGGAAAUGAACAUAGUAUUCAGAAGGGAAAAACAUACCCUAUUUAACAAUAUCCAUGAAUUAAUUACACAUCUUUUUCAAAACGUAUCAAUUAAAAUUAAAAAUGGUAUAAGUGGUUAGAUCUUUCUAGAUAUACAAAAUUGAUUUUGAUUGUAUAUAAAUGGUUCAUAUCCUAAAGGGUUAAAUGAAUCACUCACGAAAUUCUAAGGCAAUUUUUUAAAAAAUGAAGGCUGUGCUUUUUAUGUUCGUAAUUUUUGCAUUAUCUUUUAACAUUGACAAUUGUUAUGCAGCCUCCAAAAGAAUAGCUCCAUUGACAUCAUGGCAUGUGACCAUUAAGAACUCUCAACCAACUACUGCUUUGGUAGUUCAUUGCAAGUCUAAAGACAAUGAUUUGGGUAAACAAUUUACAAAAUUAUUACUUCGUUCAUUUUUUUUUUCAGUUUUUUAUAGCUUAUAGAUAAACUAUUUACUUUCUGUACGUAUUUGUUCUUGAAAUUUGACAUUUUUGGUUUAAAUCUUAAUUUAGUUAUUCAAAGUAUUGUUUUAUUUUAACCCGUUUUAGCAGCCAUUCAUUUUCUUGCUAUUGUUUUCAUCUUACUAUUUUCUUUUUUAGCUUUCAAACUUGGCUUGAUAUUUAUUGGUAGGAAGUGUGUAUAUAUGUAUCUCUCUAUUAUUUUUGUUAAUUAAAAUUGUGUAGUAACAUAAAAUUUUGAAUUUGCCACUGAUUUUAGGUCAGAGACUUCUGGACAUUGGGCAGUCAUUUGAUUGGCAAUUCGAGAUGGAUCUUUUUGGAACAACGUUGUAUUGGUGCACCUUUACUGGCGCAGUAAAGCAUGCUUCAUUUGAAGUUUUUUGGCAAGAGGAAACAGGUCAUACAUGGCUUGAAACUCAUUGCUCUAAUUCAGGUUGUGUUUGGGAAGCUAAAGAUGAUGGAUUUUAUUUGCUUAAUGGGUCUACAAAUAAAUUGGACUUUGUUCAUCCAUGGUCAUAAAGGCCAAUAUCUCCAUAAUAAAACCGAUGGAUAAUUAUUUUUUGUUUAGUUUUACUUUUUCAUUACUCGCAAUUGUACUUUUAGAAAGGUUCUAGAGAGGGAUCCUGAAGACUGAAGUGCACUGGCCUCAUCAUUAUGUCUCAGACAUCUCAAUAUUUGAAAUAAGAUUUAAUUUACUCUUAGUCUCUUGCCUCUUUCUCGGUUCUUAUCUAAAAAAGUCACAUACUUCAUUCCUCAUGAUCUUGAAUGCGCAUAAAUAGUGGUUGCUGUGACAACUAGCUUGGGUGAAAUAUAUUAUAUAUAUCAUCAUUCAAUAGCAUGACGAUGUACUAAAUAGUGUUUUUAAUUGAUUAAUUCAUUAGACAACUUCCUAAUUAAUCCUCAUUUUCUUCCAGUUUUUAUCACACAUCUUUUCAUAUUAGAAGCUGAAGGGUAGUGGUGUGGGUUCUUUGCUUUGCAAAUGCACAGCCCAAAUUUUCAUUAACAAACUCAAUUCAUGAUCAUACCACAGUAAUCUUCUGGAUCAUUGUAAGUCAUACGAAUAUAACUUCCUUCUGUAGAUAAUAGUGCACUUUCCACCUACCAUAUAACAUCAAAUAAUACUCAAAUUAGUAACUAAAUUAACUAACUAGUUAUCUUCAGAAAUGUUUGGUUAAACACAAGCAAAGUUUAACUAGAAAAAUGAAGAUUGUACUAUUGAUGUCAAAGUUUAAGGUUUGAUUUGUUGGAAAUGCAACCAAAGUUUCACAUUUGGCUAAAUGAGAGAACAUACAAUUAUUUCCAGUAGCAUGAGGCAUUUGUAGGUGAAACAAAAAGCAAAGUCAUGAAAAUUUAUGUCAAAAGUUGAUAAAACCAUCUAGUAGCUAGUAUCUCUAGAGGUUAAUUUUAAACGAUUCCUUAUUCCGUUAUAUUGUAAAGAAAAAAGUUGGUAACGUAGGUGUUUUAGGCUAGGAUUUUCCCUACCUGAAUCGAUGAAGGUGAAGAACAAGAUCAUUGCAGCUAAGAGAGCAAAUGUGAUAGGAAACUUCAUGUUCAUGAUUUUGAGGGAUGUUAAUAACUUGGUUUGCUUUUUAGUUUUUCUAGCCGAACGCUCCUGUAAUUGAGGUUAUUUGUAGGUUUAAAGUAGAAAAAGGUCUAGGAGAAAAGGAAGUAUGAAGAUAUAUGUGUAAAGGUAACUUAGCUUUGCUUUAAAAAAGGGGAAAAUAAUAGAAAAGGUAAGAAAAUUACUGUGAAAAUAAGAUAUGUAUGAUAUUUGAAAAUUUUGGGUGGUUGUGAAAACUUAAAAUUAAUGAGAAAAUCAUAAUUAGAGUUUAAUUUGACAAAAUGAGAAAGUUUGUAAUCUCACAUUUAGAGUUUCAAAUGUUCCAACCACAUAAAUUAUAAAAAAAGAAAAGUUAAUUUUUUUCUUAAGAAAUUUUUGUCUACAAGUAUUAUCUAAUUUAAAUAAAUAAAAAAAAAGGUCAACUAGAACAAUAGAAUUAUCAAGUUUCUAUUUGGAAAAAUGACAAACCUAAUUUGACAAAAAAAGUUAAAAAUAAAAUAAAUAGAAGUUGGCAAAAGUCCAUCAUACCCCCCAAAUAUUUAGCAUGUUAGCUACCUUAUGCAACUGAAAGAAUAUAUAAUUACACUUUAAUAAAAACUAACAUUAGAGCCUAAUUAAUCAAACAAUCUCACUAAUCAAGAUGUUUUUUAAACAACCCACCUAGAGUCUUCAUCUUCAUCACUUGCGAUCUCCAAGCCUCCAUCUUCAAGCUCGUCGUCUCCAAUCCUUCAUCUUUCAUCGUCAAGCUCAAUAUACAAUGGUCUUCACAAACUCACCAUUCCAUCUCCAUAACAUAAAAAUUUGUACCUAAAUCAUCAAGCUCACAAUCUAUAAACCCAACGUCACUACAAGAAAUCGGAGUUAUCUCGACGUAGACUUAGGUGUCGGGAUAAAAGACGUCGUAAGAAGAAGCUUUCCCAACGCCGUAAAAAAGGUGUUGGCAUUGAGCAUAUAUGCCGACAUCGACUUGAAGAUGUUGAGACAACAUAAGCCUUCCACGACGCCAUGCACAAAGAUGUUGUAGAGACAUUUCAUUUAAAUAAUAAUAUAACUUUUUCGUUGUGCCAUGCAAGUACCCGUUGACAAUGUCCCAUAUGUGGCGUGUAUAUGCAUAGCGUCGACAAUUGAUCCGUCUACGAUGACGUUGGCAUUCACCGCGCCGACAAAGGUUGAACCUUUAAAUAAUCAUGACAGCCGUUCCUCGAAGCCAAGAAGUGUCACGUUGAGAUAGACCUACCUUUUGCUGACGUAGGGGUUAACCAUGUAACGAGAAAUUAUGAUGUUUGAAAGAUUUUUAAAAAUUUUUCACGACGCCCGUUGGUAUUUCAUAGAAAAAAAUGACACACUCAAUUAUGGCGACGCGGUUGGGGUGUUCUCAUGAUGUUUCAAGCUGCGUCGCGAGAACCCUUGUUAUUAAAGUUUCCAUGUUCACAGAACAUAGAACACAAAAUAGAGAAAAGUGAAAAGAGAAAGACGAAGCGAAAGAGAGAAGAGAGUUUGCCAUGCCGUCUUUCAUCCAUCGUCACCGUCGUCCGUCAAGUUGUUGCCUGUCGUCGUCACCAUCUGCCGCCCACCGUCCUAUCGUUUUCCACUUACUUCGUCAUCUCUACUGGUAAAAAUGUAGUAUUUGGUUUUCUUUUGUUUCUAAAUAAAUAUAUAUUAAUAUAUUAUAGAUUAUAGAUUAGGUUGUAUGUAUAUUGUAUAUUGUAUGUAUAACUUGUAGAUGUAUGUGUAGAUUGUAUUUUGCAUGUAUAAUUUGUAGAUUAUAUAUUGUAUUUGUAUUGUAUGUGUAGAUUGUUUAUUGUAUGUAUGUUUAUUAUUAAAUUUGUUGUAUGAAUAAGUAAAUGUUGUUAGAAUUUAAAUUAAAUUGUAAGUAUAGAUUGUAUAUUGAAAUUGUUGAAAGUUUUUUUUAAUUAAAAUGCAUAUUGAAUUGUUUAAGAAUCAAAUUAUAUGUAUGAAUGAAAUUUUGAAAAUUGUAAUAUGUUAGGGUUUAAAUUCAUGAAAUUGUGGUUAUGAUUGUUAUAGAGAGAUAUAAAUGUAUUGAAAUUGUUGAAUUUGAAAAAAUUUUAAAUUGUUGAUAUAGUUUAAAUACUUGAAAAACUUUAUUGAUUUGUUGUGGCUAUUUUGGGGUUGUAGUAGCUUGUAAUUUAUUAUUUGUGAAUAUGAUUUGUUUGUUAGAAGUAAGGUAGCCGAUAUUAAGUUAGAAUUAUGGUAGCCCUUAGUAUAUGAUAAUUUUUAGUUUAAACUUAGAUAUAGUGAAAGUUGGGAUAUUAAAUACUUGUGAGGUGAGACUUAUUCAUGGAGUAAAUUUAGCAUUUGAGAGGAUGAAUAUAAGACUAAUUACACGUAUUUAUGUUUUAAGUUUUUAACGAUGGACAUGUGUUAGAUGAAACUUGGGAAUAAGUUCUCGGUUGAGUAUAGAGAAAGAGUUUUUCAAUUUUUAGAAGUUGAAAAGUAUCACGCCAAAUGAGUACGAACGGACAAGGUUUCCAUGCAAAGAGACGUAUGAACUAAAAUUGAGACUCAUUAAAGGGUGUGUAGAGAAAUUUUUUAACCAUUGGAAUAUGGUCCUCCUACACAGAUUGGGUGUUCCAUGGAGAGCCAGUAAACUUGUAUAAAGGUAUAGAAAGAUUUGAUGCAGGAACUAGCAGUGACCCUUUCCAAAUGAAGGAACUAGCAGCGACCCCUUCCAUGAAGGAACCACUAGUAAUCCAUUUCCUGAAGAAAAUGAAAUAUUGGAUAUGUCGCAUGAUUUAAAAGCUUCGAUUGAAUACGAAGAAGAAACUGCAGAGGAAUGUUUGGAGAACGAUAUGUCGUUCAAUAGUGGUGUAGAAGAGGAGACGACAAAUAUAUUUUAGAAGUUAUUAAAUCAAGCACGUCGUAAGCUAUACCCCGACUAUUUAGAAUUUUUAUCCCUAAAUUUUUUGAUCACGUUGAUGCAUGUGAAGGUUAUCAACGGUUGGAGCAACAAGUCAUUCGAGAUGUUGUUAGAGAUAUUAAAACGUGUGUUUCCAAUGUGCAGUAUCAUCCCUAGCUAAUUAUACGAAGCCAAACAAAAAUUGUGUGACUUGAGCUUGUGAUACGAAACUAUUCAUGCCUACAAGUACGACUGUGUAUUGUACUGGAAGAAGUUUGGGGAUUUGAAAUAUUGUCCAACUUGUGGGGAGUUUCGGUAUAAAAUAUGUCCUAACAGAGGGAAAAACUUCUGCAUAAGGUAUUCUGCACUUUCCUUUGAUAUUAAGAUUACAACGAUUGUUUGUAUCGCAAGAGGGCUCGUCUGAUAUGAGAUAAACGAGUCAAAACGGAGGAUGUGUUAGAGACAUCCAACGGAUGCAGAAGGAUGGAAGCAUUUUGAUUAUGAAUUUCCUAAGUUUGCUUCAGAUCCACUGAACGUUUGUUUGAGAUUAGCUUCUAAUGGGUUCAAUACCAGUGCUCCUCUAAUGACAACAUGUUUAUGGUCCUACCAAUAAACAUAAACCCCUUUCGUGCCAUAGAGAGGGUAUGACAUUUUGUUCAAGUUUUAGAGACACCAUUUAAGAGAACACUCAUCUACUUACCCUAAAGUAGAGAAUGAGUGAAUUUCAUCUUGUGUAAUUAUGUUCCCAGCUCUCCACUCGGUCUUAUCCCCAAAAUGAUAAGCUUUUUGAGUCGACAAUCUAGUCACUAUAACCCAUACAAAUUAAAGGAUAGUCCCCUACGAACAGGAGUUCAUAAUACAUUCAAGAUUAAGACUAAGUUAUCUAGGUCAUUCUAGUGAAAUAGAAACCUAACUAGUUAACGGAGUUACAUCUAGUGGUUACUAUUUCGCGGUCUGAUCUUAUGCAAACUCAUUGCAUAGGAUACCCUCAUUCGCAUGUCAACUACACGAAUUCGUUAUAAAUCAUUGUGUUUGUAUCAAAUACAAAGUAUGUCGAAUUCAUAGUGUUACUAGGAUAAGGUACCAAGUCUUAUCUCUAUAUUAUAGACUCUUUAAGCUAAUAUCAAACAUUGAUCCAUGUAUGUCUCUACAUACUGUUCAAGACUCACUAAACAUUGAUCCCUAUUGUCACUUCUUGAAUGCAUGAGGCCUUAAACGCAUGAGGUCUUCCUUUCUUCUGUUUGACUCUUCAACUCUUUUGCUCUCUAAGAUUAGAGUCGACUUCUUAUCAUCCUCUUCUUUCUUGCUUUUCGCCACUAAGGCUGCUCUCUAUAGAAAGUCCCUAGGGUGUAAAGGUGGCACUUUCUUCUUUACCUAGAUUGCCUAGCUACCUCUAUUAGCAAGGGCGGAUUCAUUAAGGGGCCACGGGGGGACACGUACCCCAUCUCACAUUAUCAAUUUUUGUAUUUUAAAUAUUAGUUUUGAAGUAUUAGAUUACAAUAUUAAUGGUACACUUUGAUUUUAUCAAUGAUAAACAUUAAUAAAUAUUGAUACACUUUUAUAGACCGUCUAGGUAGAAAUACCAUAAAAAUUAAUUUAUACCAAAAGUACUUUCAAACAUACCUCUAUAAAAUAAGAUUGAAAUCUAUCAAUGAUAGACAUUAAUAAAUAUUGAUAUACUUCUAUAGAUGGUCCAAAAAGAAAUACCAUAAAAGUUAAUUUAUACCAAAAGUACUUUCAAAUACGUACAUAAUUAAGGAAAUGAACAUAGUCUCCAGAAGAGAAAAACAUCCCUAUUUAAUAAUAUCCAUGAACUUAAUUAUCCAUCUUUGCCUAAAUGUAUUAAAUAAAUUAGAUAUGGUAUAUGUGGUUAGAUCUUUCUAUAUACAAAAUUGAUUUUAAUAUAUAUAAAUGGUUCAUAUCCUAAAGGGUUAAUCACUCAAGAAAUUCUAAGGCAAUUUUUUUAAAAAAAUGAGGGCUAUGAAUAGUUUGUGUGUGCUUUUUAUGUUCGUAAUGUUUGCAUUAUCUUUUAACAUUGACAAUUGUUUUGCAGCCUCCAAAAGAAUGACUCCAUUGUCAACAUGGAAAGUGACCAUUACGAACUCUCAGCCAACUACUGCUUUGGCUGUUGAUUGCAAGUCUAAAGACACUGAUUUAGGUCAACAAUUUACAUAAUUAUUACUUCGUUCAUUUCUUUUCUUUCGUUUUCUAUAACUUACAGAUAAAUUAUUUACAAGUUGUGUUUAACUUUUGUGUGUAUUUUUUCUUUAAAUUUGACAUUUUUGGUUUAAAUCUUAAUUUAGUUAUUGAAAGUAUUGUUUUAUUUUAACCCCUUUUAGCAACCUUUCGUUUUCUUGCUACUGUUUUCAUCUUUCUAAACGAAUUUUUAGCCAAAUUCAUUAACAAGUUUUUAAAUACAAUUUUCUUUUCUAGCUUCCAAGACUUGGCUUGAUAUUUAAAACAUGGACUAAAACAUUGGCAGGAAAGUAAUUUUGUUAAUGAAAAUUGUGUACAUGAACAUUAUGUGUAACAUAAAAUUCUGAAUUUGCCACUGAUUUUAGGUCAGAGACUUCUGGAUAUUGGACAGUCAUUCGAUUGGCAAUUCGAGAUAAAUAUUCUUGGAACAACUUUGUAUUGGUGCACGUUUGCCGGUGCAGUAAAGCAUGCUUCAUUUGAAGUUUUUUGGCCAGAGAAAACAAAUUGGCUUGGAACUCAUUGCACUAAUUCAAACUGUGUUUGGGUAGCUAAAGAUGAUGGGUUUUAUUUGCUUAAUGGAUCUACAAAUAAAUUGGACUUCGUUCAUCCAUGGUCAUAAAGGCCAAUGCCUCCAUAAUAAAACUGGUGAUUAUCAAUAAUUGUUUUCUUUUGUUUAGUUUGACUUAUUCAUUGCACACACCUGCACUUUUAGAAGGCUCUAGUUUGAGGGGAUCCUGAUGUACUGCACUGCCCUCAUCAUCAUGUAUCAAACAUCUCAAUAUUUGAAAUAAGAUUUAAUUUACUCUAAGUCUCUCGGUUCUUGGCUAAAAAGUCACACAUACUUCAUUCCUCAUGAUCUCGAACACACAUAAAUAAGAGUAAUCGAUCUAUAACAUUAUAAGAGAAAUACCCAGUUGUAUCAUAAUCUCAUUGAUUCAUAUAUAUAUCAACUUUUACAUCCAAAAAUACAAAAUAGAAGGUUUCUAUGACAACUAGCUUGGGUAGAAUGUAUUAUAUAUAUCAUCAUUCAAUAGCAUGAAGAUGCAGUACUAAAUAGUGUUUUGAAUCGAUUAAUUCAUGAGACAAUUUCGUAAGUGAUUUUCAUUUUCUCCCAGUCUUAUCACUCAUCUUUUGAUAAUAGAAGCUGAAGGGCAGUGGUGCGCUCUUUGCUUUGCAAAUGCACAGCCCAAAUUUUCAAUCACAAACUGAAUUCAUACCACAGUCUUCUGGAUCAUUAUUGCAAGUCAUAUGAAUAUAUAUAACUUCCUUAAUUUUGUAGACAAUGGUGCACUUUCCGAUACACAUAUAACAUCAAAAUAAUACUCAAAUUAGUAACUAAUUUAACUAACUAGUUAACUUUAGAAGUGUUUGGUUGAACACGAGCAUAGUUCAACUAGCAAAAUAUAUAUAUAUAUUGUACUAUUGAUGCAUGUCAAAGUUUAAGGUUUGAUUUGUUGGAAAUACAAUCAAAGUUUCAUAAUUGGCUAAAUGAGAGAACAUGCAAUUAUUCCUAGUAGCAUGAAGCAUUGUAUGUGAAAACAAAAAAGCUGACGAAAUCAUACCAUCUAGCGGUAUUUCUAUAGGUUCAUUUUCUUUAACAUGAUUUCCUAUUCCGUUAUAUUGUAAAAUAAAAAGUUGCGGGCUAAUGGAGUUGUUUUAGUCUAGGAUUUUUCCUACUUGAAUCGAUGAGGGUACAGAAUAAGAUCAUUCUAGCUAAGAGAGCAAAUGUGAUAAUUAAUUUUCUUAAUUAAGUUUUUUUAUGCUAAUAAUUUGGUUUACUUUUUAGUUUUUCUAGCCAAAUCCUCUUGUAAUUGAGGUUAUUUGUAGGUUUAAAGUAGAAAAAGGUAUAGGAGAAAAGGAAGCAUGAAGGUAUAUGUCAAAAGGUAACUUAGCUUUGGUUAAAAAAGGAAAAAAAAUAGAAAAGGUCAAGAAAAAAUUACGGUGAAAAUAAAAUAUGUAUGAUAUUUGAAAAUUUGGUGUGGUUGUGAGAACUUAUGGAGUUUAAUUUGACAAAAUGAGUAUAUAACUCGGUUGAUAAAAUUUGUACUAUCAACUUCAAAUUUAGAGAUUCAAUUGUUUCAACUAUAUAAAAAAAGUUAUUUUUUUCUUUAGAAAUUCUUGUCUACGAGUAUUAUCUAAUUUAAAUAAUAAUAAAAAAAGUUCACUAGAAGAAUAAAAUUUUCAAGUUUCUAUUUAGAAAAAUGACAAAUCCAAUUUUAUGUUGCAAAAAUGGCAAAAAUAAUUUUAAAAAGUCCAUCAUACCCCUAAAUGCUACUUUCUGUCACCGAAAGAAUAUAUAUUACACUUUAAUAAAAACUGACAUUAGAGUCUAAUUAAUCACACAAUCUCAAUAACCAAGACGUUUAAAGAAAAAAACACCUACACAGACUCUUCAUCUUUAAGCACGGGAUCUCCAAGUCUUCAUCUUCCAUUUUUAAGCUCGAUAACUCCAACCCUCCAUCUUCGAUCUUCCAUCUUCAAGCUCAAUAUACAAUGUUAUUAACAAAUUCACAAUUCCAUCUUCAUAAUAUAAAAAUUUGUUCCUUCAUCUUCGAGCUGACGGUCCUACAAACUCUAACGUCGUUCCAUUUUCAAACAAAAAUUUUAUCUUAAUUAAAGCCACUGAAUGUAACGAUCCAAACUCUUAAACUAAGUGAGGUUAUUACCCUAAUCUCUACAUCUACUAUGUCACACCCCCGCCCGAACUACCUGAUAGCUUAGCCCGAGAGACGACGUGAAGCCUUUCGACAUCGCUAUCUUCUAAUGAUACUUGAUGACCCUGCUAUAAACAUGUUAGUCUUAUAUGUGAAAUACUUAACAUGUAACACAACACAACGAAUCAAUGAUAAACUCAUAAAUACACAUGAGUGCAGCCUUGACUUAACUUACUGAUAUGGAAAGUAAACCUAAUAGAGGCAUUCGUAAUCCAACAUAUAAUAAUUUACAAGAUGAAAUUGCUACAACACUUUACUAAUGUUUUACAAGGUCAAACAUAUAGGAUUAUACAAACACAUUAUACAACUCCACCCACGUACUGAAAAUCAAACUAGAAGCUUCUAAUGGACUGUGGCAAUGUAUCAGACAUUUGGAACUCCAUUUUAAAAGGGUGAGCUAUAAAGGUUCAGUAAGUGACUAAAUUUAAAAUUGUUAACCUAGAAAUCAUAUUGCACAUGAUAAACCUUUAAUUAUGUGUAAAUUUGUUUAAGCAAAACGUUAAAUAUGAACAUGUAGUGAGAAUAGCUUCCUCAAAUACUCAGCAAGUAUGUCACUAAAAUCUAGCAAGACAUUUCAUAUAUAUUAAAUAUUUUAACUAAUAUGACAAAUCUACGUUGUGUAGGGCUCGUUCAGUGUAACCAAUAUUUCAUAGCAAUACUAACUUUAUGAUGUAGUGUGCACGUCCAUCACCUCUGAAAGAAUCGUUGUCACGGAGUACACUCAACAUCAACAAAGAAACAUAUAAUCUGUGUGGACAUGAUACCAUACAGUCUCAAGCUCAAUACCACAAUCAUGUAGUCAAUAGAAAUCUUAGAAAAUCACAUGAAAACAUGAAAACAUGCUUGCUUAUCUUUAUCUUGCGUAAAACUCAAGCUUACUCAGCUUGUUCGUGAAAAAAUGGAAAUCUUAAAGCAAUACUUGAUAAUACAUACUUUGCUUAAAACGAAAUCAUUUCAACUACCUUGUCAGAAACUCAAUAAUCAUGUGCUCAUAUGUAAAUUUUAUUAAGACAAGUAAGUUCAAAACUCAUGCUUGAAAAAUAAUCGUACAAAACAAUGUAUCGUUCAUAAAUUUGAAAUCAACCGUAGUUGAUUUUAGAAAUCCUAAAUAAUAAUUUUAGAAAUCAUUUUCAAAACUUGUUUUGUCACUCACAGUCUCAAGCUAGUUUCCUGAUCGGUAAACUUGACUUAUUUCCUCUCGAUCGGUAAAACAAACCAAAAUCGAGCAUCAAAAUUCUAAAUAUUCUUGUCGUUAUAUGAUAUGCUUAAAAUAACAUAAGUAAGAUAAUGUACUAAAGAUGUGUACAUGAAUUCCAAUCUUAAGAAAUAAAAUCACAUUUUUACACCGUUUACCAUAAUUUUUCAUAUUCAAUACACAAACUUCAAACAUUUCAAUACUUAACCAAAAUGGGUGUACUUUUGAUUAAAUUCUUCAUAUUAAAGUCCUCUAUACUUAUUUGGAGGAACAAAGACCAGAUUCCCAGUGGAUUUAUCCAGAAAUUCUUCAAAAUAAAGCUAGUGUUAUGCAACCCUUGUGUCUUUUUCCUAAAAUUAAACUAUUUUCCAAUCAUAUUUGGCUCAUGUGAUCUACAUUAGGGAUGUAAGAAUAUGAGUUGAAUCCGAAUAACCCGAACUACCCAACCCAUAUUAUAAAGGUUGAGUUGGGUUACGUUAAAAUACAUGGAUUGGGUUGGGCUAAAAAAAUUUCAAUCAUAUUUGGCUCAUGUGAUCUACAUUAGGGAUGUAAGAAUAUGAGUUGAAUCCGAAUAACCCGAACUACCCAACCCAUAUUAUAAAGGUUGAGUUGGGUUACGUUAAAAUACAUGGAUUGGGGUGGGCUAAAAAAACAUUUUUUUAGGUUGGAUUGGAUCUCAGGUUGGAGGGUCGAAAAAUUCGGUUCAACUCAACACAACCCAAAUUAAUAUAAUAUAUAUAUAAUAAAAAAACAAAUUAGGUAUAUAAACUUUGAAUUUAUUGUAUGAAAUUUUGAAUUAUGUAUGUUUGAAAUUUAAAUGUAACAAAUUUGAACUUUUUUAUAACCAUUAGAAACUAAAAACGAAAAAGAAAAAAAAACUAUACAAUCGUAUAAUCAAAUUCAUAUUUUACAUGUUGGGUUAGAAACUAAAUUCGGGUUGUCAACCCAUAUAAUUCGAAAAUAUGAGUUGGGUUGAGAAUGUCUCACAACCCAAUCCAACCUAAUCCGAUUUCAUCCCUACUUAACCAGAUUUCAUCCCUAGUUAAAUGUUUCUAAAAUUAAAAAAAUUGGAAGAUAAGUUUCAAAGAAAAAAAAAGUUUAAAAAUCAUUUUAUUAACUAGCCUUAUUAUUUCUUUUGAUUUCUUAUUUCUUCCUUUCUAUGUUCCAUCCUUCAACCUUUUUUUUCUUUUGCUUAAUAGCUCAAUAAAGGAUCAUUUAGACAUUUUAGUCCAAAUUAAUAUAAUAUAUAUAGUACAAAAAUAAAUAAUCGCAUAUCACGUCCAACCAACCUUUUAGCGUUUCUUCUCAAAUUUCUCAAAUUAAAAUAUAUUAUUGCUAGCAAUUAUCAAAUAUAGUAGCUAUCACCUAAUAGAUAUAAGUGCUAUUAGUGAGGCUUUCAAUUUUAUAAAUGUGUUAUUAGUUGCCAUUAUAUCAACUAUCAGUGAUGACUUUUACAAGUGAUCGUCACUAAAGAGCAUACUUGACAUGUUUUUUUUUUUAAAAAAAUAUCAACUAACAGAUCAACAUUUGCUACUUGUACAAAUAUUUUAUUCUUGUGCUAUAUUUUUAGUAUAUUUUUCAAAUUGGGUCAUUUAUUUACUAUAACUCUCCAUCAGUUUAUUUCAUUAAAAAACAAACAAAUAAAUCUAAUUACAAAAUGAUUCCAUCUAUUAUAAAAACAAACAAAUAAAUCUAAUUACAAAAUGACUCCAUCUACCCAAUCUAACUCGUUUUUUUCCCAACAAAUGAAAAAAUAAUGAACCAGACUUUUAACAGUAAAGAAGAUGAAAUGGAAAAUGCGCAUAUGAAGCUGGAAACAAGAGAGCCUUCCUGAGGUAUAUCUUAUGUGAUAUUCCAUGAGUUUAACUUUAAGUAGAGACCGCAUUCAAUCAAUACUUACAAAUUACAAAAGAACUUUAAACAGAAAUUAGGAUUAAAAGCACCAAACAACCGUAAUCACUAUGUACAAUAAUAUACCCCCUCCCGAAAAAAGAAACGAUGGGUUCGCAUUUCUACAAAAUUUCAGUGGUUACUGAUGACUCCAGAACGGGGAAGUCCUAAGCCUACACUUCAAACCAAAGAAAAGAGCAGAGCCCCCUUCCCUCCACACACAAAGCUUCAGUCAAAUACCAAAACCAAACCCAUUUCCCAGUUCUUGGAACAUUCCUCACUUAUCGUGGUUUCGUGUCCUCACUUGAUUCCCUGUAUUCUGGCUUCAGCUCAUACGUUCCUUGGUGAACACCCUUGUUGUUGUAGACACAAAGGUCUUUAAGUAUUUCCUUCAUAUAUUGCUGCAAACAGAAAAAGAAAAAGAAAGAGUGGAUGUUUCAGGCUUUAAUCAAACCUCGUGGUAGCCUAACAAGAAGCAUAUUCAAGAUAUCAAUUACAACUGCAGUGUUUCAGGUGAGCAGUCCAUUUGCAUUUUUUCCAAAGAUGCAUAUUGCAUAUGUUUGAGAGAUGAGUGACCUUUUUCUAAAUGAAAAAUUGGGAGUGAUUUAUUUUUAUAUUCCAGAAUUAUGUUCAGGUCAGUAACAAACAAUGUAAGACUCUAGUCACAAGUUAAAAGAUUCGGCAUAAAACCACAGUUUCAUUUAUCUAUAUUUGUAUUUAUCGAUAUGGUUUCUAUUUUAUAUAAACGAAAUAAACUACAUGAUAAACUAUACAUGCAAGCUUAGUAUCUGAAAGGUGUACAAUCGAACUCUACCUUAUGAGAUCUGAAAACAAGAAAAAUUUUGUAAUUGUAGCUUAGCCCAAAGUUUAAUCUGAGGGAAGGAGUUUUUCACCCUUCCAACCCUUCGAUUCUAUAGACUGUAUUCCUUUUGGAUAAGUCAAUGCUCUUUCUUUGUUUCAUAAAAAUGAAAAUAGUAAAAUAAUAUAAAAGAACGAAAAAUAAGUCAAAGAUAAAUCUUACUUCAGGUUGGUCAGUCUCUUGAAUCAAUUGUUUUGACGUCCAAUAUGGCUGUCUUUCAAAAAGCUUAAAAAUAAUCUUCUCCAAUUCUCCACGCUCCUUUCUCAACCGUUUUGUCUCCGACCCCUUGCUCACCACUUUCUUCUUCUCCUGUACCAAAAUUAGCAUCUUUAAAAAAAUUCUUGGAAGCAUUUGGGCAAACUUCUGACUGGCUACGAGGGAAUGUAAUACAGCACAGGCGAAAUCAAAAUUUAACUUGAUAAUGAUAUCAAAGAAGAAAUGAAGGUAGUAUAAUUACUGCAGCUCCAAAUGACAAUACGUCCAUCCCUGGCAUAGGCCUCAUAUGUCCUCCUGUGACAUGAUCAAUCACCUAUAUAGAAUAUUUGGAAAUGUUAACCAAGAGAACGUGAGAACAAUAAAGAAAGAGACCAAACACCCAAGUACGCUGCAUAACACAAGUGAAAAAAGAAACCUGAAUCUGUCUGCUUUUGGUCAUAGACUUGUGAGUUCUUUCACGACAGAGUUUCCCAUACCUCUCAAGAUUCUGAUCAUGUGGCUUCAUGUCAAAUUUGUUCAGUAUUUUCCCUUCAAUGGUAAACUUCCCUAAAAUGAAAGAAGAAUUUGAAGCAUUUUCAGUACACCCACAGAGUUUAUCAGUUAUAUAUGUUUAUCCAGUAAAUAAUUAUAAAAAUUCAAGAUGAAAAAUAGAAGCUAUAGCUGCCGUGCUACAGAUUUCUAGCAGUUGACCUCUACUACACAACUUAUUGUUUGCCAUGUAAAGUAGAAAUUUUCAAAAUUGAUCAUGCUGAUAAUUAAAUACGAGUUUUCCAUACUAUAACUCGCUUAAUGAAAAUUUCCUCUACUAACAUUAUAAAACCUCAGCACCAUAUGCUGGAAAGAACUUAUAAAUGUGUCAUGACAACAAAUGAUUAAGAACUCUUGUUAAUACAAAUACGCAAUGUUUCUGCUGAAUUUGAUCAGUAACUGGCGCUAUGUGCAUUGAGAUAAAUUACUACAUCCCUAGCUGCUGAAAGAUGUUUUAGUUUUCAUCAGAUAUAGUAAUACUAUUCAUCCGUAUGAGAUCAGUAGUCCACUUUAAUAGCUUUCAGAUACAAUUAGUUUAUAAAAGACUCCAAAUAUUGUAAGGUACCUGACUGAGUCUCGACACGUCAGAUGUUGGACAGAAAAGGAAUUAAAGAGGAUUAUUGAAGGAAACAACACAGAAAGGGAUGGAACUUGGAAGGCUUAACAAUGAUGGUGUGGGUUCAACUAAACGCAGUCUCUCAUACGAACUCCCACGUAAAGUUUUUUUUUUUUCUUUUUUCUUUUUAAACAAUAAACACACUAUAAAUAUCCAGCAAGAAGUGCAUCAAGAGAUAGGCCCAAACCUCAAUUCAAAAGAGAUAAUAGAAACAAGCUGAGGGCUAUUGAUGAUCAAACUCAUGAUUUUACUAGUAUAAAAUGAUUAACUAAUAUUGAAUCAUACAAAUUGUGAAAUUAAUUCUUAAUUCGCAUAUGGUCUGAUUUUUGAAAUCAAUAAAAAUAGCUAUUCACAUCCAAGAUUGACGAAGAUGUCAAUAUCAGUUGAACACAUACUAUAAAUUCAAUCUCAAAUCACAAUCAGGUAAUAGUUCAUUCAGCUUAUUACAAGCAAACAUUUGAAACAUCAUAUUCAUGGGUCAUUUUCUAACGAGCAGGCCAGAGUGCCAUAAACUAACCUUGUGAUGACUCGGAAAAUACAGACAUUGGAAUGAAGUCUGUAGACAUAUUCAAUGAGUAGGACCUUAAUGCAUUUCCAGAGUCGGUGCUAGCCAAUUCCAUGGUGAACUAAAAUCACAGAGCCAUUGUUAGUUGAAGAAAGCAAAAAAUGGUUGUUGAUAUAAUUAUUCUCAUGUUUCUUCUUUAAUAUAAUAGCCAAUGUAAGAAGCCAUCCUUAAAAAAGGUUUCGGCCCAACUUGGUAACUAAUAACUGGUAGCUUUUUUCAAAUUUGCAAGUGUACCUUAGGCACAUAUAACUAAUAGUAAUAGAAGAAUAUUUUUCUUAAUUAGAAACUGAGCUUUUAUUGAAACAAAUGAAAGAAUGCAAGGAUAUUAAAAAAAAUUAAGUCCAAACAAAAGGAGCCAAUCAAUAAAAGAGGACUCAAAUCAAGCAAGAAAUGGAACUAAGAGAAUAAUUAUUUUUUUUUGAUAAGAGACAAGUAUAUUCAUAUAACAAAACAGAACAGCCUAAGGGCGAGGGAUGAGAGGGCCCUCCCCGGAAGAAGCUAAGGAACUAAGACAUAAUGGCCUUCCAAUUGUUGAAAAUCAUAGAAAGGCUAUAAUUACAAAAGUGUUUGGUGUAAUUCGUACUCCACCAAGAGGCUGUGUGUUGAACCACAGUCCAAAAAGAAUCAAAAGAAUUAAAUCUAUCGUCAAAGAUUCUGCUAUUCCUUUCUUUCCAAAUGCUCCACAAAAGGGAACGCGUCGCGCAUUUCCAUAAGAUGUUUCCUUUAGGGCUGUAACCUCUAAAGUUAAGACCUUCAAUCAUCCAUCUAUCAAUCUUGCUAGGAAGGCAAAGCUCCAAAUCGAAAAUACCAAACAGAGUGUACCAAGCUUUUCUUGUGAAGGGACAAUGUAGAAAUAAAUGAUCCAACGUUUCCUCAUCUUUAGCGCAUAGGCAACACAUCGAGGGGCUAAGCAAAGUGUUCUGAAUUUUUUUUUGUAGUUUCUCAUGGGUGUUGAGGCUUCUGUAAGCAAGCGACCAUAAGAAAAACUUCACCUUCUUCGGGAUUUUAUUCUUCCAAAUCUGACGAAUCAAGGGAACGGCAAUGUUGGGAGAUCUCUUAGUUAAGUUAAGAAAAGUAGAUUUUGUAGUGAAGUUGCCAUUUAUGUUAGGAAUCCAUUUAAGACUAUCAUUCCUUUCAGUGGGGGCCCACGAGUGAAGAAUUUCUAAAGCUGAGGCUGCAUUGGCAAUCUCGUUGUCGAGCAUAUUUCUUCUAAGGCCCAAAUUCCAAGAAUGAGUAGCAGUACACCAGCAAUCAGCCACAUAAGCUUCCUUAUUUAGCGCCAAAGAGAAUAAGUUAGGGAAUUUUUCUGCAAGUGUUUCCGCGACACACCAUUUAUCCUUCCAAAAUUUGAUUUUUGUUCCUUUUCCCAACACAAAAGCAGAAAAAUUGAAGAAUAUCUCCUUAUGCUUUAAAAUACCAGCCCAUAAUCUAUGAGAUUUUCCCCUGUUUGGAUUUUUGGUAGACCACCCAUUCUCAUCUAAACCAUAGAUGGCCACAAUUAAUCGCCUCCAUAAAGAGGUUUCUUCCUUGCUAAACCUCCAAAACCACUUAGUGAGAAGAGCAAUAUUCUUUUGCCUAAAAGAGCCAAUCCCAAGACCACCGUAACAAGUUGGGGCGGAAGUGCAUUCCCAGUUGACGAGAUGAGCAAUUGGAUUCGUAGAUCCACCUGUCCAAACAAACUUCCUGAUCAUCUGUUCCAAUCUAUUAAUAAUGCCAACUGGAGCUUGAGCAAGGGAGAAGAGAUAACAAGGGAGGCUGUUGAGAACUGAUUGCACCAGAGUUAGUCUACCCCCUUUGGAGAGGGAUACAUUCCUCCACCUAUCAAAUUUGUGUCUGAAUCUCUCUUCAAGAUUGUUCCACAUCUCUUUUCUAUUAUGACCCCUUCCAAUAGAGAAGCCCAAAUAUUUAAAGGGAAGAUUAUCAACCGAGCAUCCCGUAGAUUCACUAAAAGGAGCUAAGUCAUCAUUGCUAAGGUUAAUGCCAAUCAGGGAUGUUUUAGCUUUGUUAAGGGAAAGACCGGCUCCCAUAAGGAAGAUAUUAACCACCUUCCACCAGUUCUCUAGAUUUCCAUCCUCCCAGGAAGAGAAAAGAAGCGUGUCGUCUGCGUACUGAAGAUGGGUUAAAUCUUCUGUCAGGUUCUCAAAAUGAAAGCCUCUUAAACUCCUUUUCUCAUUACAGUAGUGGAUAAGGCAACUAAGAGCAUCUCCCACAAUCGUAAAAAGAAAAGGAGCAAGAGGAUCACCUUGACGAAUGCCCCUUUUAGCAAUAAUUUUCCCUCUAGGCCUCCCAUUGACAAUUAUGGAGAAAUUAGUUGUCGACAAGCAUCCCCAAAUCCAUUUCCUCCAUCUCUUACCAAAGCCUUUAAGUUUCAUGAUCAUAUCAAGAAAAGACCAAUCCACCUUAUCAUAAGCUUUCUCCAGGUCGAGCUUCAAAAGCACGCCUUUUCUGCCUCUUAAAGACCAUUCGUCAACAGCCUCGGAAGCAGUUAAGAUAGCAUCAAGGAUUUGCCUUCCCUCCACAAAAGCCAUUUGAGAGUCAUUAAUUAUCGAUGGAAGAACUUUUUUAAGCCUUGAAGCAAGCACCUUGGAGAUAAUUUUAUACAAGGAGGUAAUCAAGCUAAUUGGUCUGAAGUCACUGACACGGCCCGCCUCUUUCUUUUUGGGGAUGAGGCAAAUAUAAGUCUCGUUACAUCUUCUAUUAAUAACUCCGUUUUUAAAAAAAUCUUGGAACACCCUUACGAGGUCGGGCUUCAGAAUGUUCCAUGAUUUUUUAUAAAACUCUCCAGUCAUGCCAUCAGGGCCAGGGGACUUGAGACAACCCAUAUCAAAAACAGCUUCUCUAAUUUCUUUUUCGGUAAAAGGAGCCUCAAGUAAAUUCGAAUCCUGUAAGCUAAGGCCUCUCCAAUUAAGACCGUCGCAAAUAAACGGCGAGGAGACCCUUGUGCCAUAUAACAUUGAAAAGAAGCUAAGGAUCUCAUCCACAAUCUCCUUCUCUGUGACAAGAGUCUUCCCAUCAAUACUAACCAAGGAGGAAAUAAUACUCUUACUUUUGCGAGCCGAAACCCAUCUAUGAAAGAAGCUUGAGUUUUCCUCCCCCUCCCUAAGCCAAUGAAGCUUCGACUUCUGAAUCCACAACUUCUGCUCUUUCGCAAUCAAAUCAAGCAGAGCCCCUCUACAGUUUUCUCUUUCCUUCACAUUUGCCUCGUUGAGACAGCUUGACUCUUCAAGUGAGUCAAAAGAGUUAAUCUUAUCAAUCAGCACCUGUUUUUGGGAGAAAAUAUUACCAAAAGUCUCCUUAUUCCAACUUUUUAGUAUGGCUUUCAGACCUUUUAGCUUUUCCAUGAAAGAGAAUAUAGGCCAGCCAUCAGCCUCCAAACUGCCCCACCAGUUCUCAACAUUUUUAAAGAAAAGAUGAUGAUCCAGCCAAGCAUUUUCAAAUCUAAAAGGUGUGGGACCCCAGGAAUGAGCCCCCAUUUUUAAAAUUAUCGGAAAGUGAUCCGAUGUGGUACGAGGAAGUCUUUCCACACUUACUUCUCUAAAGAACUCCAUCCAAGGCUUGGAAAGAAGGAAUCUGUCGAGCUUUGAAGCAGCGGGCCUGACCCCUGAUCGGGACCAAGAGAACCUUCCGUUUCGGAAGGGAAUAUCCACCAGGUCCAAUUCCUCAAUCAGGUUGUUAAAACGAAGCAUACUUCUAGUCGGGCGAGUGUCGGAGCUCUUCUCAUUCAACCAUCUGACUACAUUGAAGUCACCCCCUACGCACCAGUUAUCGUUGCACAAGCCAUAUAGGCUAGAAAGCUCCAUCCAGAAUUGGUCUCUACGUUUAUAAGAUGAGGGGCCGUAAACACCUGUUAUCCAUCCACAGAAACCAGCAUUGAGUUUACAAUGAAUAGAAACAGAGAACUCCCCUUGAAUUGAGUCAUCUACCGUGAGUGAAUCCUCUUUCCACAAAAUAAGAAUACCACCCGACGACCCAUAAGCCUCUAAGGAAGCCCAUCCAACAAACCGACUACUCCAAACGGACUUCACCAACUGACGAUCGACACUGCUUACUUUAGUUUCUUGUAGAAUUACCACGUCUGGGUUGAAUUUCGUAAGCAACUCUUUCACAAUCGCUCUUUUGGGGCGAGCAUUAAUACCCCUUACAUUCCAAGAGAUAACUAACAUGGAUCACCCUCACAGCCCGGCUUAUUAUGAUCUUUUUCCGCUUGGGCUUCCCUUUCCCAACUACCUAGCAGUGCUUUGACUUCUCUAGUAAGCUUUUUGUUGUUGUUCGAGGAGGCCCCACCCUUCCUAUGUUGUUUCCCUUUUCUGGUUACAGCCCGAAUGCAUAGAUCAUAUUCAAGUAGAGCCGCUAUCACCUCCUUACUCAAUGGAAAAGGAUUCUGUAUAGAAGCUGCUGGUUCUAACUCGGUUAUGCUUUCAAUUUCGAGUAAUUCUUCAUUGGAAAAAGGAGGCUCACUGGUAUCCUCAACAGCUAUUAUCUGGAGACCCUCUUCCCUGCCUCUUUCCGUGGUGCUUACCUCGUGGAAGAGUCUUUGGACGUCGGAGGAAAAAUCCGAGAUGUGCUGCACUUCGUCGGCUUCAAGAGGAGCAAAUUUAUUUUCAGAUAUGAGGCUGCCCGGGCUAGAAAUAGAAACGUCCAAAGUUGGAUCUAUUUCACCAUGAAUGCGGUCUGAUAUGAACGUUGAGGUUGAUGAGUCUCCCCUGCCGUCAGGUUGGUUCGUGGAGCAGAUCACGCUGUUUUUAAAGAAAGGUCGAAUUUCUUCCUUUUCUGCAAAUUUAAUUUUGGUGGGCUUGGGCAGUUUUAGUAACAGGGGAUGAUUGGCACGGGUAGCUUGGGAGUUCUCUCUAAUAAAAAGCCCAGUUUGCUUUUUAGUAUUAGUGGGCUGUUGACUAAGGACUUCAUCCACUGCUAUGCCUUUCCCUUUUAAAUCAGGGAAGCCCACAUCUGAAAUGAGGCCCACUUCAUUGGUCAAGCCCAAUUUAUUAGUCAAAUCCAUUAGGGUUUGCUUGGGCGGCAAAUUUAAAUUUGUACCUCUAAUCUCUCCGUCAGUUUGCAGAGAAGGACAGAAUUUUCCAGCUUCUUCUGUCGCCGUACUCACCAUCUCAGAAUUCUGAAAAGCGAAAACUGUCAGCCUUGAGUUCGACUUCUCCACACGCCAAAUAUCAAUCGGAUUCGGAUCCGGGCCGCCCGGACCUUUGAAGAACUUCUCAGCUUGUUCCGGCGAGAAGGAUCCAUGGAUUCCGGCGACUUUAUCAAUAAGGAGAUUGGGAUCUUGGAAGGAAACCACCUGCACAAGAUAAGAAUCGGGUCCUUCUAUCAGCUCAAAAUCCGCCGGAAUGAAGCCGCAAUAGUUCCCUCUAACUUUGAUAUUCACUUCCAAGCAGUUAAUGAGGCUCGAAUUUUCUUCCGCAAACUCAAUGAAACCUCCUAACUUAUCACCAACCCCUAAGAGAAUAAUUAUGAUAGGAACUAAAACACAAUCAAUCUAUAUUGAAAUGUAAAUAAUGAAAAUUUACAAGAUAGUUGGGUAAUUUGAGGUAUUUGACCCUCCCAUCUAGGAUGGUUUUUUGAACACGGAGACAAGCCUCUUUAUUAAUGAUAAUAAAUGAGACUUAACCUCAAAGUACAGAAGUAUUAUACUAAGAGACAGAGCUCAAAGUACAAGAGGGUUAUACAAUGAUCAAUUAAAGAAUUAGGUAUCAAUAGACGCACCCAGACUUCUCAGUUAGGUUGACACCCCCUUAGCAUCCUCACCAUAUCCGAAAAAUUGAGAAGGGAAAUGACAUAGAGCUAGUAAAUGUGGUCCAUAAAACAUAAGACCUUUACAUCCUUGGCCUUAAAGCUAUCAGCAUAAGACAAUCUAUGACCUGCGAAGGGAGUUGAGAUGGAAGGCGAUGGCUCGAGAACCAUUUCUUAUACUCCAAAUUUGAUAAGAAUCGUUCCAACAGCUGAAGGAAGGACAACCACCCCUUUUUGUCUUCCCUUCAAGAAACCCUAAUUGUUGAAUGCCCACCUGAAGUCGGCCAGAAAUCACAACAUAAAACCCAGCCAAUGUCGGAUCUAAACUUUGAGAGCUUCAUUCUCCCACGGUCAAACUCCCCAAGCUUCAGAAAGAAACGAUCCUUUGAGCCUCUGACUAACUUAGCUAUCGCUGCUAGGAACCCAUUCAGAUGGGCUUCUGAGACGACUACGGAUAGUUGAGCAUCCACACCCUCCACAUGAAACUGGUCGUUUUCUAGCCAAACGCAAAAGUGCGUAUGAAGUAUUUUGCUACUUGCUACUUCCAUGAGCAAGAACUAAGCCGAAGAAACCUCGAAGAUGACUGAAAGUGAAGCCAAGGAUUGAAGAUGCCAAAGAGAUAACUAGGAAGGUGAAGAAAAUCAAAGGAGAAGAUAACAGAGAGAGGAGAGAGAAUAUUGAUCAAAGAAAAGAUUCCCCUCUAGGAUGUUAUUAAAAUACAAAGAGCCUAAACCUCUAAGACUAGAAAAAUCAUGUAACCUAAUGAAAGACCAAACAACAAUUGAAGUCCGACCACACAUUCUAAAGAUUAUAUCAUUCCCCUCACCCUAAAAUCCCACAAAAUCACACGUCCUAAUAUGCAACAAAAAACACUCUUCCUUGAAAGACUAGAUGAAGAAAAAAAAAAAAUCCUCAAUCAUAAAGCUACAACUCCAAGAUUGCACUAAAUGAAAACUAGAUAGCUAAAAAAACUACUCUGAAUCAAAAAGGCAAAAUUCCAACUCCAUAGAAGAUGGUCCACAUCCUCUAACGCAAUUUUACAUAGAAUACAACAUUAUGACCAUAUCUUGGAGGGUAACUUCCUUGCAAAUCAAUAUGAAGUCGUAACUCUUCCAUAAAAGGCCUAUAACAUGAGAACGUUCUUGAAAAUUUUCCGUCUUCCACAACAAGAUAGAGUAUAAAUAGGGAGAGGGAUUCACCAUUGAGAAAAUUGGUACAAGAUCAGUCAAAAGGACUCUAAGACCCCAAAGAUACCCUUCACCCUAGGCUAAUGUAAAAUUCUCCUAUUAUGGAUAAGGGACCUUUAUCCAAAUGAUUUAUCAUGUGAAAGUAAACAAAGGGGUCUAUCCCCAACCUCUUAUACUAAUAAUAAAUUACCAGUGCCUUAAGGAAAUUAGAAGAUUUAGAUGAGAUAAUUGAAAGGCCAAAGUCUUGUGUUAUGAAACAAUCACUGCAACUUUUUCUUAGGAUUAUAUGUCAAGAGACUCAAGCUUAAACUUGUUUGUUGUCAGAUAUAUAUCAUAAAUACAAGUAGACUGUGUUUUUCAUGAAAUUAAAAUUUAUAAUGUUAAUUGUGUGCUCUCAUCAACAUAUGGAUUUGUUGUGACUCCAUGAAUAAAUUUUCCAUCCUCUAUGACAAAGGAAUAAUUUACUAAAGAAGAAAUAACUAUGAACUAUCUUGGAAAUGUGCUUUAAAUGCAGUUGAAAAUGAUUAAGAAGCAAGAAAAUAACCAUCAUGGUUGGCCUAAUCGUAAAAAAGGAGAUAUAAUCUCAAUAACUAACUAAGAGGUCCUCUCUCCUCUCUCGUCCUCUUUCACAUCUCUCUCCCCCUCAGUCUUCCUUCUCCUCUGAUCGGUAGCUUCCAGCAGCCUCCUUUUGUCCAUCCAGAUAGGCCCACAGCCCUCUCAAGUUACUUUUCAGCUCAAAAAACUAAAACAUGGAUGUUCAUAGUUGCAAGAUAAACGAUUCCUAUUUCUGCAUUGGGUUUGAAGAGGGUAAGUUCUUCGUGGAAGAUGUGGAAUACAAAAAAUCCUUGCCAUUAGUCAAGUCUCACUUAGACUGGUUCAUGGAUCGAAUUUCGGAGUUCCUUCAAGGACAGAGCUCUUCUUUCUUUAUACAGAGGGCUUAGGAUGAGGCUGAGGUCGUCAAGAUUUCUAAAUUUUUAGGCACUUCAGGAUGGGUGAUGAAAUGUAUCAUUUGGCCUGAAACCAGAGCCCCUUCUUCAUAUUCCAUUGGGUCUAAAAUUGCCAGGAUGGGUUUUAUUCGUUGAAAUAUUAAAUGUUUUUCCCUCGGAUCAGCAAGCAAAGAAGCUCUAAAGACGAAGAGUUCUAAGAUGACAGAAUUGCUGGCUCUGCAGAUGAAAGUCGUCACAACCAAUUUGAUGGAUUAUCAAAAAGAGGACAACAAUGCUUGUGAGUACUAUUAAAAAAUCAUGGUCUUCAAUCUUAUUGGGUUCAUAAGAAAAGUGGAGUCUUCAAGGAAUAUUUCAGCAGCCUGUGAGUCAUUGACCCAUUUCUUAGCUUUUAAAGCUUAGAAAAAAAUCACAAAAUUUUAGAGGAACAUUCUCAUUCAAAAACUUGCAUCAAUCCAUUAUAUGUGGAUAAAGCUUUAAUAAAAGCUCCUCUAUGCAACUUUGAAGAGUUGGUUGAGAAUCCAGGUAAACGGCAGAGGUUUGGACCAUUUCAUCUCCUUGAAAAAUGGAAUAGCUUCAAGCACAGUCAAUCGGAAGUGGUUAAGGGUUAUGUAGGCUGGAUUUCUAUAAAAAAAACUAACCGUUGGAUUAUUGGAGUACUGAUGUGUUUAAUGUUAUUGGAGCAUAUUUUGGUAGACAUGAAAGUAUUUCUUUAGAUACUUUGAAUAUGAUUGACUGUUUGGAGGCUAAAAUCAAGGUUAGUCAGAGCCUGUGUGCUUUCUUGCCAGCAACGAUCAAGUUAACAGAUGAAAAUCAGACUAAUAUUUUUCUCAAUUUUAGGGACUUUGAAGCACUGGAAGAACCAAAAGUUAUUGUUCUUAAAAAACUUUACUAAUCCAAUUGAUUUAGUGAGACUAAAUCGAGUUCUUUUAGAUGAAGAGGAAGAUUUUAAUAUUUUGAACUUAAAAUGGGGCUUCCUUCUACUUCCCUUUCAAAACCUGGUUUCUCAAGGAAUCCCUUCGAGGCCUUAAAAAAAAGAUGAUCAUGGAGAGUCGGGUGAGUCUUCAUCUUCUUCUUGUCAGGAAAAUCACAUUGCCUGCAAAAAACCGAAGAAGAAGAGCAGCAAACCAGCUGUGAAUUCCGCUGAGGAAGUUAAAAAGUCCCCUUCAAUGAUGACAGAGAAAAGUACAACCAAGUCCUUUAUCUCGCCCAAUGAGAAUUCAAGCCUUAAUAAGGUGGAUCUUCAGGAUUUAAAGUUAAUUUCAGGUGUUUCUCUCAAAAUGAAAGCCCAAAAGGAAAGUGGGCCCAUCCCAUCCAACCAAAUCUCGUCCAGCAGUGAGUCACUGUCCCCGAAUCAAUUAGCACUUCCUUCAGUUGCAUUAUCAGAGACCAACAAGGACUGUGCCAUUAAGGGAACAAGUAAUUCUUUUUCUUCUCAUUCAAAUUCUUCUUCGGCCAUCUCUUCUUCGGCCAGAAUAAAAGGUAGAUCGGAGGUCAAACGAAGUUCCAAAAAACAGAAAGUAGUGCAUCGCAUCCUUUCAUUUCUUUCCCAAAGCAUUUUGUUAGAAGAAGGAGAAGGAUGGAGAUAGCCAAGAAGACUUCUUCCAAGACAAAGAUGUUUUCAGAUUCUAAUCCAAAUGUUUUAGAAGAAAUAUGUUCACAGAUUCAAGCUCCCAGCAAAAGCAACACAUCGGAAGCCCAAAAAUCUCUCCCUCCACAAUUUAAGUACUGUGUUUUAUCAUUCCCCAAUGCAAAGGCGAAUCUUCAAAGAGGAAUUCUAGUUCACACUCCACUAUAUCCAUCUCAGAAGAAAAGAAAAGCUGAUUUUGUCUCCUUAUUCAGUGUAAGCGGUGAGGAAUUUGACCAAUUUGAGAAAUCGGAUGAAAUAGAAAAGCAUAGAUAAAAGGAACCAAUAGAAGUUGAUUUGAAUGCUUUGUUUCAGUAUGAAGAAGACCAGAAGUUGAGCAACAAGCUUUGGAUUGUUUAUCUCAAGUUCACCUUUGUGAAGUUCCAGCCCAUCUGAAGUCAUUGAUAGCCAACUAGAAUCUGAUUUUGGCCUAAUAUCCAGCAGCAUCCUUUGCUAGGGUGAAGAUUAUUUGAGAAUGAAAACCGUGCCGUGGAGCACAAGAGUUUUGAAAGACCCAUCAAAGAGAUUGGCCCUCAAAAGAUUCUUUUAAUCACAUAAUAUGGAUCUAUGUUAAUUCAAGUAUCCAAAAAGAUGAUCUUAAGUUGACCUAAUAUGAUGGCAAUUUUCAGCUUCAUAUUUAAAUAGAAAGUAAAAGAACCCUAACCCUCUGCCCUUCCUCUCUUUCAAGGAAUGUUGCAGCCUUAAUUCUUCACCAAAUUCCUCAUGCCCUUCUUCCCUCCCCAACUUCCUAUUUAUAACCCUCUAACUACCAGCAAAAUAAAUCAUCUGGCGGCAUGGAAAAAGGUUACACCUUAUCAAUUUGAUGAAAACUCAAAAUACAGUUCUCCUUAAUAAAUGGGGCUGGAGAUGUACAAAGGAGGAUAUUGUGCUGUUGAGACAAGUAAUAAGAAGUAUCCAUGGUAGUGAAGCUUUUGAUUGGCACACUUUGAGCAUGUCUGGAAACAACCUAAAAAGCCCUUGGGUCAGCGAACAUGGAAGAAGGUGAAAAUUUUGGCCUCAUUCAAGCUUGGAAAUGGAAGAAGAUUGGCCUUCUGGACAAACUCUUGGGCAGGUGAUAUCCCCCUAAAUCUUCAAUUUUCUAAGCUUUUCAGAAUCACUUUGCUUCCUAACGGUUCAGUCGCUGCCCAUUGGGACGCUGCCACAAAGUCUUAGUCUAUCGUGUUUCGUAGGCUGCUGAAAGAUGAGGAAAUUCCAUAUUUCCAAUCUAUGCUACUCCUACUCCUCUUCUAAAAGAGUAACAAAUUUGGAAGACAGUAAAGUAUGGUCUUUAGACCCAUCGGGCAGAUCCUCAGUACCCUUUCAACUCACCUUGCCCCAUGCUGAACAAAGCUACAUUCAAAGCUCUUUGGAAGACCAGCAGCCCAAGGAGAGUCAACAUAUUAAUUUGGAUUAUGGCUUUCGGUCUCCAAAAUUGUUCCUUGAUCAUGCAAAGAAAACUCCCACAAGUGAUUGCUGCCCCCAAGGUGCCCUCUUUGUAUGAAGAAUAGUGAGGAUUUGUGACAUUUAUUUAUUUUAUGUCCCUAUUUCACUAAAUGUUGGAGAAGUUUCCCUUCUAUUUUUAUUGUAGUUUGGGCUUUUGAAGGAUCUCUAUGCUCAAAUGUUUUCCUGUUAUUGAGGGGUCCUCUGUUGCCAAAGAGACUGAGACUAAUUUGGGCAAACAUGUCAAAAGCACUAUUGGCAGAAAUCUGAUAUGAGUGCAGUCAGCACAUUUUUCACGACAAGGCAGGAGGCUGCACUAUGCAUGGUGUUCUUUGAAUGUGGAAUUCAAGGAUUGCUCAAUUCAGGAUGUUUGUUUAGACUGGGCAGCUUUCAUUUAUCAACCACUCUAAUGGGGGGCUGAUUUUCCUGCACUUCUAAGAAGACCAAGUUUUUGCAUCUUUAUGGCCUUUGAUGUUUUAGAGGACCUCUUAUUCAGUUUUCAUGGAUAUAGGAGAUUAUCUUUGAGGGCAUUCUGUAUUUUCCCUCCAUUGCACCUGUGUUUUUGGUUUCUGUCUUUGUUUCUUCUGUGGCUGUAUGUUCCCGGACUAUUUGAUUUGUAUUUUUUUUUCGGUUUCUUCUAUUUUGGACAUGAUGAUGACGCGAAGGGAGUGUUAACCUAGUUGAGAUGUCUGGAUGCGCCUCUUGAUCCUAUCUUGCUCUCUCUCUUUUAUGGCUUCUCUAUUAUUUUCAUUGUAUAAUUCUCUUGUACCUUGAGAUUCUAUUAUUAUAUAAGAAGCUUGUCUCCUUUAAAAAAAAUGAUGAAUUUGUAAAAAAAAAAUACAAAAACCCUAACAGGCACUGCGCUUAAGCACGCCUCGGCACUUUGUGGAAGGCAUGCAAAGGCGCGUGCCUUCCUCAAUGCGCCUCACCUAUCCAAAACAGCGCACGCACAUUGUGCCUUGCACCUAGACGCGUGCCAUUCAAAACUCCUCUUGUGAUGCAUCUUUCUUCAAGCUCUUCAAAGUUUACUUCUUUCAUGGUGAUGGUUCAUGGGAGCACUUUUGUUUACUUUCCCAACAUUUCAUUUCUACUAAAUGUAUUUUUCAGUUUCUGUUUUGAUUGUUUUUCUGCCUUGUUUGGACUUUGUUAAACUCUUGGUCCCCGUUUUGUUAGUUUGUGUGUUUUAAUUCUGGAUUCUUUGUUCCUUAAAGAUUCAAGUUCUUUGUAUAAUUCUCUCGUACUUUGAGCAUUAGUCUCAUUUCAUUAUAUUAAUUAAGAGGCUCAUUUCAUUUUUAAAAAAGAGCAAGAAAAUCAUCAAUAUGACACGGCUAGUACUACAAAUUGGCAAUGAGUCAUCAGUUAAAUUGUGAUAAACAUAUAUUUUCCUACUAAAAGGCUCCUAAGCCUCCUUCCAUGCAGUCAAACCAAAGGUCUUGUAAGUUUUAGCUAAAACCAUUUACAAGUCACAACUAUUCCACAGGGCAUCUUAUUUAACGUGCUAAUAAACUAGAGGGGAAAUACGAUUGGUUUCCCUUCAGAUGAGAGCAAGAAAUUUUAAACAGUGACUUAGUUUAUAAUAUAGUAUUUCACAAUCUAAAGAUUAGUACUGUUAUUACUUUAAGAUAUUUUUUCUUCAUAGUGUGAGUAUCAAAGCAACCAAGCUAACUUACAAAGAUAACUAAAUUUAUAGGACAAUCACAUGACCCUAUACAAUUUGGUUGUAAGAAAACCUAUAGAACAUAAAUAACAUAAAUAGGUGGAUUCGCACUAUCCACACACUGCAUUAAAUAAAUAAAUAAAACUAACCUUAUACCAGACCAACUAAAAGUGGCUAUCACUAUACUCCAAGAGGGUAUACAGUGUAGAAUUGCUGUCAGCAUGAGGCUGCUAGUGCUAGCACAUAUACAGCCAUACAGAUGCAAAAAAUAUUUUAAUAGUUCCCCAGCUAAAAAUGACAAGUCAUUGUUACAUUCAAUCGCACUGAACUCCAGGUUCAGCAAACUUAUCCUCAAAUACUUUAGAAUCUUAUGAGCUUAUACCCAGCUGAACAGACCUACUCCCAGAUUUUCCAUCCAUUACCCCCCACCUACCCAGGAUAUAAAAUAUAAAACAAACAAUAACCACCAGGCAUAAAAUAAAAUUUAAGGUAAAACGGUAACAUCCAAGGUUCCUAAUUCAUGGUGGAGAAUACGAUGAACCCUUGGUGGGCAGGGCCAUCCUCUAACCAAACUUCAGAGUACCUAGCUCAACGUGCAUGAGGCAGUUAACAGAUGUGCUACCAUUUAAAAAGAAAUGUCAUUCAAUUCAUACACCCAGUGAGUACCAUUUUAAAAGAAAGAAACCAGAUAAUUUACCUUGCGAUGCAGACCCACCAACCUAGUUGUUGAAAUAAGAAUCAAUCUAUUAUACCCUUCAGUUACAUAGAAUUUUACACAAUGGAUCACCAAUUUCUCAAUGAGUGACUCGGGAGCAGAAGGUAGAGGUCAUGAAACAUUUGAAGUUUUAAAUUUGACACGUUGAAACCCUGCCUCGGAGUCCAAGACAUCAUGAACGUAACGAUGUGCAAAUUUUGCCCCAUCCACGGCUCAAACAAAAUAUUUUGAAAAAAUGGUGAGGAAAUAUUCACGACCAAGAGCAUAGACCCGAACCAUUAGGCUAUAGGCUCAAAGCAGGUUUAAGACGAGAAAAUGGGGACUGAUAGUGAUCACUAACAACAGCUUGUAGUUAGGAAAUGCACCUACCCUUUAGUCAGUGAAGAGUAAUAAAAACACUGCCAUUAAAUUACUUUGUUCUUUUUUCUAAUCUCCAAAAAUUCCUGACCCCCCCAUAUUCUGAAAACUGCAAUCCUACCCAAAUACAGUUAGAAGUUAGGAGACCACGCAUGUAAACCGGAAGGGUCAUAUUCAUAGAAAAGCAUCAUAAGAACGCAAUAGUGAAAAAGCAAAUUAGACUAACCACAUGUCAUUGAAACUUUAACAAACAACAAAACUUUCAAUUACAAGUGAAACAAGAAAAGAACAAAAAAAUCAAAAGAAAAAAAAUGCAGUCCGAGUAAUCAACGAAUAGCUCCAAAGGAUUAUAAACAAAAAGAACGGAAAAUGCAUAAACAGAAACGAACACGAAGCCCUAAGAUAAAGAGAAUAUAAAACGAAACAUAAAAGAAAGAAAGAAAAAAAAAAAAAAAAAAAAAAAAAGCAAGCCGACCUAAAAUGGAAAGCAUGCAGAAGCAGGUAAGAAACAUCACAAAAUGCAAUAAGAAGAGAGGCGUCAAUGGAAAACCACAAACACCAAAGCAGGAGGUAGUCAUAUACCUCAGUAGAGGAAGAAUCAUCAUCGUCAUUGGAUUGAAGUGGGUCAACAGAAACGAUGACCUUAGCGACAGGACGGGAAGGGGCAUCAGGUGAAUUAGAAAGGGCGCGAGUAACAAGUUGGGGACAUUUCAAGAGCCACAUUGCUCUGUCCGCCUUGUUAGUCUCUAAGAAGUCGGUUCCAACAACGAUGCUGUUGUUAUUGGUUUGGUGUUUUCUGGAAGUGGAACGGUCGAUGGAUUUGCCGUCGACGUCCAUUGUAGAGAAGAAGAAGAAGAAAUGGUUACAUGAAUGGAAUGGAGGUGGGAAAAUUGAAAAGAAAAGAAAGAAAACGGUUUUUGUUAGAAAGGCUUUUUUCCGUAACCAACAAUAACGUGGAUGUGUUCAACUUCAAAGAUUUGGAUUAUAUAUAUAGACGAAUUGCAAUGCAAGAAUGCGCUCAAAGUGGGGUGCCACCGCCCACCUCAUGCUACACUUGGCUUGCCUUUUUUUCUUUUUUUCUUUUUUUUCUUUUUUUCUUUUUUAUACAUGUUAAAUAGUAAAUUUGGUGAACCUUUUCAAAUUGUUAAAAUUAAUAUGAACGUUGGAGAUUUCUUGUCCUUCACUACAAAUCAUGUGGAUUAUUUAUAAGCUUUUAUUAAUCAAUAUGAACUAAUUUUUUAUUUUUUUUUCUAAAAAAUUCAUAUGGACUAGUUUCAAAUGAUAGGUAUUAAACGAAAAAUGUUUUCAUUAAAGUAUAAGUUUGGUUCUUCUAGUUAGAGAAAGUUAGAAUCUAGUCUUCGUAGUUUUAAAAGUUUGAAUUUAAUUCUUAGUAUUUGAUAAAAUUCGUAAAGUUUCAUUUAACUAUGGAAACUUAACUACAAGAAUAAGUUUGUAAGAGCCCUUUUGGUAACGUUUAUGUUUCAUGUUACUUGUUUUCAGUUUCGUGUUCCUUUCUUUUUUAGAUGAAUGUGUUUGAUAACUGUGUUUUGUUUCUUGUUUCUUGAAAAAAAUAAACAAAAACAAAAAAUGUGCUUAAUAAUUGUUUCUUGUUUUCUUAUUUUCUUCGAGAUUUAUUUUUUAUUAUUUUAUUUACAUCUAAUUCAAUAUAAUAUUACAUCACUUACUAUAUCAAAACCUAAAUAGAAAGGUCUUCUAGUAAUCUUAUGGAAAUCAAGAUGAAGAUUGAGAUAUGAAGAAUAGAGUCAGCGAGGAGGAAGAGGAAAACCCAUGAUAAAGAGGAGGAUUGAAAUUCAGCGAAAAGUAAGACAAAGACUCACGGCGAAAACACAAAUCUGAAAAAAAACCCACAGAUUCGACGAAAACCCACGGCGAAAAUCUAGAUUCGCGAGAAGAAAAAAAGGAAAACUCAGAUCCAACGAAGAAAAAAACGUUGUGUAGAGGAAGACAAUGAGAGGCAAUGAGGAAGAUGGAGAAGGCAAUGUGAGGAAGAGGAAGACGAUGAUUAUUUGAGGAAGAAAAAUGAAACCAAGUGGAGAGUGGUUAUUUGGAGAAGAAAAUGGAAAUAAGACGAAGAAAAAGGAAUCACUUGGAAAAAUGGAAAAGGAAAAGGAAAUAGAAAAAUAAUUAAGAAAAAGAAAAUCAAUCAAAAUAAUUGAAAAAAAAGGAAAGAAAAUCGAUAAAAAUAAUUUUAAAAAAAUGAUAAAAUAAUUGAGAAAAAAAAAAGAAAAUCAAUAGAAAUAUUUGAAAAAAAUGAAAAAUAAACCAAUAAAAAUAAUUAAAAAAAAAAGAAAAAAUGAAACCAAUAAAAAUAAUAGAAAAAAAACUGUAAAAAAUAAUUAAGAAAAAAAGAAAAGGAAACCAUUAGAAGCAAUUAAGAAAAAAGAAAAGAAAACCAAUAAAAAUAAUUGAAAAAAAAACAGUAAAAACUUUUAUUUUCAGUAAUUCAUUAUAAAAUAAAAAAAGGUUUCUAUUUUUUUAAAACGAGAAAUAUUGAACAUUAACAAAUAUGUUUCUUUAAAAAUAAAAACAUAAACUUGAAUUAGGAAACAUAAAUGUUAACCUAUUUUGAAUUAUAAAUUUAAGGCUAACUAAAAUAUCACAUUUAUUUAAGUUUGAAUAAGACACUUACCUUUCUCAAAGAAACAAUUAUAUUAUUAGGUUAGGAAUGUUGAUUAGUAUGGGUUAUAUUCAUCAUCUCAUGAAAAUUGUAACCUAAAAUAGUUAGGAUGUUUUCACGUCAAAUGAUAAUUAUGAUUUAAAAUGGUGGUAGUGAUUUGGAAUAGAAAUAUGGAUCCUCACAUCAUUUUAAAAAUCAGUGUUAUAUUCUUACUGUCUCCGUUUUUUCAAUCAAUGGCCAAAUUCUCCACAAAUAUUUUUUUUGAGGAUAUAUGUUCAUGACAGUGGAAUUUGUGAUCUUAUGCAAAUCCCACCCUAAGUUAAUUCGUAUGAUACUAUUUUCAUUUUGUUUAUAUAUAUAUGGAUGUAUGUAUAUAUAAAUUGGAUUAAUCUCAAGUUGGUGACCAGAAUAAGAUUAUUGUAUAAGUUAUAUAUAUAAGAUUGUGUGAUCCAAAAAGUUCUAUAUAAGACAAUGUAAUCCAAUACUUGUAUUAUAAAAAUAUUUGUUUGGUUUGGUGCAAUUUGUAAAUAAAACGGAUCCGUUUGUUUCUCGAACAAUCCAGAUUUUCAUGAGGUGACAUAUCUAGACUACGAUAUUUGUUUUGAAGUAUUGUAAGAUGUCAUCCGGAUAUUUUCAAACGUCGUAAGAUGCUUAAAUGGAUGGUAUCUAAAGAAUUUUGGAUGUCAUUUCUACAACGUGGAUUUACAUAUUCUCGAUACCUCCAUUUUACAUUUUUUUUCUUUUCUUAUUAUAUACAUAUAUAUAUAUAUACACACACAUAUAUAUAUAUUCUCGUUUGCAUUAUAUCCUUAAAAUAAAUAAUCAACUGUAUAUAUCAUUUUUUUUUGUUAUAUUGCAAUUCUAAUUAUUGUUAACAAGAUAUUUACAUUUAAAUAAUAUUUACUUUAUAGAAAAUCUUAAAUCAUGAUAUAUUAUUUUGUUGAGAAAAAUAACAUAUAAAAUAUUUAUAAUUCUCUUAAAAUUUUCUUUAAAAAUAUCAAAUUGAUAAAAGCAAAUAUGUUAUAUAAGUUCAAAUUAAUAAAUAAUCUAAAGGUAUUCUUGAAACAUUACAUAAAUUUAAGAAAUUUAUAAGUAAAAAUACUACAUAAUCAAAAUAUUUCUAAAUAUCUACAAAAAUAUUUGUAAAAGAUGUCAAACAUCUACCAAUUAUAGUAACUAUAUCUAUAAAUUUCGAUUAUCUACAUUUUUAAAAAACAAACAAGCUCUAGAUUUAUGAAUGAAAUUUUGUCACAUCCUCCAACAGAUAGGUAAAAUGUGUGUACCUUUAAUAAUAUGAUACCAUUACAAUUCAAAAUUUGUAAAUGAAAAUGAAAAUCUUCAAAUGCCCCAAAUGCAUUAUUGUGUUUCAGAAAAAAAAGAAAUUACCUUAAUCAAUUAACCAAAGAAUUGUCUUUUUAUUAUUUUUUCUUUUUUUUUUUUUAAUGUUGAAGAACACUUUUUAUAUGUCAAGUUAGUAGUGUAUUAAGUAAAAGAAACUAUAUUUGCCUUAGUAGUUCUGAUACUGUAUUAAACUAAUGGAAGCAAAAACUUAAUAUCUUUACAUUAACAGUCAAAUUCACAAAUUUCAUUCAACAAUUAACAGCCGAAGUAUUAUGAAGUCCGUACUUAGUCGAAUAAUUUGCUCCAUUUUCAAAUUUAACACUUGGUACAACUAUACUCAAUUCCUAUUUUAAAUAGGAAAAAAAACACUCAAUCACCUCUAAAACUAAAAGAACAAUAAAUUAAGAUCCUUCUAAACUAGAAUUUGAAAAUCUUAUAGUAUAAAGCCAUUAUCAUUGAAAUGAGUUAGUAUGAUAAACACAUUAUUUUCUUGGUAAAGAAAUCAAAAUUUAGUCUCCAAAAGUUCAAAUUUGGACACAGGGAAGAGCUCAAUAUGUCAAGCCUCAAAUAGAAAUUUACAAAAUGUUACUUUCCUCAGCUUCAACUCAAUCCAGGUUCAUUAGAAUCAAGAGACUUUCUUCUGCUUUUUCGUUUUCUUUCUGCAAUACAAUUCAUUUUUAAUCCUAGAAAAGCUGACAGUAAUGGACAUGGUAAUCUUAAAAUAACAAGAUAACUAAUUCCUCAGCUUAAAGACAAUGAAUUAUAGGAGUUAGUGUAUUGAAAUCCUCUCAAGCAAAUCAUAUUUUACAGAAUAGGGUAGACUUCACAAAGAAGCUGAAUCAGAGGUAUUGCUUCCCAUGGAACUUUGCUUCCUUUCCGCCUGAAGUGAUCGACACAAGGAUUCAAGCUUUUCUUUCUGUUUCUUCGUUUUCUCCAGCUGUUUCUUCAAGCCCUCCCGCUGCUCAACCAGAGUUCACUCAAAAUCCAACAAUAUGGUUGAUGUAAAGACUAGUCUAUAUAGUGAUUCAGUGCGCGUAAAUCUGACUAUGUCCGCGGGGCAGUUAGAUGAAGCGUAUUAUUCAAUUAAUGAACCAUGGAAGUCAAAACCACAAAUGACUGAAUUUGUUACCAUUCAAACAAGAAACGAGUUUAGAGGUUUAAAUAUCAAAACAACUAGUUGGAAAGAAGAUCAAACUCACUCAAUACGGUAAUAAUACGAGCAUACAUCUGCACAAAUUCUGCUGAAAACAGAACUAAGCAUGUGAUGAAUCGACUGACUUCCUAGGGUUUGUUUACAAGAUGGCUAUCCAACGAACAUAUUUUUAGAUAGCUAUCUUUUGAACGUUUUUCUGUCACUUUAAAUCGGCUGUUUUGUAAUUUAGAACUAAUGCCAUUUUCUUCCAAAAUCAUGAACUUAUAAUGAAUAGCCAUUUCAAAUGCAAUUGCUUUAAUCUUUUCCAGGUGCCUCAACCAAAAUUCUUUGAUCUAUUAUUUAAAUUAGAAACAAGCAAAUGUUUUCCAAACAAGGCAUUAUUACUGUUUGGUGUUGCCAAACAAGCGUACAAUAAAAUUAUAGUGAAUGUAAACAUACCUCAUCAAGAAGCUCAAUAAGAGUAACAUCUGAUUUCUCACAUUUGCUCUUCAGGAAUGUAUUUUCCUUCUUGAGUUCCUUGAUGGAUUUCGUCAUCUGCAUAUAUUAUUUUUUAGAAGAAUUGAGGGGAGAUGAGCACAUGUAGAAUAGCAGCUUCAGUAAGUGUAUCAUGCAAUAAUAAAACAUUUGGAGAUCUAUGCCCAGAAAGAAAGACGUUGGGUUGGUGGGGGGAGCGUUGAACACCUUCUCAAUUUCUUGUUUGAAGGUUUCAAAUACGUCAUUGCUCUUUACUAAUGCAUCCUGCAACAUUAGUCAAUACAUAAAUUAAGAUUAGGUUAACUUGGUAAAUCAUUCUAUAAAUGUCAUAACAAGAUGUCAUUGUCAUCUAUAUAAUAUAUAUUUCUAAAUUAAUUUUUUUUAAAACACUACUAAAGCCCUACUUGGAACUGUUGAAAUUUUUCUCCAUCAGCUGUUAGUUGUAAACGCAGAUUCUUUUCUGUUGACAAUAAAUGUGAAAUUUGCUCUGCAUAUACUUUCAUUUGAGUUUGUUCCUGAAUCAAUUUCUCCUCACAUUGCUUAGUUUUCAGAUCAGCAAGCUGAAGUUCAAGCGUUUUCUGCUUCAACUGUGUUAAUGUACAAAACAUUAUGAAUCAAUUCAGUCGUACAAAAUAAUAGUUAAACAUCCAAGCCAUAGCCUCAGAGGCAAAACUGUAAACUUUACCUUCUGUGCAAAUUGCUGUUCGGAAAGAGAAAACUGAUCAACAAGCUGCUUCAAUUUAUUCCUUAAGCUGGACAUGGUAUGCAAAAAUUUUGGAAAACAAAGAGAAAGAAAAGCCACAUUUAUAGUUCAAUUCCUUAUUAACUAAAUCGUUAGUGAAAGGGAGAAUCUAAAACAUUGAUAUUGAUUACUUCAGAAACUAUUGUAUACUAAUUGCUCAAAGAUAGCAAAGACAGGUUCAAGGAUAAGGAUGAAAGGAAGCUAAGCAAGGAGAUAUAUUCAUCAAAGGAGAGGACUGUAAAAAUGCCACUCUAAAAAAUAUUGAAAACAAAAAGAACAACCCAAUUUUUCUCCCAGUAUUCACUAGAGCCUAAGACUUUGGCGGUACAAGAUAUUUUUCGUAAGUAUGGGAAUACUUUUUCUUUUGCACGGAAAAGAGCCUCUCCAUUAAUAUAAUGAAAUGAGACAUGCUCAAAGUACAAGAGUGUUAUACAAAGAUUUGGAAUAUCUGAGGGAAAGAAUCCAAAAACCAAAUACACGGACUAACAAAACAAGGGCCAAGAGGUUAUCAGAUUCUAAAACAGGGCAGAAAAACAAUCAAAACAGCAACUGAUAAGAAAACAAUCAAUACAAAUAAAAUGUUGGGAAAGGAAACAAAAGUGCCCUAAUGGACCAUAGGUCCAUGAACAUGAGAGAAGUAAUCUUUGAAGAGCUCGAAGAAGAUGCAGCUCAAGAGGACAAGAAUGAAGAAGCUGAGAUAACUCGAAACCAACCAAAGAACAUCUGAACCAUAAAAAAUUCAUUAACUACACGAGCAGACAAGCUGCUGCCAAAACUUCUGAAAUAUAACUAAAUCAACACCCUUGAGGAGAAUAUAUCCAAGCCCAAGAUGAAAGGGCAGGCCAUUUGACAACACCUUUUGAUGAUAAAACUUCCAUGAAUAGAUUACCAAAUUCUCACUCAAGGAUGACUAGUGAAACGGCUUCCUUUUGUUAAAAAAACCCCUAACGCACGCUCUCUUCUAUCUCUUCAAUGCUUACACUAAUAGAAAGCACAUCCAUUGUGGUUCUUUUUAUAUAUAUAUAUAACUCUCAUUCCAAAAAGAACUUCCUUUCAAAUAAUAAGCUUCUCAAAACAGUUCCCAAUCUUAUUGCUGAAGCUGAAAAUUGAAAAUUGGCAUCUAAUCAGGACAACUCUAACAAAGAAUGCUGCUGGAUAUUAGCCCAUAAUCAGACUGCAAGCUCACCAAUGACUUCAGAUGGGCUGGAACUUCACAAAGCUGAGCUUGAGAUAAACAAUCCAAAUUUUGUUUUUCAACUGCUGGUUCUUCUUCAUACUGAAACAGAGCAUUCAAAUCAACUUCUAUUGGUUCCUUUGAUCUCUGCUUUUCUAUUUCAUCUGAUUUCUCAAACUGGUCAAAUUCCUCACUGCUUACACUGAAAAUUCAGGUUUUCUUUUCUUCUUAGAUGGAUCUGGAUCAAUUGGAGUGUGAACUAGAAUUUCUCUUUGAAGUUUCAACUUUGCAUUGAGGAAUGAUAAAACUGAGUACCUAAAUUGUGGAGGGAGAGAUUUUUGGGCCUCUGAUCUGCUACUUUUACUGGGAGCUUGAAUCUGUGAACAAAUUUCUUCUAAAACGUCUGGAUUUUUUUUAAACAGAGGCAGGCCUCUUAAAUUAUUAUUAAUAAAAGAGCCUUAAGCUCAAAGUACAAGAGUAUUAUAUUAAGAGCAAGAGAAAAGAGAAACAUUCAGUCUACAGCUGCAACAAAAGCUAAAUAACAAACACCAAACAAAAGAGAUCAAGCUAAACACAACCAUAACUGUAGAAAUUUAAAUACAAAGCAUAAUGAAAAAUUCUCUCAUAAAGAACUAAUUUGAAAGUAAAAACUUGCAAGAAGAUGCAACCGGCUGCCUCGAAGCUGCCUUGCCACAUUAUUCCAGAAUCCAGAGGAAGCUCAAAAAAUUCUUCCACUAUUUCAGCAUUGGCAUGAAGGCUUUACUUGCCACACACAUGAAGGGCAAUCCAAGAAAGACUGAAGUUGGUCCAACAUUGAGGAGGAAUACAUUAAAUGGCGGAAGAAUCAAAUUAGAAUAAUUCCACAAUUAGCAACUAUUGAUUUUAAAUGAUCUGGUAUUUCGCAAGACUAGGGACAAGAAUGAGUAGCAGAAGGCAAAUUUGUGGAACCUGGCUCUUUCUCACAAUGAACAGGGCACUGAUAUGUUUCUGGAGGCCCAAAAUGUUUCUGACUUUCAAGCUCAGUUGACCUAUCCAAAUGCUCCAAUUCCUCACUACUAACGUGAAAGGGGAGUCGAAAAAAGGCUCACCUUUCCUGCUGGAUUGAUCGAGAGGAGUUUUGCUCAGAGAGCCUAUCAGAAAUUUUACCUUGGAGUUGGGUAAAGAGAACUCAGAAUACUUAAAUUGAGUAACGUUAGGACGAUGAGAAAUUUCCUUAGAUGAAUUGCAGCUUAAAUUUGGGUGCAACUAACUUCCAAAAAAUUUGGAUUAGCCUCUAAAACAGCUUGGAGCUGCUAGAACAAGCUGAUGAAAGAGAAUGGACACUAUUUUCUAAAACAUAUGGAUUAGAAUCUGAAAACAUCUUUGUCUUGAAAGAAAUCUUCUUGGCUAUCUCCUCCAUCCUUCUCCUUCUAACAAAAUGCUUUGGGAAAGUAAUGAAAGGAUGCACUGCUUUCUGAUUUUUGGAACUUCGUUUGACCCCAUCUACUUCUGAUUCUGGCCGAAGAAGAGACGGGUGAAGAAGAAAUUGAACUAUAAAUGGGAAUUCUAAAAUGGUUGGUAUAAAUAUGGGAGUCUAGUUGCACUCAAAGAAAUCCUAGAAAUUCCAUUUCUCUUUGUUUAACUGAUUUCUAGUGCAUUUUCAAUUUGGAUAGGAACGAGCAUUGUGGGUUUCAAGAAACCCACUGGAUAGGCUGAAGCCUUCUUCAAAUAAAGUCCCCUCGCUCAUAAACAUCUUUUCCCUAAAAAAUGCCUCAGUUGCUUUAUUACUUCCUGAUUCUGUAGAUUUUAUUAUGUCAACUUCCAAUUAAUAAGAGCUAUUGCGUUAUCCCAAUCCUUUCCCAUGGGCAUACAGACCAGGGUAUUCAGUCCUUCGAGUCCUCAAAGAUUCUCUCAUGCAAUUCAACUUUUAUAGUUUACACCAACAAUUAUCAUAUUUUUCUCAUUACUCCGAGAGUGUAGUCUCUCUUAUUUUAAAAAGAAAAAAAGUACUGAGGGAGUUUUACUUUUUCUCAAAACGGUAACACCAUUGUCACUUUUAGAAAAUAGUAAGAUCAAGAUGACAUGCAGUCAUUCCAGGUUAUGGCUGUACACUUUAUUCUAGGUUUGCCUUCACGCAAAUAAGAAGCAAAUAAUAAUAAUAAAACAAGAAGCACAAUACUGGUUUCUUAUAAAAAUAAAAAAAAAGAGAAACAAAAUACGUUUAUGUUAAUUAUUUUAGCAUCAAAUAUAUUCUCAGCAAUGUACUUCGCCUUACGUUUCAUUCUCUUUCAGCUGUGCAAGGCAUUCAUCCUUUUGCUCUUCUAGCUUCUUGCUAACAUCCUGUCGAAGGAAUGCAGAAAUAUAAUCAACGGGAGUAAUAUAAUAACAAACAAUAACAAGCACAAAGAGAGAAACGUCAUUCUCUUAACCCAACUUUAGACUUGCCUGUCAAGUUUCAUCAAUAUCAGUUUACGUGCACACUUAGGACCCAUUCAGUAACAUUUCCACUUUUGUUUCUUAAGUUUAUUUUAACGAAGAAAAAUGAAAUUGUGUUUCAUAACAUUAAGAAGAAGUAUCUAUGGGAACCAUUUAUUCUUUCUUGUAAUUUCUUUUAACUAAGAAUGCAAAAAAUUACAUGAAAAUAAGUUUUUAAAAUUAAAUAUGAAUUUUUUAAUGUUAUAUUUAUUAUGUAUUUUAAACUCUGGCCUCAUUUGAUAAACACGUGGUUUUUAAAAAAUAAACUUUUAGAAACUACUCUCCCCCGUACGUUUCUUUGUUUUGAUAUCUCCUUUCUCAAAAUCCAGAGAAAGAUAUGAAAACUAAGAAAAGUAGUUUAAAAUAUAGGACUAUUUUCAAAUAUAGCAAAAUAAACCAAAAUAUUUAUAAAAGAUCACAAAAUAUCUAGUCUAUUCAAUGGACAACAAUAGACCAAGAUAGAUUGUGAUAUUUUGCUAUAUAUUGUAAACUUUUUCAAAUGUUUUGUCAUUUAAAAUAAUUUUUCAUAUAAUAUUUGGAAUUUGACUAAGAAUUCAAAUGUUUCUUAAAUAAAUGUGAAAUCUAUAGAAAGAAAUUGAAAUGAAAAAAGUAUAAUUUCAAAAACUAAAAACUAAAAAUGAAAUUGUUACCUUUGCAAAAAAAAUGAAAUUGUUAGCAAAUGAAGCCUUAAAUUUGUAAGAUUUAUGAGAAAGAAAAAAGUAACAAUCAUCAUGAGAAAUUACGAUCAGGAAACUAGAAACAAAUUUGUUAUCAAAGAAACCCUAAAUGCUUGCUUAUCAUUAAAAUUCCUUUUUAGAGGAAGCAUUAUCAAUUCUAUGAACACAAAGUGUAAAGAAGAAAGGAAAAACAGAAGGUUGAACCCUAAAUAAAAAAAGAAGAAAGAAGGUAUGGUAUCCCAAACACGCUCAAUACCAUUGUUGAGUUCCUUUCCUUGUAAAUCACUUUCUGGUAAAGUUGCAAGCACUCAACUCAUCCUACUAAUAUUAACUUGUCCUCAGACUUGAAAUCUCAAGAAAUUCAAUAAAUACAUUCCCCUACUUGGCCAAGAAAAAUCUUAAGUUAGAUAAUUAGCGGUAAAAUAUUUGGUGAUUUUAUUUUAUUUUUUUGAAAUGGAGACAAAACUUCUUUUUAUUAUUGAGAACUCUAAGUACAAGAUAACUAUACAAAGAGAGCAAUAAAGAAGAAAUAGAAACGGGACAUCUCAACUAGGUUGACACCCCCAUAGCGUCAAUCAUCAUAUCCCCAAGAAAGUAAAUAUCAAAGCAAAACAAAACCAACAGAGGAGCAACCUAAAAACAAACAGCCUAUUACAAGGGUCCAGAAAAAAAAAACAGAAAAUUCAGAAAAAAAACCCCAAAAUACAAUUACAAUCUCAAAAUAAAAUUAAACAAGGUCAAAACUUCAAAGCUUCAAAACUUCGGACAGAGAGAACUACAAUGCAGAGAAAAUGAACCAGCAACGGUUAGGCUUGAUUAAGAAAGGCAUUCCAGUUGAGGUAAAUAACUUGAAUGGAAAAAUUAACGGACUCCUUUUUUAAAUGAACACCAAGCUGCAGCACUAAGAUCUACCGCACACAUGAUUUCUGCUCUGACUUUGCUUUAUCAUGGAAGAAUGUUGAUUUCGCUCAAACCAUAAUUCUGAAAAUAAAGCUUUUAACAAAUUUACCCAAAUGAUGCGAGAUUUUUGAGAAAAAUCAGACCCGACAGCAGCUGAACCACAUUAGUGCCUAGAGAGCGAUCAAAAGUCCAAACUAAGUUGAACAAGGAGAAAAUCCUUUCCCGGCAAAAAGAAGAGACGAGACAGAACAGAAAAAAUGUGAUAAAGGAUCUCACUAGAAAGAAAAUCUUUUCCCAGCCAAGAAAAUGUGACAAGACUUCCCCCAGAAUGCCACAUUCUAGGUAAGAACCUUGGACCUCCACAGUGAUUUUAUGAAAACCGAAUUUAAACUAUCUUUCUUAGACUCUUGAAUCAUGAACACAUAUGGAUUGCAGAUUAUGGUGAAUUUUUUAAUGCUGCACGUUUAGAGGAAUCAUUUAAGCCCCUAGUGAUCCAUGAGACAAUCUUCAUUAUGGCCGAGAGAAGGAUAGGGAUGGCUGCACUUCGAAAUUAGGCCAGAAUAAUUCCACAAAUCACUAAUAUUGACAUCAACUCUUUAGACAAAUCUAGAGAAAAAUUAUUUGUGAGAAAACCCUCCUCAUUAAACAAAACAUAUAAGUCCGUCCCUUCAAUUUCUGAAUCUAAUUUAGGGUCAAAUUCACUAAGAUCAACUGAUUCUUCACUACUAACACUGAUAGGUGAGAAAUUUCGGGCUGGUCUUUAGGAGUUAAAUCAGCUUUGCAUGGGGAGCCUUGCUGACAAGAUGUCUUUGCAAUGGAGGUGGAGGAAUUUGAAAUGUUGAGACACUUCCAAGGAGAAGUGCUAUUUACUGACCUGGAAAAACUCUCAGGGGCCUGGAUUUUAGAGCUGUAAACUUCCAAAAGAUCCGGGUUAUUGGCAGAAACUGAAUGCUUGAUGGUGUUAUUCCGAAAAAAGUCCAAAGGGGGAAUUUUAAGGUCGCAAACCCCAUUUAAUUCAGAUUUUAGCAAGGCAGUCCACACAUUGUUGAAGGAGGUUUGCUUGCGAAUAUAGUGCUUAAGAAUUUUUGGAAUAUGAGAGGACUUACUGUCUUUGCCACACUUGGAAUAGUUGAAAAUACCCACUUCUGAAGAAAGUUGGUCCCCCUGUUCUAACAAAAAGAGAAGAAUGAGAGUUUGAAACGUUUUGUAACGUUUUUUGCAAUGUCUGAUGGGUUGUCCUCCAAAAUGCUUCGGCAAAAUUCGUUACAACUCAAAGAUUUAUUGAAGUGGGCCCCUAUUCUUUUAUUCUUUUCAUUUAAAGACUCAAAAGAGGACUCUUCGACUACUGGAAUAUUAAAAACAGGAUCACUAGAAGUGGACCCUGCUGCCUUCUUGCAAUAGCUAUCUGACUUGGGUUUAGCAAAAUUCAAAAAGGGGGCUUUCAGUUGCUUGUACAUUCAAUUCGUCUUUAACCUGAUUUCCGGCCACUGUUUUCAUCACCGGUGCCGGUGGGAUGGUCGGAAAAAUUUUCAGAAUUUCAAAUGGAUUUCUGCUUCUAGGUAGAGAUGCAAACACUAAUUUCGGGAUUUUCUGAACUAAUGGAAAGACGGAGGGAGCAAAGUCUUCAUCAAUCAAAACUUCUCUAAUCCUCAAACAAUCAAGAGAGUUAUUAAAAUCAUCUCGUAAGUUAGGGGCUUUGAGGGGAAUAUUAUGGUUUAGAAUUCAUAAUCUCCAAAAUGAAGAUAUAUAUUUCCUCUCUUUAGAUCAGUGAUUCCAAUCAUGGAUGGCAUAAAACCACGAGAAUUCUUCUUAACUUGAAUCCGAGCUUCACUAACAUUAAUUAAAUUUAGAGUUUCGAAGGCUAUAUCUAAGAGACCUCCAAAAUAAUCCCCAAUGACCUCAAAGGUACUUCUACACCAAUAAUCCAAGGGAAGGUUUUUAAUUUUGAGCCAACCACCAUAGCCUUUUUGAACGAGUGGCCGACUGUGUUUCAAGUUAUCCCAUCUUUCGAAUUUGAGAUGAAAAUUCCCCCAGGCUUGCCAUUUUCCUUCCUCAUGGAUGAGAUCUAAAAUUGAUUCUUGGUUAAUGCUAGUGAAGGCAUUCUCAUCAUACAAAGGAUUUAUAACAACUUUUUAUUGGAAAAAAGCUUCCAACCUCUUAUGGAUCAAUUUCGGGUCAUCUGAGGCAAAUAAUUUUGUUAUAAUCCAUAAAUUUUCAAAAUUGAUUUUCCCAACUUCAUGAUUCUUAAUCAGCCAAUGCUUCUGUUUUGAAGAGGGAAGAUGGACUGACUUUUGAACCUUCCUUUUUUUUUACUAGGAAUCUGGUCAGUUACCUUAAAUUUAGGUCUUUGAACAGGGGAACUGGAAAGACUUGAUUUUUCCAUUUCAACAUAACUUAGUUUCCCAUUCAAAUUCAGAGGAGGAAUCUGGAGGGAAUUAUUAGAAAACCUUGUAGCAUAAUCCAAUUUUUCGACAAACUUAUCAAGCACUGAGCAAAACAACUUCCAACCUUGCUUCUCACUACCUAAGCACACUCUGAUAUUGAAGAGAUCCCUGAAUAUGGCCAGUGAUCACAGCUCAGUAUCCAACCCAACUUAGCUUGAAACUUUGAAAUUCUCAAUCUGCCUCUAUCGAUAUCCCCAAAUUUCCUAAAGUGUCUACCUACCGGAAAACUGAUAAGAUCUAUCAGUUAACACUGACCAGAUCCAUCUAAGUUGGCAAACGGAUAGAGAGAUGCUUCUGCCAGCUUCUACAUCUUCAAUAAAGAAACUAUCUCCUUUGGCACAAAUGCAGUUGUGUGACCGGUCAAUUUUACAGCUAACCACCUCCAUGGUGAUCUCUGAGACUUAACGGAGAGGACUGCUGAAAAAACAUGGCUGCCGGAGAAGGGAGAUUGGAAGGAGUGGGGUGGAGAGAGGAGAGAGGGAACAGAGAGAACUUACCUUUUGAAACUCACCAUACAAUAGCUAAAACACAGAAACAAAACCAUCAUUAUCACCUUUGGUGAUUUUAUUUUAUUCCUUCCUUUCAUGUAUUGAGUCUUUUUCCUACAUAAGAGAGCAACAGUUAUGCAUUGGAAUACAAACUAAUUUAUUCCACUAAAUUUAACUUGGUAUCAAAAGCCAGCCAGUGUAGCAUUUUACUCCUUUUUCCUCUCUCUCUCUCUCGAUGGGGGGGGGGAGAGAUUGAAGAAAUCUUUCCAUUAAUAUAAAUAUAAGGGAUGGUCAGUGUAUAAAUACUUAGUAUUUAGUAAAAAAAAUUCAAUAUUUUCUUGCACACAAGUGUUUCAGUAUUUGCAGAAAUAAUCCAAAUUGUUAGACAAAAGAGAAACUGUAACCAACUGCAGCUGGCAAAAAAUUGAAAAUCAGAAUUUAGAAUUGUUGCCUCAAAUCCAUCAGACAAUUCUACUGGAGGAAAAGUGAGUUAAGAACCAUUAGAUUAUCUAAUUAUUUUAUGGAGUUCCUGAUCAAGUUACUCAAACGAAACCAUACCUUGAUUGCAUCUUGAAACUUAACUGAUAAUUCUGUUCUGAGGCUUUGACCCUCAGUUGAGACCCGUUUGCAUUCGUCCUGUGUUCAAUUCACGUAGCCGUUAUUAAUUAUUAGAAACUAAAUGAAAUAGAGGAAAGUAAUAAUCGAGAAUGAUAUAGGAAAAUUGGAGAGAAGACGGUGAUUGAGGCACAGUUUGAGCAUAUAUUUCUUUUGGACAAGAAACCAUUUCAUUGAUGAAUUAAAUAUCUAAAGAUCACUGCAAAAACCCAAGUACAAGAUGAACCAACUUUGAGGGUAUAUUCAAAAUUUAUUUUGUUUUUUCUUUCUUUUUUCUAGUUUUGGUAUUGGAGAUCCAACCGUCAAGGCUUCAACCUUCCAAAAGAUAAUAAAGAACUCAUUCACUAAGCCAUUGUUGAAAUGACCUUCCAAUAUUGUUUUUAAAAACUGCUUGGGAUAAACCAACCUUAUAAAACUUAAGUUUAAAAGUUAUUUGAAAAGAUCAUUUUUGUUGCCGUACUUUUCUUUUAUUUUUUUCUUUAUAUAAGCAACAAACAGAGGACAGCCUAAGGGUGAGGGGUUGAGGAACCUCCCCCCUCCAAAAAAAAUACUAAACAAUAAGAGCCCUCCAAUUGUUAAUAAUCUUGGUUGUAAUUACAAAAUAAUUUUGUGUAGUUUUUUUUUUUUUUUUUUUUUUUUUUUUUUUUUUUUUGCAAUCAGGAUGUCCCUACUUUGAAGUGAUUUUAGUUAUUGAAUAUCAUUGAGUUCUAAUCAUGAAAUCAUCACUCCUGAUUGUUUGGUCAUAGACAAGAAUACAUAUCUAAGCAUGAAAUCAACACUAUAGUUGGGCUCAUACAUUUGUACUGUUUGUAACCAAGUAAUUUGUACUGUUCUUUAUUUCUCCUACACAUUUUUUUUUUUAAUAUCCGUGAGUAUCCAAACCAACGUAUGCACAUCUUGACCAAUUUCAUAAGACACAACCUGCCUAACCUUACAACAUUUGAGUGCCAAGGAAACUCAUAGGAAAUUAAUUUCUAGGUAGAUAGCUGUCAUAGAUUGAACCCAUGACCUUUUAGUUAGUUUCCUACAAAUUUAUUAUUAAAUUUAGGUUAUACAAAUAAUUUAGAUAACAUGACAUCAAAGAGAACAUGUCCAAACAACCAAAUCCUGCUCCUGAUUGCUAUUUUUGUGUUUGCCCACUAAAAGAGGCAUGCAACAAGCUUACUUCCACGUACAUGCCUGGCGAAUACCAUACACUUCAAGUGACAACACUCAACACAAGGGUCACGUUAACUUCCACAGUGACAUUAGUUUUUCGUUACAAAUUAACCAAAUAGUUAACAUGCGGAAACCAAAUUUAUAAAUUUAUCAAAGCAUGAUAACUAAAUAUUAAAAAAUAGAAGUACAAUACGUCAAUACCAAAACAUUCCAAAUCACAAAACUGAGGCUAGAGGUGGAAUUAAACUUUAACCUUUGCAUGGAUUAAAUACGUAGAUCAUACCAUUAGCAUUUUAUUUUGACGUUGUAACUCCCUGCAUAGUGACUCCAACUUGUCCCGGACAACAAUAGCUGUGCAUAGAAAAUGAGGACAUUAUAAAUUCAUAGCAUGGCAUUAAAAAACUAAGCAUCAAUCAGAAUGCAUCCAAUUUGAAUAUGAAAGAACAAAAAAAAAAUUCUGAGAGAGAGAGAUGACAGAUGACAGAAUAUUCUUUUGCUAUCAGGAUAUUCAAAUCUUUCACCUAAAUGAAAUAAUAAUAUAAUAAAGUGUCAAUAAAUCCCACAAAGUUUUCUUGACCUCUAAAUAAUUGAAUACAGGGAUUAUAAUACUAUAAAAAAAAGAAUCUGAAAAGACAAAUUGCAAAAAACUCUUCAGUGACCAAACAUAAGACCGAUAUAAACUGCAGCAUUGUGGAUUAUUUUCAGCUUGAUACUAUAACAAAGUAACAAAAAGGUGACUUUUAAAGAAAAUAUACAAGCAACUUUUCAUUGCGGUCGGCUAAAAUGAAAAUUUUCACUUUCAAUCUGAACUGAAGCUAGAGGUUUUACUCAAGAUAUAGGGGGGAAAAGACUCACUCAGCUUAGAAUUUUAUAAAUGAAAAAUCCUUUUGAUUUUUUGAAACAAUUGUCAAACAUCCAGAAAAUCUAAUAGCAAUCAAAGUUCAUACUAGUCUUGUCUUCUAGAGUGCAGGUAGUAUAGAGCUUAAUUUGUUGUUAUACACCGACCUUUUGCACAAAAUGAAUAGCCCACAUGAAUCAUCAUCUGGAAUAAAUAUAAAAAGAACUUGAAAAACAGACAGUAGAGCUUAAUUUGUUGUUAUGCACCAACCUUUUGCACAAAAUGAAUAGCCCACAUGAAUUAUCAUCUGGAAUAAAUAUAAAAAGAACUUGAAAAACAGACAGUAUUGAAAAAGUGAAAAUUUUCAUUUGUUCACUUCUUUACUUGCCUGAAUCUCUUUCUGCAAGAACUUGCUGAUACUUUAAAGUAAAUUCAAGAAACUCCUUUUCUGACUUAAAUGUACGCUUUGGAUUCUUGCGUUUGAGUUCAGCACUUUCCUGAAAGUUAUUGCAACUUAGUAACCCAAAGAAAUUUAUGGCCUUUAAAUAGAAUGGAAAUAUGGGGAGAAAAGUGACCCACAUUUCAAUCCAAUGAAAAGGCCAUUAUUAACUACAACAAUAAAACUAUCAAAGGUCUUUUCACAUUGAUGCACGAUAAAAUUUAUUGAUGGGUAGGGGGAGGACAGAGAUAUGUAUAAUAAGAAGAAGAUGACGACAAAAGAAGAAGCUACUCCUGAUGUCCAGUUCAAGAGCUAAUUUGAAAAUUAUUUUAGUACAACAAUUGUGGGGAUGGGGGAUCGAACCUCCCACCACCUCAAGGAUGAUAGGUCAUGCCAAUUAUCCUUCAGCUAAGCUCACUUUGGUGAAUACUUAAUUGUACUUUGGGUGGCACAUUGAAUCGGUAUUGUUUAUCAAAGAAGUGACAGGAUGCAUUAAUUUCCUAGAUCUAGCAUUAAGCUAACAAAUACAAAAUUAAGAUCAAAACAAAUAAUGUCCAUGCUAAAAUGCAACUUAACCAAGGAAGCAAUGCAAAUUACUCACAUUUUUCGUAGUUUGAACAACCUUUGUCACAGACAUUUCCUUCUCAUGUGCUGUUGAUGCAUCUAACCCUACACCAGUGGCUGAAAGAAGUAAUAAAUAGAUUUUGGUAAUAGGUAUAGCAAAAAUGUGAGCUCCAUGCUCAUUUACACAUCUCAGACCAUCUUCCAGAAAUCGACUCAUCCAAAAAACUUCCAGAACGUUUCAUAUUCUAGAUGGGUGACUUUCUGAACUUGUGACCUCAAAUACGGCAUUUACACUUUGCUUACCCCUAUGACCAAUGGGUCCACAGUUAUUGCGGAAAACAAGACUAAACAAAUUAAUUAUUAGACGGCCGUGUAUUUUACGGUAGGUGAUAGUGCCUACCCUUCCUGUAUUUGAAACAAAAGACUCCAAGCCACUUUUUGGCAUCCAUGAGAAAGAAGCCAACAACGGGUUGAUGUUACAAUAUAAAUGUUCUACUAUGUCACUGAUAUUAGAGAGUUCAUUUUUUUUUAAUGAAAAUUUUAUUCAGAUAAAAAUAAAGAAUACACAGGCAUACAAAAGACUAACCCACAAAGGAGUCCACCUAAAUGGAGGGACUCCAACUCUACAAAAUAGACAAAGUUUCUUCGUAACCAGUUGUUGUUAUGUUUAGUUUAUAUGUCAGUUAGUUAGUCUCAAUUGUAUUAAUAAACAGUCAAGCAGUUGUUUCUAAGCUCUGUUUAAGAGAGUUCUCUGUAUUCUUCUGAUUAAGUAGAUAUAAUCAUAAACUUCGUCUCUUCUAAGUCUGUUAAUUGGAAAAUCAAAACUAAAUUUUCUAAUAUUUGCUAAUUGAUAACUGCCUCAUAGACAUGAAGGACAAGAUCUCUUUUGGCAUCCUUUUCAAAUUUUAUUUUCCCACAUGCUAGUCUCAGCAUUGCUGCAUUUCUCUACUUCUUCUAGUCUUAUUAACAUGAACAUCCAUUCCCUAAGCACACAAUUUUUAGCACCCUACCACAUUCUUGAAUAAAAUUAUUUCUUAUCCAGCAAAAAGAAGGAUGAAACAAAGGAAGGCCAUGUUUAUAUUAGUUCAUCAGUAUUCUGAUUUAGAUCAAUAAUAAUAACAAAGAGUGUGAGCUGCAAGGUAAAUAAACGCACCCUUGUCUGAACUUUGAGACUCGCCUUGAGCUUCUCCUUUUAAUUUUCUGCCGCCAGACUCGUCAAUUGCAGCCUCAUUAGAAGUUUCUUUUACAUUAAGAAUGUCAGUUUCUGCUAGUUCCAUACAACCCUUACCAGCUGUCUUUUCCAAACUCUCCAAAUUAUUAAAUUUUUCUGUUUCAGAUGAAGCAACAGUUAAAGUUUCCAACUUUUGAGUAUUCUCUGAACUACAUUUCUCAAUUUCAACAUUUUCCAUGAUCUCAUGCCUUUGACCAUCGGAAAAAUCAGAUUCUGGUGAAGUUUUUCGUUGGGAAUCUAAUGGCUUUGCUUCUUCAAAAUUCUGUGUUGAAGGUGUUUGAGUUUCUGCAGAGCUUUCAACAAAACCAUCUGGCAGUGAAUCUACUUCAGGAGGGUGAUUUAGACCUGGGUUCUCCAUACCACCUACAUGUUGAACAUUGAUAGUAAGAAUUUUCAUGUAACUCAAUAUGAGAACAUCACAUAUGGUCGGUUAAAAAAAAUCAAAUCAAAAGAUUCUAUCAGUUUUGAUUUAAGCAACAUCACGUACUCAAUUCUAAGCCUUAUCCACACACCAUGAGCUAGUGCAAAGCUCCCAGCCAAUUCGAGAAGUUUAGUAAGCUCUCCCCUUUUCUCUGAGAAUUCUCUACAGACAAAGUAUAAAAACAUAAUAACCUACUCUCCCAUACAUACCAAUGUAUAGCCCUCACUUGCAAAACAUUUUGAUGGGUGGUUUCUCCCUCCUCCCUGACGCAAAACCAACUCCAGCCCCAAACUAGCUAUCGUACUCCUCCAUCAAUGUUGAAUCGGGAUUGGUGGCCUAACACCUUCACAUGAUUAAAUCCGACUAUCAAAUAGCAUGGAGUUUCAAUUCAAAAUCAAAAAGCAAUAAGAGGAGUUUCACAUAUAUCUUAUAAACAUUGUGAGGUCCCUCCAUUUGUCCAAUAUGGGAUCCUCAACAUGUCCUCAAAACAGUACCUCUUAAUGGGUUCAUCAAUCUAAAAUGGUACCCCUUCAUGGGUUCAUCAAUCUUGGAAUUGGACGAAAACAGAAAGAGCAAAAUGAAAGAGCAAAACUGAAGCAAAGUAGAAUCAAAGCUGGACGAAAACAGGGUCGGAAUUGGACAGAAGUGUUUUGUCGGAUCAAAAUGGAACCGAACGAACUAAACUAGAGCAAGUCAGAAUCAAAUUAAACGGGAAAUCUGGGGAGAACAGAACGGAAGCUGAACUGAAUGGAGCAGAGAGGCUUAGCGGAUCUGAACAAAAACAGAAACGAGGCGUCGUUGGAUCUGGGCUUCGAUCUAAACUUUGAAGGCAGACAUGAAGGAUGGGUCUGAACGAAAUUAGACAGAUCUGGAACAGAUUGGAGGCAGACGCGAGGAUCUGAGGACAUGGGGUUUCAUGGUUUUGUUGGGACAGCGUAAGGAGAUGGAGCAACGACAACGAAACGCAGCGGCGAGCGGAGCUUCUUGGAUGACGGAAAAAACUGAAACUCUUCGGCUGGGCGUUCGGCUUCAACUGACAGAGGUUCAAUCGGUUGCUUGGCUAACGGAAAAACAAGAGGUCGGACGAAGAACUAUGAAGGAGAUGGCCGCCACAGACGCUAGUGAAAAACGAAUGGGGUUUCUAGGGUUUGGAUGGUGGCAGAUUUGAACAGCAAUGAGUGACAAAGGGAAGGUGCAACGACAACGGCAAAUUUGCAGAUCUAAGGGGCGGCUUCAGCUAAUGGGAGAUGAUUCUGCCUCCGUUGAUGAAUUAUCAACGGAGGCAGAGAUCAAACGGGAUGUGAAGGCUAGAAUUCAAUAAGGCGAAAACCCUAGAACUCUGAUACCAUGUUGAUUUUAUGGAAUUAAUCUAUAUUUCAUUCAUUAUUUAAUAGAGAUAUAGAUUAAUUCCAUAAAAUCAACACAAACCAAACUUUCCCUCACCACUAUCCUACCAGAAACCCUAUCCCACUAUCAUCUUGGUGUUGGUAACCUCCAUAUCCAAUCAAAAUCCGAAGUUGGUUAGUCCUCGGCCCAAUUCAAACCAAGAGUGCAGGAUACCACCAAAUAACAAUUGGCUAUAUUUCAACAAGAACUUGCAGCUUUUGGAGUCCUUACACACACACCAAGUCCUAGCAUUCUGACCAACUUGCCAAUGUAUUUCAAGAAUCCGAUAACUUCAUUCCCUAAUUUGUCUUCCACUUACAUAUCUGGUUCUGUGGCACAAAAUAAAGGAGUCUUUGCAAGGGAGAAGUUGAAUGGACAAAACUACUUCUCUUGGUCACAAUCUGUUAAAAUGAUCCUUAAGGGGCACUGCAAAUUUGACUUUCUGACAGAAGAGGUACCUCGACCUCCACCAAGUGAUUCUCAGGAAGUUUCUAGAAAGGGGAGGAUUGCCUCAUUUGGUCCAUGCUAAUCAACAAUAUGGAUCAACAGAUUGGCAAGCCCUUGUUAUGUGCUGCAACUGCUAAUGAUAUAUGGACAUAACUCAGAAACUUUAUUCGAAGCGUCGGAAUGCCUCUCGCCUCUACACACUGAGAAAACAAGUCCACGAAUGCAAAUAGGGGACUAUGGAUGUAACAUCCUAUUUUAACGAACUUUCCCUCAUUCAGUAGGAAAUGGAUCUUUGUAGAGAGAUUGUCUAGAACAGUCCCAGUGAUGGCAUACAACACUCUAGACUUAAAGAGGUUGACAAAAUAUAUGACUUUCUUGCUGAUCUCAACUCCAAGUUCGAUGUAGUUUGUGGUCGUAUACUGGGCCAGAGACCUAUUUCCUCCUUGAUGGAGGUCUAUUCUGAAGGCUGCCUUGAGGAGGACUGUACGAGUGCUAUGAAUAUCCUAACCACUCCCGUUAUUGAUUCCUCUGCCUUUGUGCGAGGUCCUCCACUCAUGACAAUGAGAAGAAGAACGGAAAACUUGUCCCUAUCUGUGAGCAUUGCAAGAAACAAUGACACACCAAAGAAACAGUGUUAGAAAUUACAUGGUCGUCUCCAAUGAGGUAAGAAACGUCCUCCAAACAACAAACAGAAUUCAAGGCGAGCAUGUGAGUGAAUCUGCUAGAACCUUCCAACCAUUUGGACUCCCUGAAAACCAAAAUGAUCGUAAUCAAUCCAUACUAGGAUCUAUUACUCCGUCAGGUAUGCCUCAGUCUUAGUUUAUAUGCUACUCAACCCACUCUUUUGGUCUUUCCCCGCAGAAGCAACGUAGUAAUGUCUCCACUCCUCUAUUAACGACUUUCGUUUGACCAUCUGAUUGGGGAUGAUAUGUUGUGCUUCGAUUUAGCUUUGUUCCUGCCAUCCUGACCAACUCCUUCCAAAAGUUACUUAAGAAAAUUUUGUAACGAUCGGAUACUAUAGAGUUGGGGUAUCCAUGUAAUCGAACUAUUUCUUUCACAAAUAAUUUUGUGACUGUCUCGGUUGUAUAUGAGUGUUUUAUUGGUAAAAAAUGCCCAUGCUUGCUCAAACAAUCUACUACAACAAGGAGGACUUCAAACCCCUUUGAUUUAGGCAAUCCUUCAAUAAAAUCCAUGGAGAUAUCACUCCAUAUCUUGCUCGGGAUCUCUAGGGGUACUAACAAUCAGGCAGGUGAUAGUGCUAAUGUCCUGUUCCUUUGGCACACGAGACAUUCUUCACAGUAUUUCUUUAUCACUUGCUUCAUGCCCUCCCAAUGUAAUUCUCCUGCUAUCUCUUAUAGGUUCAUAAGAAACCUGAAUGUCCUCCGAAUACAGAGCCGUGAUACGUAUGGAGGAUUGUAGGAAUUAAAGUUGAGGUAUUCGAAAUGACUAGUCAACUCUUAUACCUCAGCAUCCCUUGUUGAAUGGAAUACUUUUGCCAUUGGCCUUCCUCUCAUUUUUCUACUUCUGUCAUGACUUCCUUCAGGUGCUCACCUUUCUCCAUUUCUUCUUUAAUCACUUGUAAGUCAAUCAGGGUUGGUGCCAUCAGACUACUUAGAUGAAUAGUAGAUGGCAUCUUUGACAAUGCAUCAGCUGCCUUGUUCUCUAAUCCCAGUUUAUACAAUCCUUCAAAUGAAUAGCCUAGAAGCUUAGUUAUCCACUUUUGAUAUUGGGGUUGGGUCACCCUCUGUUCUAGUAAGAAUUUCAAGGAACGUUGGCCAGUUUUCACUAGGAAUUUCCUUCCUAACAGGUAUGGCCUCCAUCUCUGCACAGUCAAUACCACAGCCAUCAGCUCACUUUCGUACACUGGCUUAGCCCGAUCUCUUGCUGCAAGUGUGUGCUAAAGUAUGCAAUUGGUCGUUUGGACUGAAUCAGCACAGCUCCAAUUCCAAAUCCUUAUGUGUCUGUCUCUAUUUCAAAAGGGACAUUAAAGUCAAGUAAUGCCAGUACAGAGAGAGUAAUCAUAGCUUGCUAUAACUUUAGGAAGGCUUCACGAGCUUCUUCAUUCCACUUAAAUCCUCCUAGCUUCAACAAUUGUGUCAAUGGUGCUGCUAAAGAACCACAAUGUUGCACGAAUUUUUUGUAGUAGCCAAUCAACCUAAAAAGCCUCUUACUUCUCGAACAUUGGUAGAGACUGACCACUCCUUGAUGGCUCGUAUCUUUUCAGGAUCCACUUCAACACCUUGUCCUGAUAUGAUGUGCCCUAGAUAAUCCACCCUUUCUUUGGCAAAGCUACAUUUCUUCGAUUGGCGUACAAUUCGUUCUUUCUCAGUGCUUGCAAGGCUAGCCCCAACUGUUGAGUGUGUUUCCAAAUCCUUGCUAUAGAUGAGAAUAUCAUAAAAAAAACUAACACGAACCUCCUCAAGUAUGGCUUGAAUAUUGAAUUCAUCAAGGACUGAAAUGUUGAUGGCGUGUUGGUUAGUCUAAACGGCAUGACCAUGAACUCAUAUGACCUUCGUGAGUACGGAAUGCUGUUUUUUCAAUAUCUUCUCCACACAUACGGAUUUAGUGGUAUCCUGCCUUCAAGUCGAUCUUUGAAAACCACGAAUGCUCCAUUCAAGUCAUCGAACAAUUCUUCAAUGACCGGGAUAGGAAAGUUUUCUGGUAUUGUCACGUUGUUCAACACUCUAUAAUCAACGCAGAACCGCCAGCUUAUCUUUCUUCCUUACCAAUAGCACUGGGCUGGAAUACAGGUUGUUGUUGGGCCGGAUUAUCCCUGAAGUCAGCAUUUCUUCUACAAGUUUCUCCAUUUCAAUUUUUGGUUGGUAUGCAUAGUGAUAUGGCCUUACGUUUACUGGGUCAAUGUCUUUCUUCAGAUGGAUGUGGUGCUCAAUUUCUCUUCUUGGUAGUAGUUUCUCAGGCCAAGUGAACACAUCCUCGUAUUUCUUUGAAACUACAGCUACUGAUUCUUCCACUUUCAAUACUUCUUCUUCUUCUCUUAUUACUAGUCUUCCUUCAACGACGCAGCAUUCAACUAAGAAUCCUUGGUCAGAAUUAUCCCAAGUUUUCAUCAUUUUCUUCAAGCUGACCCUGGAUUUGGUUAAGCUAGGAUCUCCUUUGAUGACUACUAUUUUGCCUUUAUGGAUGAAUGUCAUAGUCAAGUUCUUCCAAUCUACUUCAGUGAUGCCCAAGGAAUACAACCACUGCAUACCCAAUACUACCUCUACCCCUCUUAACUCCAAUGGUAGGAAGUUGGCUACUACUUUCCAUCCACUCAAUACUACUUCUACUGCUUUGCAAAUCCCCUUGCCUUUCACUGUUGUGCCGGACCCCAUAGUGUGAGGUAUCUUUAGUUGCAAGUUGUAACUCUUCUACUACGUGAUUAGAGAUGAAGUUAUGGGUAGCCCCACAAUCAAUCAGAAUCACUACUAAUCUACUUCCCUUUCUUUGAUCUUUCCUUUGACCUUCGUAGUGCCUAGGUUAGAUAAUCCCACAACUGAGUUAAUGGAUAGUAUUAAACCACCAAUUCAUCCAAAAGCUUAAGUUGGUGGUUGAAGGCAAAUUUAAUUAUAUAUCACCAACACUCCCCCUCACUUGUGGGCUUGAAAUAUUUGAAAGGCCCAACAAGUGGAAAUUGAUUUUAAUUGGGGAGGAAAUGACAAUGCAGGGGCUUGAACACAGGACCUCCCUGGACCACCUGCUCUGAUACUAUAUUAAAUUUGAUAGUAUGGGGUUCCAUCUCAAAACCAAUUGGCAAUGAGAGGAGUAGCUCAUCUAUAUUAUAUGGAAUAUGAGUCCUCUUGGUUUUUCCAAUGUAAGACUUAAUAUCUCCAAUAUGCCCCCUCAAGAUGGUGUCUCUUUGGGUUCACCUAUCUUGGACCAAAUACCUGUUUGGGCUUACUAGGCUCUGAUACCAUGUUGAAAGGAGAGACAAAGAGCACACACCAAUUUACGUGGAAACCCAAGUACCGGGAGAAAAACCACGAUUGUUUGUUGUUAUUAUUCUUUAAUGAAUAAUACAAUAGGUACAAGGGAGAAUAAAUAGAGAAUACAAGAGAAUAAAAAAGGAAAAGAUUUGGAAAAUAUGGAAAAUAUUUCCAUAAACAUUCUUGGAUUCUAACAAGAAAAAUAUUUAGAAAAUAAGAAACAGAUUCCAACAAAUAGUUCUAUAACAGUCUGGUCAUCCCCUGCCACUUCUACCAUGUUCAGUUUCUUUUUUGUGUCCUCCAAGUCUUCUAAGAUCUCCCAUUCUUCAUUGUCGGUCUUGACUACAAACAUCAUGAGUUCCCUCUGCUCUUUCACCUUGCAUUUAUGGCCAUGAGAAAAUUUAUCAUUGCAACGAAAACAUAGGCCUUUCUCCUUCCUAGCCUGAAAUUCCGCAACACUCAGCCUCUUUGAUGGUCCUUCCUAAUUUUGCUUCUCCUGGCCCUACUUCUCUCAAAGUGAUGGUCCUCAUAGGUAACGUGGUGUUACCUUUGUUCUCACUGUUACUCCCACCCUAGGUUUAGAUUUCAAAAAUUUGGAAUAGUAAGAAUUACCUCAUGCGCAUCCUUGGAUAUUAGCCUCAUUACAAAUGAUCUCUCAGUUCUCCACGAGUUGUGCUAACUGCAUCAUUUGGACUAGACCGACCGUUCGGCCGAAUUUGACUUCUGCCUUGAUCCACGGUAACAACCCAUUCAAAAAGGUUUGUUCAACCACUUAAUCUUGCAGGUUGGAUAAUGGCACCAUUAACUUGUCAAACAGAUUUUGGCAUUCUUCUACCGUGGUUUCUUGUCUGAUUCUCAGGAAUUGGCCACAUAUCAAUCCUUCCCUCGCUGAUUGAAAUCGUACCAACAACCUCUGGUAUAGAUUCGACCAUCCCAUGAAUUUUUUCCGUUUUUCUUGAGCCUUGUACCAAUUCAAUGCUGGUCCAUCGAAGCUGAUAGUUGCAACCGUCAUUUUUUUAGAAUCCGUCAGCUUGUGAAUUUGGAAGUACCUAUCGGCACGAAAUAGCCAAGAGUCUGGAUCUUCACCAUUGAACACAGGCAUUUCUACCUUCUUGAAUUUAUUUCGGUCACUACUCUUAUCACCCUCCUCCUUCUCGUUUGAAUUCGGUUCUUCAUUUGAUUCCAACAUUUUCGCUUCCAUUUUGCUGGAUGCCUUUUCUAAUUCUGGUGUUGAUGAAGAUGAAUUUUUCAUCAUACUCUCAAUAUAUUUCAAAAUCUUUUGCUGCUGCGUGUUCAGUUCGUUUUGUACAUCGAUCUUCUCCAUGUGUUUCGUCAUUUUGGUUUCGAGCUCUGGCAAUUGCUGUAGGUCCAUUUUCAUGUUUGCGAUUUCUUGCUCCAUGUUUUCAAACAUUUCCUCCAUCUGUUUCAUCAUCUUUUGUCGCUUGCCCAGGAUGAUCACGCUCUAAUACCAAUAUAAUGGAACCCACACUUGAUAUCAAGGUAAACUUUAUUGAUAGUAUUCGACAACCGCUCUUAGUGAACUCAACUACCGAAUUGAGAAUGCCUCAAUUCGGAACUCUAGCUCCUUUGUUACCUUGUCUUUCAAAGGUGCACACAAGCCUAACUCACUUUCUCACUAAAAUCUUCUCUCCUUAUCUCUCUUCCUUAGCAUUUAUUUAUACUAACUCUCAACUACCCGACUUAACUGACUCUUAACUACUCGACUAACAGACUAACUAACUUUUCUUCAUCCUUCUACUAUAUUGGUGUAUGAUAGGGGGUCUAUCAGCCUCCUUUCCUUCACAACCAUAUAAACCAACCCAACCUUUCACCCUUAUCCACAGGUUUGGGGGCGCUCCAAGGUUACUACCUCUUCCACAAAACGGUGGUUUGUAACCUUAAUUAAUGAUCAUACCCACCUUGCUUGGGUUUUCCUCGUCUUUGACAAAUCUAAGGUCACUUCCACAUUCCAAAACUUCUAUCACACCGUAGAAAUGCAGUUCAACAUCAAAAUUGCAAUUUACGAAGUGACAGUGGUCGUGAGUUUCAAAACCAUACCCUUAAUGAGUUUAUGUCCUCCAAAGAGAUUGUCCACCAGAGUUUCUGUGCGUACACUCCCCAGCAAAAUGGAGUUGACGAGCGAAAAAACCACCUUAUGGUAGUAGCCAGCUCCCUAUGUUGUCUACUUCUGUUCCAUCCUAUCUGUGGGACGAUGUUGUCCUCACUGCAACUCAUCUUAUUAAUCGGACGGCAUAUCGUGUUCUCCACCUCCAGACCCCAUUAGAAUACUCAAGGAGUCUUAUCCUUCUACCUGUUUCAUUCUUGAGGUUCCCCUUCGAGUGUUCAGGUGCACGACCCACAUUCAUAGCCAUGGCCCUAACCAGACCAAGUUCACCCCUCUGGCUCAGGCUUGUGUGUUCGUUGGGUAUCCUCUUCAUCAACAGGGCUAUAAAUGUUUCCAUGGAUGUCACUUUCCUUAAGGAUCGUCCUUUCUUUCCCGUUAGUUCGCUUCAGGGGGAGAGUGUAAAUAAAUAGCCUAACUGUGUGAUUCCCUUAGAUCUACUAGUCCUACUCUCGUAACCUUACCCAACCCCAAUCCUUACAACACGGUCUUACCAACAAACCAAGUUCCCUAGAUAACCUACUAUAGGAGAAUCUCAAAAAGGGAGUUGGGUCCCCUACCAUUCAGCUGGCUAAAAUCCAAGAUUUUGAACCAUCACAAGAUCAAGGUAUGACUGAAUCUAUUGACUCAUAUGUUGACAAUAAAAUGGGUGAGAAUGACAAGUCCAAUAUAGUUGUUCCUGAAGAUACAAGUGAAAGGGGCAGUGUUGAUGAGAUUUAGGUCAUGGCAGAAACUGCAGGAGAUGAGAUUAAACAAGAUCAUUCAAGUAAUUUUGAUGAGUAUGAUCCGUCUCUUGACAUACCUAUUGUGCUGAGGAAAGGUAUCAGGUCCUGCACGAAGCACUCCAUCUGUAACUAUGUAUCUUACAAGAACCUAUCACCCUAGUUGAGAGUCUUAACAGCCAGUCUUGACUCCACCACGAUACCUAAGAAUAUCCACAUUUCCUCAGAGUGUCCUGAGUGGAAAGCUAUAGCCAUGGGAGAGAUGAGAGCCCUUGAAAAGAACAAGACUUGGAAGCUCUGUGCUCUUCCUAAGGGGCAUAAAACCGUGGGAUGUAAGUGAGUGUUUACCCUCAAGUACAAAACAGAUGGAACUCUUGAUAGAUACAAGGCCAAGUUAGUUGCAAAAGGAUUUACUCAGACUUAUGGGGUCGACUACUCUGAGACUCUUUCUCCUGUUGCAAAGUUAAAUACCGUUAGGAUCCUUCUGUCUGUUGCUAUAAAUAAAAAUUGGCCCUUAUAUCAGCUAGAUGUUAAGAAAACUUUCAUAAAUGGAGAUUUAGAAGAGGAAGUCUAUGUGAGUCCCCCUCCAGGCUUUGAAGCCCAAUUUGACCAUCGGGUUUGCAAGCUUCAUAAAUCCUUGUAUGGGUUGAAACAAUCACUGACAGCAUGGUUUGACAAGUUCACCACCUUUGUCAAGUCCAAAGGGUACAAUCUAGGACACUCUGAUUACACUCUGUUUACAGAAGUCUCCAAGUCCGGGAAGAUUGCUAUGUUGAUCGUCUACGUUGAUGAUAUUGUGCUAUCUAUAGAUGACACCGUUGAAAUUGUCCAACUAAAAAAGAAUAUGAGGGAUGAAUUUGAAAUUAAAGAUUUAGGGAAUCUAAAGUACUUCCUUGGGGUGGAGGUAGCCAGAUCUAAAGAAGGUAUCUCUAUAUCUCAAAGAAAGUACCCUCUUGAUUUGUUAAUAGAAACAGGUAUGAUGGGAUGCAGAACUGCUGAUACACCUAUAAAAUUCAAUGCUAAAUUGGGAAAUUCUAUUGAUAAAGUUCCAGUUGAUAAAGAAAAAUAUCAACACCUGCUGGGGAAGUUGAUCUACUUAUCUCACACUUGACUAGAUAUCUCCUAUACUAUAAGUACCAUUAGUCAGUUCAUGUAGACUCCUUACAAGGAACACCUGGAGGCAAGGAACAGAAUUCUGAGGUAUUUGAAAACGACUCUUAGUAAAAGGUUGAUGUUUAGGAAGACUGACAGAAGGUUUAUUGAGGCUUAUACUGAUUCUGACUGGGCAGAGUCUGUUGUUGACAAAAAAUCCACCUCUAGGUACUAUAUUUUUGUGUGGGGCAAUCUCGUAACUUCGAGGAGUAAAAGCAAAGGGUUGUGACAAGAAACGAUGUUGAAGUUGAGUACAAAGGUAUUAGUUUGGGGGUAUGUGAGGAGAUUUGGCUACAAAAGGUUUUAUCUUCUUGGUCAAGAUUAUGAGGUGCCUAUGAAAAUAUUUUGCGAUACCAAGGCAACUAUUAGCAUUGUAACAACCCAGUUAAACAUGAUAGAACAAAACAUGUGGAGAUUGAUAGACACUUUAUUAAAGAAAGAUCGGACAAUGGUAGCAUAUACAUUCCUUACAUUCCCUCAAAUCAACAAGUUGUUGAUAUUUUCACCAAUGGGCUUUUCAGACAAAGUUUGGACUCUUGUGUUAGCAAGGUGGGUUUUAUUGACAUUUACGUUCCAACUUGAGGUGAAGUGUUAGAAUUUGUGGGCUUGAUGUGUGUUGGAAUGCCAAGAGUAGUUAUGUAAAUUAUGAUUACCCUAAUUAUUUUUUUCCCUUUUUAUUAAAAUUCUUGUAUCCUAUUAGUCUUCCCCCUCUUAUAUCUUUGGUUAUUUCUCUUCAAUAGUUUGCUUGAUGAAACUUUAUAUGUAACCUCAAGAAACCAACUAAAAUAACAGACAGGAUCAACCAAAACAUUGCACUCAAGAUGCAAACAAGAAAACUUCAGCAAAAAUUUUAAAAUUUGACAGAGAAAUGGUAUACUCACGAAAACUUGCAGGAUUGCACGACGUUUACAUCCUAAAAACCCUCACAAAAUAUAAAAAUUAACGAGAAGCACCCAUUUCCUCCCUAAAACGGUCCGCGACAUGCAGUUCGCUACAUUUUCCGAGUAACAGAACAACAAAACAGAAGGCAAAGGAAAUCCUACUAUAGCAAACUGAGAAAUCAGUGCAAUUUCUGUAGAAAUUUGAAGAUCAUAGGUAGAAAAAGGGAAGAAGAAAAGGAGAGAAUUACCAGGUUGUUUAAGGGUGGUGAAGUUGAGACCGGCAGAGCGAUCUACGGUGAUCUUUCCGUGAGUUAGUCUAGUCAGUGAAGGUCCCUCGAACCGAUUUCAACAGUGUGCCUUACAACCUGAUUUUCUUGUUUUUCUUCAAAACUGUAUUUGUCCACUUUCUUUAUUUACUGAACUUUUCAAAAUAAUAAUAUAAUAAUUUUUUAUUAAAUUUUUUUUUCAACCUUUUAAUUUUGGUUAAUUUUGCAGAGAAGAAAAUUUGAUAAAUGAAGAAAGUUUGUAAAGAAAAAAAAUUUGAUAGAAGGAGUGUGUAGGAAGAAAAUUUCAUUAUUUAUCUUAUUAUCUUUACAUUUUUUUCUCUUUUAUCUUAAACAAAUCAAAUAUCAUGUUCAAAUAAAUUUAGUUGGAGGUUGUGUGUGAUAGAGAUUUAUUUUCAAUGAUUCGCACUACCUCGUUGAUAAGUAAUUUUCUUAUUUUUUUUCUCUAAUUUUAUUAUUUUCUUGAUACUUUGUUUCUCUUUUAUUAUCGUUAUUUUUUUUAAAAAAAAAUCCUUUUAACAUUUUUUCUCUCUAAAAUAUAGAAAAAAACAUAAGGAAAAUGUUUAGUUUCUUUAUCCACAGUUAUUUCUUUAUUUACAGUUAUUUCAUUAUUGUUUUUCAGUAUUACUAUUUUCUUUUCUUAUUAUUAUUUUCUUACUUUUAUUUUAUUACUAUUAAGUUUUUUCCUUUUUACUUAUUCUUAUCCUUAUUAUUGUUAUUAUUAUUAUUUAUUAUAAUAAUAAUAAUUAUUAUUAUUAUUAUUAUUAAUUGAUAAUUAUUAUUAUAUAAUAAUUUAUGGUGCCGCCAUUUCUCUCUUUUUUUUUCUUUCUUUCUUUAUAAAUUAUUUUCCUUUUUUUCUUUUUUCUUUCCUUAUUUUAUUUAUUGCCAUUAUGUCUUUUUCAUUUUUACUUAUUUACAUUACAAUUAUAAUAAUUAUUAUAAUUAUUAUAUGUGCUUAAAUUUAUGUAUGCAUAUUUUUCUUUACAUUUUACAUUGAAUUUAUCUAGACAAUAUUACCCUAUUAUUUUAUAUUAAUUAAUUAGUUUUUUUUUCUUUCAUAUUUGUCUUUACAUUUUAUCGUUCUUACACAACUCAGAUGGAAUUAGAAAUAUAUUGAAAUCUGAAUUUCUAAAUUCUUGAAGUGAGAAAAUCAGUUGUUUGAGAGUCCAAGAUCAAUCUUCAAUAUAUGUUUAAAAAGUAAUAAAAAUGGUAUCUUAUUUGUUUAAUUUACUGUGUGAUAUAUUUGAUUCUAUAUUGUGUAUUAUUUUCUAUUUGACUUAAUUUUGAAAUCUUUCUUAAACUUUUUUAACAAUUUAGAAAUAUUUUCCUUAAAACUAUUUUUUAAAUACUUUUAAAUUUUAAAUAUAAAUUUAUAUUUCAUAAGGUUUCCUAAUCAACCGUUUUUUUAAUAAUUCACAUCUAUUUUCUAAAAUAAAUCCUACGAUUGAAUCUAAAACUUGUUGGGAGUCCGAUUGAAUCUAAAACUUAUUGGGAGUCCGUUAUUUCUAGAUUCUUGAGGUGGAGGAACAAUAUUUUUUGAAGUUCGAGAUUUGAUUUCAAGAAAAAAUGAAUUUAAUCAAUGUUUUAAAAAAUCUUUAUUUGAAAACUAGCCUAUGAUAAAUUUUAAGAAAUUGUAAUAAUUUUUUCAUUUUCUUAAGGUGAGAAAUUUUCUUCAAUAUAUAGUUUAAUUAAUGAAAUAUUAUUCAACUUAUUUUAUAAGAUGAUUGCUUCAAAUAUUGGAGUAAUGAAGGGUAAAAUAAGACAUUAUUUUUAAAAUAAAUUAAAAAAUAUUUUCAAUUCUAUAUUUGAAAUUUGGCUACCGUUUUUUCUAAAUGGGUGUUGUGGGUACUAAUACAUUCCUCAUACAAAAUGACUCUCAAACUCAACUCUAUUUUACGCAGACCAUUUUUAAAAAAAAUUGUUUACUUUAUUUCGGUGUCCAAUCACUCCAUAAAAAAGAUCAAUGGUGACUCCUAUUUUCUUUUAAAUCUAACUCUUUUAAAGACGUCGAUCGCUCCGCGUUGUCUCAGGCACGUGGUGACAGCUUGGUGACUCUAUUGGGGACAUGAGACUCUACCUCGAGAGUUUGAUCAUGUUCUUCUUUAUCUUGAAUUGGUCAAAAAUCGUACAUGACAAUGACUAAAUUAAACAAACCAUCGAUCUAUACAAUGAGAUUAGCCUCAUUGUUGUCCACGCACAUUGUUCGUUGACCCUCCCUAUAACAUAUCUGUAAUGCCUCAAGUCCAGGACCUCCCUAUAACAUAUUUGUAAUGCCUUAGGUCCAGGAUUUGUCCUAGGAUUUUGAAUUCAAAUUCCUGACAUUCCCCUGCAACCUGACAUCAUUAUCCUUAUUAUUCUUUAAUGCUUAUUAGAGUGAAAGUUCUUUCCACAAACCAAUACGAAUUCUUUCAACAUGUUUUGUCCUCACUCACAUGCAUCCUAGAAAUAUUCUCAAGAUGUCACCCAACAUAGAAUUGCUUCAAAGUAAGCACGCUUAACUUAGAAGUUUCUAUAAUCAAGCCAUCGAAAAGGAAGGUACGCCUUAUUGGUAUAAGUAUUAACUAUUAAUUCUUUUUAAGUUUUUUUUUAACAUUACUUUCAUGUUCUCAGGAUCCUUCUCAUUCAGAUGUGAUAAUGGUUCAUUCAUGUCUCCCUCCUAAUCUCGAGCGUUACAAUAUUGGAGAUUGAAGUAGACAAGUCUUUGGUGCAUUCCAAACCAACCGAGUUGUCGAUGUAUUCCAAGAACCUGAUAACUUUGUUCCCUAAUUUGCCUUUGAAUUAUAUAAGUGGCUCUUUGGGGUGAUCUACAUGGAAUUUUCAAGGUGAGAAAUUAAAUGAGCAAAAUUAUUUUCAUGGUCUCAAUCAAUAAAGAUGUUCCUUGAAGGACGCCACUAGACCAGGUUCUUGACCGAAGAGACUUUUUGUCCUCCACCAAGUGACAUCUUGGAAUGAUUCUGGAAAAGAAACGACUCACUCAUUCGGUCCAUGUUGAUUAAUAGUAUGGAACCUCAAAUCGACAAGCCUCUCUUGUACACAACCACCAUAAAAGAUUUGUGGGAUACAACUCAGACCUUUUACUGUAAGCGUCAGAAUGUCUCUCAAUUGUACACAAUGAGAAUAUAGGUCCAUAAUUGCAAGCAAUGAACCCUAGGCGUGACUUCUUAUUUCAAUAAGCUCCCCCUUCUUUGGUAAGUUUGUGUAAGGAGACAGUUUAGGACAUGUCAAAUGACAGUAUACAAUAUGCUAAACUUGGGGAGACUGAUCUAAUCCCAAAUUUGAUAUUGUUUGUGGUCGUCUACUCGAACAAAAGAUCUCUUCUCUCCCUAAUGGAACUGUGUUUUGAAGUUCGUCUUGAAGAAGAUCGUACUAAUAUCAUGGGUGUACUGACUACCCCCAUGACUAACUCUGCUGUCUUUAGUGUCCAGUCCCCGACUCAUGAUAAUGACAAAAAUAAUGGAAAAAAAUCUCUAUUUGUGAGUACUGCAAGAAACAGUGGCACAUCAAGGAUACUCACAGAUAUAAAAAAAAUGCAUGGACUCCAAACAUCACUAUGAAUAAGGGUGAAAGGUUGAGUGGGUUUAUAUGGUUGCAAGGAAAAGGAAACUAAAUAUACUUACAUUUCUCUAAAUGUUUGUUUCAUUUGUCAAACAGUACAUUCAAUAGAGUUAUGUUCAUUAUCUUGUUGUAGUCUAUGAUGUCAGGUGGAGAGAGAUUCACAAACUUAAGUAACUAAUGAAAGAUACAGAGGAGUUAGCAUAGCAAUGUAUAUUUCCAUUAUAUAUUUUGAAAGACUUCCAAGCAAUCAGUACACUCCAAAUUAUUACAAAGAACAAGUACACAAACAGCUAAUAGAUGGUACAAAAUCCUUUUUCAUACAAACUUGAUUUUAAUAAAUCAAUCCCAUCAAUAAGAAAAAAAAAAUCCUUUUCACUUUUCUUUAAAAAAAAUCAAAAUCCCACCAACAAGUUGGAGGGUUUUACCAUUCAAAUUUACAUUCAAGCUCCGUCUUCCCGGGAAAAAAAUCUAAAAUAAAAGAAAAAAAGAAUAGAGAUGGAUUCUAAAUCUUACUUGUCCCUUGGGAACUUUGAUGAUGAACGACAAGAGCUUCAACAAAGAACAAAUGGCGAGAAUUUCAUUUUUUCUAAAGAAGAAGAGACUUUUGAUAGAGGAAGAGAGACGUCAGACAACAAUGAAGGAGUUAAAGGCAUUCAAUAGUCUAAUGAUGGAUAAACUGAAAACCAAACUGAACUUCAAUACUAUUACAUUUAUUAACCAGUCAAAACCAAACCGAAUCGAAUCGGUCCGAUUUGGUCCAAAGAUUCGGUUCAGUUUUUUACAUCCCCCAUGCAGAUUUACUUGCUUGAAACCUUUUACGACUUUGAAAAUAUAUAAAAAAACCACCCUCACUCUAAACUUGAACUGAUUUAACUUUCACUCUAAACCUAACAAAAAUCAAUUUGAAUCCAAAAUGAAUAACAAUAUCGUUCAAACUUUUUUGAAGUUUAGAAAGCAAAAACAGCAAAAUUGUCCCUAUCUCACUUCAUAAUUAAGUUAAGUUAUUUUGAUUUUUAGCUAAAAGUUCUAGUAGUAAUUUUAGAACCAUAAAAGAGUUUGAAUGUGAUUAAGGACCAAAACUUUAGUCCAGUAAAACAAGAUGUUUCCAAACUAUUGCAAGUUUUUUCACAGAUGCAUCUAUUUCCUCCUGUUUAUGGUACCAAAAAUACACACAUCUAAUGGAAACAUAAAGGCACUACAGACACUACACUGAAAUGAUUUGUUUCUGGUCCUACAUCAUCAGUUUGAUCUCCAUAAAUUCCUACCGAAGAAAAAUUGCUCAACGAUUUUGGAAGUCAACAGCGAGUUUUCCCUUUCAACAUACUGUAAAAGUAUAAUUACAUGAGAAAGAACAUAACAAUUAAGGGUUAGCUUGUUACCAUUGGUCAACACGAGAGCUUCACAUAUACACCUAUCACUUCAAAAAUACCAUUUUAGCUGCAUGUUACAGAAACAAACGAACUAGAAGCGACUAAGAUUCGAUAUCUAAGUAUGUGCAGGCAUAAAAUAAACAGGAGUGCAUCUGCUUCAGAGGUGAAAAAUUGGUAUCAUCAAUUGCAUCUCAAGUAGAGGCUUUUUUAGAUUUUUUCUUAGCUGUUCUGGCUAUAGCAUCACAAAUCUCUUUUUUCCUUUUGUUGUUACUGUUGAUGUUAUUGCUGUUUGUAUGGUUUUGGUUGUUGCCACCACCUGUGCUUGCCGAGCUCUUGGCAUGAACUUCAAGGGCAUCUUUAACAAAAAACUUCAACCGCCAUAAUGUAGAUUCACUCUACAUGAUACAACCAUAAACUCGAUUAAUCAUUGUCAUAGACAAAUAUAAGGCACACGAGGAGUGAAGGAAGGUACCUGUGCAUCGAUAUCAAGAUCCACCUCCUCAGCAGUAGCCUGGAAACUUGGGUUAUUUUCAGCUACAAUCUCCAACGCUUUGCUGAUAUCUUCUGGAGACAAUUUGGUGAGGGCUGCUCCAAGCUUCCUCUUUUCUUCAGUUGAUAUUUUUCUGAACCACACAAUGAUAGUAUCAGUAUACUCCAUCUAUGGGGUGCAAGUCAUCUUCUAAUGUCACAAAGCACAUCAAUCCCAUAAAUUGCCAAUCCUCAACCACAAAAUAGUAAGGAUAUUUAGAGGAGGUGGAGAAGAAUCCUACGGAAAUUUGGUUACUCAUAUUUCUUUGUGGCCUUUGAUUUCAAAGACUAUUUGUAACUAUUCUAUAGGCACUAUUUCAUAUAGUUGGAGUCCUAUUAGAUACCCUAGAUUAUAGGGCAGGUGUAUAAGGGUAAUUAGAUUUGUUGGUAGUUAGAUGGUUAUAAAUAGGAAGUUGGGGAGGGAAGAAGGGCAUGAAGAUUUUGGUGAAGAUAAUAGGCUGCAACAUUCCUUGAAAGAAAGGAAGGGCAGAGGGUUAGGGUUCCUUUUAAGUGUUGUUGAAUUUACUUUUACUUGUUUGUUCUUUUAUAUUGUAAUUUCUGUUUGAGAUAUCAAUAAAAUUGAAACACUCUAUCAGUGUUCUAACAAGUCCCUUCUUGUGGAGGUAGCAACCUCUAUUGUGAUUUCUUUUUUACUAUGCCCGGGUAUUUUUUCAUUGUUUGCUCAAUGAAAGUUGUGGUUUUUAUAUAUAAAAAGGGAGAAAAUGGAAUUACAUAUGAUUGGUAAAAGUUUUUUAUUUGGGGCACACAACACAUGCCACUCAAAUGCCAAAUUCUGAAUAUGCUAUAGGCGAAUGUGAUGCAUUUAUAUUGAUGCAUGGUACCUGAAUGCAAGUUCAAAAGCUGAAAUUUGGAACGAGAAAAGUGAGAACAAACCUGCAGUUCUGCACAACCAGUUCUCGAAGCUCUUCUAGUUGCAUAUCUACCUCGUAAAUCUGAAAACAGUUCAUAUCCCACGUUUAAACAGUCAAUUGUGUUUCCCAUUUAAGGUAAUAGAAAGAACAAGAGGAUGCAGGUCAUCUCUAAACAAACUCUCUCUAAGUAGCUAGAUCCAUGGAAUAAGAUGGACACCCGACCUCAUUACUUAUAUCCCUAGCCAUUUUUGCUUGAGCAGCCUCCUGAGCAAGCUGCAUGUCCAACAGAGCUUCUGCUUCCUCGUCCUCUCGUCUCUUUUCCUGGAAGGUGAGGUCUUUAGAACUUCAAGUAUAUUUUUUAACAUAUCCUUUGAACAAAUGAAACCAUGUUGGCACCAUGAAUUGAUUAAGGAACAUUGAUCCAUUUAAGAACCAUUCUCAAAACUAACUUACCUCUUCAGUGACUUUAGGUAGAAGUUGAAGCCAUUUUUCUUCAAACUUUGCGAGCAAAGUCUUGGCCAUCACGUGAACAUCACUUCUCUCAUCAUUAUAUUUCAUUGCAUUCUUGAAGACUAAUCUCACGUCAGAACAUAUUUCUCUCACAUUCUUAUAUCCAGUACCAUCCUUAGCCUCCAUUUGAUUUUUUAUUGUACUGAAGUCCAUAGGCUUGUCAAUAACCUAAUAAAUACAGUACAGUACAUAUGUUAGCUGAAGGAUUACAGAACCAGAGUACAUACCAAAGAUGCUAAAAUAUGCACAUGCCCAUCACACCUAAUUGCAGAAGAAGCUACAUUUGUAAAUACACUCAUAUCAUUUAAACAUUUUUGAGGUAAAUGUAUGCAUAUUGAAUGUUCAUCUUAGACAGAAUAGAAAACACAACCUAUAAGACAUGCAUGAAAUUAGUGCAGUCUAGACAAACCACAGGAAAAAUACACACAAAAAAGGUGAUGCAAGCAUGAAAGAUGAGCCUCUUCUAGGCUUUUAGGACAAACAAGAGACGCAACAUCAUGCCUAAACAUUAUAAACACAGCCAACCUCCUCUAACCAAAUUCUCUCGAAAUCUUCAUUUGAAGAAAUAUAUAUAGCACUGCUUAAACUCAGUGGGUAGUCCAGCCUAACUUGGAAAAAAGACUUAUGAUAGUGAUGUGAAAUCCAUGCAUUAUUUUUUUAUAUCCGUGAGUAUUCGGGCCAACUUAUGUGCACCUCAACUAAUCUCACGAAACAACCGCCAGACCGUACAACAUUUGGAUGUCAAGGGAACUCGUAGGAAAUUAAUUCCUAAGUAGGUGGCCACUAAUGAUUGAACCCAUGACCUCUUAGUUAGAUAUUGAGACUGUCUCCCUUUUUACCACUAGGGCAACCUAUAAUGGUUGAAAUCCAUACAUCUUAUUAGAUAGGGAUAUAGACCUCACCUCAUAAUAAUCAUGUAAUCCAAGACCUUCCACAUCCACUGGCUGCAUAAAAGGCCAGGCCCACUUAUGCUGUGAUAUCUGAAAGUCAAUGCAGAAAUAUAAAAACCAUGUCCAACUAUAGCUCUUGUUCCAAAUAAUUAUCGACAGAAAUUGAAAUAAAUGUAAGAACACAAACAAUUAUCGACAGAAAUUGAAAUAAAUGGCAGUGAGUCUGUAACCUGACGCAAUAUUGUCCCAAACUGCCGCAUGAGUUCUUGCAUUCUCUUUGUAGCUGCAGCUUCUCUGCGAGCUGCUUCUUGCUGCUGCUUUUUAAUACUUGGAACAUGUCUUUCCUUAUCUUUAUCCUUUACAAUAGAGCUGCCUUUAUUACCAUUUGGUUGCUUCUUUUUCAGCGUCAAAUAGAAUUGUUCUAUCUCAUUCACAUUUUGCUCAAGCUGCAAGCAUAGAAGAAAGCUCAAGAUUUGAAACUAACAAUUUGACGAGCAAAAGGAUAGCUAAUUUGGAAGGAUACAUCUGAACAAAAAAACUUAUGAUCCAGCUGAACUACUAUCAAAUUUUACAUAACAUUGCUAUCCUAAAAUUUGAAACUGGUCUCUCGAGUCAUUUCAUUGUCCAAAUUUUGAUCAAGAUGUGAGUCUGUGAGGUGAUGAAUUAAAUGAUGGUAUCUGUCAUUGUGGGAUAAAUACACACAUGAUGAAUAGGAGUCUUUCCUCCACUUAAUUAUAUUCCUCUCGUUUCACUUGUCAUGUUUGUGAAUUAAGUAGCCUGUCAUACCAUCUCCUUUCAUAUAUUUAUAUAAGCUAAUCUCAAUGUGAAAAAAAUGAAAAAAAAAAAAAUGCAAGGACGUACCAAAAAAUAAGCUAGGGAGCACCCUAUAAAAAGGGAUCCAGUCAAGAAAACUAAGAUGUGGUGAAUGACUACAAAGGAGAUUCGUCACCAACACCCAAAGAGAACUUUUGUUAUAUAUAAGAAGAUUUUCAUGAUAAAAUGAAAUAAAGGGAUAAACCCAAACACCAGAAGGUGAUUACAGAAAAUAAUGCCAAUUAAAGACUAAAUAGGAGAGACCACAGAGAGAUAUUAAAUCUCACAAGGAACCAAACAUUAGAAGACUCCCUCUUAAUCCCCCUAAAAGUUCUAUCCCCGAAUACCCCACAUCACAGCAUACAUCCCAACUUGGUUGUCAUACCAUCUGAUCUUAAAUUGUGACUUCUUUUUUUUAACGAGAAACAAAUUUGAUAAGGAAGGAAAUGACUUUCAAAUAGUAACUAAAUGUUUUCAUCUCAAUCAUUAUAAAUAAAUAAAAAAACUUGAGAGACUAUUUCAACCCAUAUUCAAAACUUCAAGGAUUAAAAAGCUUCGUACACUAAGGACUACCAAAAUUAUUUUUCCCAUACCUCAUCUAUUUUAUGUAGAUAAGGGAUAUCAAACAGCCACACCCUUCACCCAGCCAGAAAAUACUAGAUCUGCCGGACAGCUGUAUGCCCCAACCCAACUAUCAAAUGUGCAAUAAACCGAGCAAAAAAAAAAAAAAUACAUGUUCAGAACAAUGAGGUUACAAUAUAUCAGUGCUUUACCCUGUCAACCUUCAGGAAAAUCUCAUCGACUUGAUGCCUAAAGCCAUCCACUUCUGUAUGAACAGUAUCCCCCACAACAAAGUUUCUGCCAUCUGCUACAUCCAUGGGAUCAAUCUAAUUCUGUACAACAACAUUUGGUGAAUACAAAGAACGCUACCUUGGGAAUUGCCAAAAAAAAAAAAAGAUAGAUAAUGCUCUUUAAGGUGUAAAAUGCCUUGAAAAUAAUAGUUUCCUUAAGACUUAAACCUAAAAAUUAAAAUAAAAUGAGGCAAACCUUUUCUGUGAAUUUUUUUAAAAGUAAAUAUGAAAAUAUAUGAUAUUAUGAGUAAUAAGAUCAACAAAUUAGGACUUUUACCAUGGAAAUAAAAAACAGCAAUAUAGUUUCACAAGGAGCCCUCACCGCACAAAGAACCCUAGAAUAGACAAUAGAUGGAUAAUACAACCGAAUAAGAAGCAUCAUAAACUAUAGAUGCAAAAAAAAAGGUAGGAAACAAUUGAUUUAUGAAACAAAAUGAUGCACCUGGCUACAAAUAUAAGAACAAACUGAAUUUUCCAGUUAUCCUUCUGUAGCAAUAAACUUACUCCAACAAACAACAAUGCAAAGAACCCCCAAAUUAAAUGGUAUAACUACAAAUAUUGACCUAAUUGAACCCAAAGAAAAUUUUACAAACUAAUCCAAAAAACAAAAUCUUCUCUACCACUAACUCAUUCCUGAAAACAUUUCCAUGACCUUUUAGCCAUGUGUAUUGACAUUAUUAACCUUCUCUAUUCAAAUCCUCAACCGUUCGAUUUUCUCUCUCCUCAACCAACAUCUUCAAUGCUAAUCACCAAUAUUCCACCAAAACAUUUAUACUCAACAACAUUUUGUCAUUAGCAUUGAAUGAUCUUGGAUUAUAUCACCGAUGGGACAAAAAAGUCGCUCUAAAACAUUGAAUUUCCUUCCCAUUCUCAUUCCCUGCUCUUCACAUUCUUCUACAAUCAUUCUCCAUCAAAGUUUCAGGUGAAAAUCCUUCUUGUCCUUCGUAUUUGCUCCAAUCGGUCUUCAGAACCAAGUAACUGGACUAUAAGUACUCGUGUGUGAAUUUUAUCUUAUUUUUUAAUAUUACUCAUCGUCUAACAAAAUCGUCAUGACCGUUGAGAUUUUACACACGAUCAUGGUACAUUUUAAUGUAAGAAUUAUAACUAAUUGUUGAUUAUCAAUUAGUUAGUAGUUAGUUUAAUCAUCUGACUAAAUUCUUGAUUUCCAACCAACCUCUAGUUAGUUGUUAGUUUUAUUUUCUGUUAAAAGUUUGUUAUAACCGUCCAACUUUAUCCUUUUUUUUUUUAAAUGGAGACAAGCCUCUUUAUUAAUAAUAAUAAAUGAGACUAAUGCUCAAAGUACAAGAGUAAUAUACUAAGAGCAAAAUAAGAAAAAGACAAAGUCUUUCAAACAAACUAAACAAAGAUGAACCCAUACAAAGUAUAUGGGAAACGACCAAUAAACGAUCACAAAGUUGAAACAACGAAAGAACCAAAGCAACAAAGAGUUGAAACACCAGUAAAGAUCUUAAUACAAAGAAAAUAUAAACACUUUGAUGAAAAGCGCCCACUUCAAACUGAAAUUUUGAAUACCACAUGCUUCGAUUUGAAAGGUGAAGUAGUAAAAUCAAGUUUUUCUUCGCAAGAGGGCAAGGAAACCUACAAAUAAGUAUACGGGAUCAAAAUGUCUCUUCAACCAUAGAAGCCAUGCAGCCCCUGUUAGGUUGUUGCGCUUAUAUGAGAUUAAUGCUCCUUUGUUUAUUUCCAUAUUCUAUUUACAUUGUGCCGUUCUUGAUCUUUUAUCCCGCUUUACAAGGCUUUCUAGCAUUUUAUUUCGGUAGUAUAUUGCUAUCAUGCUUCUGCACAAUUGCCAAGGAACUGAAUGAAGAUCUGAACCAAUCAUCAUGACCCAAGAUUUGUGUGCUUCUUCCGCUCGAUGGUCCAUGUCUAAAGCCCAUAUUAACUGCCCAUAGACAUUCAUUGUGGCUCCCUGGCCCUUGCUUAGCAUCUAUUUGAUUACCUGUACAAUUCUAUGCCACUGUUGUUCCUUCUCAAGGGCAGCCAAUACAUGCUUAAGGGAUGCUAUUGGAAAGACUUGCUCCCAUGCAACUCAGGCAUCAAGAGCACCAUAAACAGCCUCCUUACCUAUCUCUCAGAUGAAGCAGCUCUAAAUCCGUGAUUGAGCUGCUGUCCCACAUAGACAAAAUCCCCCUGAAGAACCCACAGAUUCCACAAAAUCCCAACCAACAUCUUUGGAGCUCCAUAGAGAUUUUAUAAAAGCAAAAUUGAUAGCUUCCAUUUUUUACUCUUGAGUCAAAAUUAUGUUCGGAUUACAGUUUUUUUAACUUUUUGAGAGCCGCUCUCUUGGAGACAUCUUUUAGACCCCUUGUAUUCCAUAAGAUAAUCUUCAUAGGGCUGAGUGAGAGCAAAUAGUGGGCUGACCCCUUAGACCAGAACUAUACCACAGUGGGUUUAGGGUUUAGGGUUAUUAACUAAAGAUAACAAAUCUUUACGUAAUUCUAAAGAGCUUUAGAAGGGGAAUGGCAGAUUCCUCAAAUAAUGUAGUAAGAUCAGUCCCAUCUAUUUCUGAGGUGACAUUUUGAUCAGAAACUCUUAGAAAACCCACUGAUUCUUCACUACUUACAUUAAAAGGAGAGUCUAUGGUCACAGCACGAGUCUUCUCUGGUGAGUUUAAAAAAUAUAAAAUAUGGCAGGGGGAUCCUUGCAUUAAAGAUACAUUAGUGUUGGGGUUGGGGAGUUUGAAGUAAAGAAAAGAAAUGGGAGGAAAACCUGCUGAAGCUGACCUUAUGAGACCAUCAGAAGACUGUAUUUUGGUGCUGCACACCUCCAGAAGAUCAGGAUUUUCUUCUGAUAUUGAAGGCCCUGUACGGGUGAUCUGUGGAGGAGCUGAAGCUGAAGCUUUGAGUGAACAGAAUCCAUUCAGUUCUGAUUGUAGCAAGGUUGUCCAGAUAUUAUUAAAAGAAUUUUGCUUUCUGAUGUAGUGUUUAACUAUUUUCGGAACUUUAGAAGAUUUACCACCUAUGAAGAGGGAUUUGCUGUGGCAGUGGGCAGCUCAGGAGUUGGCUGCAGAGUUGGAUUGGCCAAGAGCUUAAUUAAAGAGGAUGGAGGCUCAUUAUUACCCGUGAACGUAAUUAGGGGGCACAAUGUUACUCUCACCUGGUGGGUCAUUAGCAGCUGUAAAAAGAGGGUUUAAUUUAAUUUCAGUGGGCCCUAUAACUUUUUGGAGACAGCUGUGCUGCAAGGGAUUGGUGAUUGGCAAAAACUGUUCAGAUGCCCGCUCGUUUGAGAAAACAGCCAGCUGUGCACCGAUUUCUGUCUUUUUCUCCAGCAAUGGCACCGGUAAGCUGGCCAGAAAGGGCUUCAAAAGACUGAACGGAUUCCUAGCCCUGGGAAGAACAAACACUGACUUUGGUACAUUGAUGACUGGAGGGAAGGAGGAAAUGUCAAGACCUUCAUGAUUCAAAACUUCCCUAAUACGCAACCCCGGUCGAUUGAGUUACUAAAAUUCCUUGCAAACUGGGGGCUAUGCUUGUAUUAGGUGGAUUUAAAAAACUCAAAAUCACCAUAGUGCAGAAAGAUGCUACCCCUCUUAUGAUCAGAGAUUUCAAUUGUUGAAGGAACAAAGCUACAAAUGUUCUUUUUGACCAAGAUCCGGGCUUCACUACAAUUUGUAAGAUUUAAGGUUUUUGUGGCUAUCAAUUAGUCUUCCAAAGUGGUCUCCUAUAGCUUCAAAGGUGCUUCAUUUCCAGAAAUCUAAAGGAAGAUUCUUUAUUUUAGUCCAGCCCCCAAAACAUUGAAUCACGAGGGGCCUACUACGUCCAGCUUUAUCCUUUGUAUAAAUAGGUCAUUUGACUUCUCUUUCAAAUCAAUAAAAAGAUAAAGAAAUUUUAGUAUUCUUGAGUUUUGUUUACACCAAUUGGUAUGAGAGCGAAGAUCCAUUACGCAUUCUUUCUUGGAUCACUUUUUUUUCAUGGAUGCAGAAACCUCCUCUUUAACAAAGCUAUGGAAACCAGACUGACUAAUGUAGAGAAAUCUGUAGGUGAAAUUCAAGGCGAGUUAGAUGAAAUCUGUUCUAUGCCGUGGGAAAUUUUACAGAACUUAAAUAUCAAUUCUGAAACCAACAGAGAGCAUGCUGAAUUAGCUCCAAACAAAAAAAUUCAGAUCCAAGAACGACAAGAUUUGGGCGACGACAGAGCUGUCAACUUUAAUUCUUCACUAAAUGAAGCCAAGAACCUUGCAAGAAACCCAGCCAAACAAAAGAUUGUCAAAUAUCCUUAUAAAAAAUUAAAGAUGAAAACAGUCCAAUGAAACUGCAGGACACGAUUACACUUUUGAAUUAAAGAUGAAAACAUGCCAAGGUUUUGUAGUUGGCAAAGAAAAGGUUCACAUACUAAUCCUCCAAUUCGCAAACGACACCCUUCUGUUUUGUAAGUAUGAUGAAAGCAUGCUAAUGAAACUGCAGGACACGAUUACACUCUUUGAAUGGUGCUCCAAGCAGAGACACAGAAGGUUAAUUGGGAGAAAUCAGCCUUAUAUGGAGUUAAUGUGGAAGAGGAUGAGCUGAAAAAUAUGCCUGGGAAAAUGGGAUGUUCUGCAAAAAUGAUGCCCUUCUUAUACUUAGGGCUUCCAUUGGGAGGGUAUUCAAGACAGUGUACUUUUUGGCAGCCCAUGAUUGAGAAAAUGCAGAGAAAAAUACACAGAUGGAGAAGAUUCAACUUGUCACAAGAAGGUAGAGCUACUUUAUGUCAAUCCGUAUUUGCUAAUCUUCCUACAUAUUACAUGUCUCUGUUUGCAAUUCCGAUUAAUAUAGCAUCUUCUUUGGAGAGAUUAAUGAGGAAUUUUUUCUGGGAGCAGCACACAAGAAGUAAAAUUAACCAUUUGGUUAAAUGGGCCAAAGUUAUCCGAAACCAUUUGGUUAAAUGGGCCGCCCCAACUUGUGGAGGUUUGGGCUUGGGAGCAUUGCAAAAUAAGAACAUGGCUCUACUUCCAAGCGGGGCUGGAGGUUUAUGAAUGAAGACGACUCUCUAUGGAGACAAGUCAUCCAAAGCAUCUAUGGAAAAGAACCCUUCAACUGGCACACGGUGGGAAAUUCUAGCCACAGUCUAAAAGGCCCAUGGAUUAGUAUCUCACAGGUAUGAAGGAAGGUGGAGCCUUUAGCUUCUUCUAAACUUGGAGAUGGUUCAAGGACUGCCUUUUGAACAGAUGAUAGGAUUGCCUUCCUCUCUGCACUCAAUACCCCCUGCCUCUUCAGAAUUACACUUCUACCAAAACGCUCCAUAGCAGUGCACUGGGAUUAUUCAACUUCUUCUUGGUCCAUAGUCUUUAGAAGGCUUCUUAAAGACAUUGAAAUUUUGGAAUUACAAAACUUGAUGACUCAACUAGCUUCAAAAAAGGUCUCAAACAAUCCCAACAGAAGGAUUUGGUCUUUGGAAGAGCAUAGGAAGUUUACAGUCAAGUCUCUUACAAGACACCUACUGGCUUUUUCCCCAUUGGCCAAGGAUCUUCAUAAAGCUUUGUGUAAACCCAAAUGUCCACCAAAGAGAGUAAGUAUUCUCGUUUGGAUUAUGAUUUUUGGCCUCUUGAAUUGCGCUUCAGUCAUGCAACUAAAGACACCAAACAGCUGCCUAUCACCUUCCAUGUGUCCACUGUGCAAGCAAGAAGGUGAAGAUUUACAGCACCUAUUCUUCAAAUGCUCUCUCUCCAAACUGUUAGUGGAAGCUUUUUUUAUUUUCGAUGUGGUUUGUGUCUUUGGAAUUCUUUUAACCAAAAUGUUCAGCAAGUGGGUCCGAUAUUUAAGAAGAAACUGAGGCUGAUUUGGGCUAAUUUUUCAAAAGCUAUGUUUUCUGAAAUUUGGUUUGAAAGGAACCAAAGAACCUUCCAUGACAAUAAAACUUCUUGGUUGGAUCACUUUAAGACAGCAAGUAGGAACGCAGUAACUUGGUGUACCCUCCAUAAAGAAUUCGAAGCUUUCUCCAUUUAAGCUAUCAAUCACAACUGGCAGUCCUUCAUUUAUUCAGUUCUUUAACAGUCAGUCCUUCAUGAAGACCCACUGUUUUGACCUUCUAUAUGGUUGCUGUCCUUUUGAUGUAUUUGUUAUGUUUGUUAUGUUUUUAUUUCCAUUCCAUUUUGGAUCUGCAGCUCAUCAUGGUUUGUACUCCUGAAUACUUUAUUUUGUAUUUUUUGACCCUAUGUGUACUGGAUAUAACAAGGACGCUAAGGGAGUGUCCGGGUGCGCCUACUAAUCCCAUAGUCUCUUAAUGUUUUCUACUCUUUGUAUAAACCUUUUGUACUUUGAGCUAUUAUUAUAAAUAAAGAGGCUGGUUUCCUUUAAAGAAAAAAUAAAUAAAUAAGAAACUGUCAUCUAUAUCCUUAUAAAGUUUCUAUAAAAAUUUGGACAAAGUCUCCUCUGAAAAACGAACUAGUCACACCUAGAAAAUAAGAGAAAAAAAUUGAAAACGUAAGUUAAAACUCAAUGAGUGGCAAGUUUUUAAAAGUAAAACUUAUAAAACAUACUUCUAAUAAGAAACAUUUAGGCAUACUUUUGAUAACAAAACCAUAACUCAGAUUCCAAGAUCGUUAUUUAUAAAAUCGUUACAAAUUUAUUAAAAACAUGUCAACUUAUCCAUGUCCAAUUCAACACAAAAGGUUAAAGUAAAUACCAACAAUGAAGCAUAAGGCCAUACCCAGCUCACACAUAUUUACCAUUAACCCUCUACAAUCCCAAUCUACGACACUAGAACACACUGAAUAAACGGCUGGAGAAUAGCUCACGCAUGAUUCAAAGGACAUGCGGCUAAACUGAGUUCACGCAUAUUCACAAUCAAACAUGUACAUAUCUCGGUGUACCAUGGAAAAAUGUAUCCAAGAAUAGCUCAACAUGUUCCAUAUCCACAAGGAAACAUACGGCCAAACUGAGCUCACGCACAUUUAGUAACUGCAAUAAUGACGAUCUAAUCUCAAUAUCCACAUCCUCGGUAACUAUGCUCCUAUGUGCACAUAGAGAUAUCCUCCAAGGGUUUUUCUAGGCUCGAAGCCAAUACUACAGCCUACAUCCAUUUCCUCACCUAGGUUUAGGUUCCUAGAUCUCUGGGUUACAACUUCCCUCAACCCCAGAAUCCCUUGGAAACCGUAGGGGGUGCUAUGGACACACAUUCAUGUAGCCUAUGGGUAAAAUCACCUCAGUACACUGAUUCUGUGGUUUGAAAACCAACCUUCACAUUCCACCAUAAACCAUCAUCUAUAAAUACAUCUCAUACCCAACAUUUCAUGCAGUCCAAAGCUAAAACAAAUUUUCUAAAUAAGAGAGACAGAAGCAUUCGCAUCGAUAAAUCCAAACUAAGCAUAUUUUAACACAAAUUUCCGAAAGAACUCAAAAUACUAGAGAAGUUGUAGCUAUUUAUCACAAUUUCUAAUAUUUCAUAAAAUCCACUAUAAAAUCACAUUUGCAUAUAACUCAUGUAAAUUGUAAUUAAAUCAUAUCCUAUUCAAAAACACAUAUUACAAAUUCGCAUUAUAGAGAACUCAUGAUAAAUCAUAAACUUUAGUUAAGGUCAUUAUUGAUAAUACAGUUAUAUCAAAACAAGCUAUGCCGAACACUUAUUCACAAACCAAAUUCAACUAUAUGUCUAAAAUAAAUUUUCAUAUAAAAUAUUUGAAAAUAACCACUUACGGUCAAUAGCUUGAUCCUCUAAGAUUAGAAGCUCUCCCUGGCUUGACUUAAAGCGACGUGAAAACCGCAAUGACUUCUUAACAAUACCUCUCAGUCCUGAAAAGAUCCAACCAAUAUCAAAACCAACCUUGUUGGAAAUCUAUUCAAUUUAAUCCAAAACAGUAUGGGCAUCAAUAAACUCAUGCCUAAACCAAAUGGGUGCUUCAAGAACUUAAAGAAAACGCACUAUAGUACCCAAAAUCUUACCUAAGGCUUGUUUAAAUAGCCUUAGCUUCGAUGGACAGCACUCAGCGGUUUUCUAAAUUCACAUCCUAACAUCCAAAAAUCAUGGGUACCUCAAAAUUACCACCAAACCUUAAUGGAUAUUCAAGACCAACUCCAAAAAGUUUAGAUUCUUACCCAUUUGAUGCCAAAAACGCCUAGUAUUCACUUCUCGCCAGCUGGACUGCAGUUAACUCCUUCCAAAAGCUCGAUUAUAAUACUUAAACCUGAUGUGCAUUAAUAAAUUUAAGUCAAAAUUUAAUGGGUGUUCCAAAUCUUUACAAGAAACUCAACUAAAACAAUGAAAUUUUACCCCAAAACUCAAGAAUCAAACUUUCAGCGACAACGCAACGAUAAGCAACAGAGAUUCGAUGCUCACCAGAACACCGGAGGCUCAAUCAACGCAUAGAAAGGAUGGACAACUAGCUCGACAGAGGACUCGUGGGUCCGAGUGGCAAGAUCUGGCACUACGACUUUGGAUUAAAUAGCAGCGCGAAACGAACCUCGGGGGUAGCGUGACUGUGGGCCAAGUGGCAGCGUGCACGACAAACAAAAUCCAACGGCCAGGAGUUGGUGGACGAUUUCCAAUCGGCAGACAGUGGCUAAUCGGAGACGACGAGAGGAAGGGAGGGCCGUGGGCUUUCACGAAGAGGAAGAAAAAUCCAGCUUCUUCUUUAUUAUAAUUUCAUUUUAUAAAAAUAUAAAAUAAAAAGAUAAGAAAUGACCAAAAUGCCUCUCACUUUUAUUUUUAUAUUUCCUUAAUGCCCUUAGUGGUGUACUUCGAAUCUACCCUUUUGAGAAAAAUACAACUACUCUUUCUAAUAAUUGCUUCUUAUAAAUAAUAUCAUCUCCUCCAAACAGAAGAGAAACAUUCAUCAACCAAAACCCUUCUAGUGGUUUGCACCAUUUGGUAUCAUAGCACCCAAGGAUUUCUAGGACCAAUGGCCCUUCCUCAACCAAUCAAUUAGGUGGACGACGUCGAAACGAUCAAGAGCAAGAGGCAAAAUCAACUUCCAUCCUCUCUCCCAACGACUUCUUCAAGACACGCUUAGUUGAGAGAAUUAAGAAAAUUCUUAGAGAACGUUUGGUGAAGGAAAAAGUUAUGAUAUAAUCUUAUGAUUAUAAUAAAACUAAUUUUAUGAUAAGAUGUGUUUGGAAACGGUUUGUUAUUGAUAGUGUUAUGAUAGUAUGUGUUUGGGAAAUGAUUAUGAUAAGUAGUAUUAUGAUAAUAUUUGUCAUAAACUUGGCCAUUAUUCCUCGGAAUGCAUAAAUAGAGUUGAAUAAAAUGCAAAUUAUGCUGAGAAAGACGAAGAAAGUGGUAAUUCAUCAUUGCUUCUAGCAUGUAAAGGUGUGGAAACAUGUGAAAACAAUGCAUGGUAUCUCGAUAGAGGUGCAAGCAAUCAUAUGUAUGGAAGUAAAUCAAUGUUCGUGGAGCUUGAUGAAUCUGUUGGUGGCGAUAUUGUAUUUGGUGAUGCCACAAAAAUUCCAGUUAGAGGAAAAGGUAAAAUGUUGAUCAAUUUGAAGAAUGGAAAGCAUGAGUUUAUCUCUAAUGUUUAUUAUGUGCUUGAUAUGAAGAACAACAUUUUGAGUUUGAGACAACUCUUAGAGAAAGGCUAUAAUAUUUUGAUGAAGGAUUAUAGUCUUUUGAUAAGAGAUAAUCAUGACGAUAUGAUUGCUAAAGUGCAAAAGACAAAAAAUAGAAUGUUUUUAUUGAACAUUCAAACUGAUGUAUCGAAAUAUUUAAAGUCAUGUUUGAAAGAUCCAAACUGGAUUUGGCGCUUGAGAUUUUGGCAUUUAAAUUUUGAUGGCUUGAGACUAUUAGCCAGGAAGGACAAACAUCCAAACCAAUUUGGUGAAGGUUGUCUUUAUGGCAAGCAAUCAAGGAAGAGUUUUCCACAACAAUCAUCCAAGUGUGAGUAGAAUACACAUAAAAAAUUAGAAUCUUCCAAUAAAGUUUGUUUUUCCUCUUAAAUAUUCUAUUUGGUAAUUAUCUAUUUGGGGUGUUCAUCGUACGCUUCCAACAGUAUAAACGUCAUGAAAAGCAAAAAAAAAUCUUAUAUUAUAAGAUUAUGCGGUUGUAAUGUGAGUUGACAAAAUGGAAUAGGGAAGCAAAUGAAAUGAAAUGCUACACACACUCACCGAUUGUCUUGCUCCUCCAAUCCCUGACAUCAGUGAGAGUUUAUGUAUAGCAUGAAAACCGUCUAUCAACCAUAUAGACUCCUUGGGUUCUCAUAAUAACAUUUGCACUUUUAAAUCUUUUCGAUACAAAUUUUGAUGUUGUGUUGGGAAACAAGACUUUGAUGUGGUGUCGAUCAUUGGCGUGCAAGUAUCUUAAUUUUGUUGGAGAAGUUCUUAGUAACAACAUAUGUUCUGAUUUUGAGGACCAACAACAUCCCACAGUAGAAGCCAUUAUUAUUUCACCGUCGAUUGACACUUCAAAAUGAAUAAAACCCUCCGCUUCGUCACAUGAAUCUCCAUCUGCUUUGAAAAUUACACACAGAACCAAAGCUGGUAUGUUCUUAUCUAAAUUGUGACGAAACCUAACACUCAUUGAACUUCUCGUAGUUUGUUUGUUGCAGUAUUUUGGAAUCUCAUUGUUUGUUAUGAAGAGCACUUUUGUUGAGUCACUAAAUUCAGCGUCCUAAGGGAUUAAGAGUUAAUUGGCAUUAAAUAAGAGAACAUAUAUAACAUUAGAUAUUAUGAUAUGAACAAAUAGAAAUUAGAUGAAAGGAGAGGAACCUGUUUUCCGAACAUCAUAUCAGCAAUGCAAUCAGGACGUAUAGCCAACAAUUCGCUACCACUGGCAUUCACCCGAGCUAAAUGAUGGGGAAGCUUUAUUAUAUUUUGAAGAAACUUGCAAUUCCUUAAUUCAAGAAACCUUAAUGACUUAAAAUUUUGGAGAGAGGGUAGACAAGAGAAUGUGUUUCCUGACAAAUUUAGCUUCUCCAAGGAAGUGCAGACAUUAGAUAAUGUUUCGAGGAAAUCAGAAUUUGAUAUAUUACAAUUUUUGAGAUCCAAUACCGUCAGCUUGAAAUAUGAGCUUUCUUGGGAAAAAUUUAAGCUUGAUCUCGGGGGAAACAUGUCGAGUUUAGAACACCCGCGAAGAUGAAGUUCCUCGAGACUUUUUAGCCAAUGAAUUUCAUUUGGAAGGGCAGUCAGGUUUGCACAAUCAUUAAGGUUUAAAUUCUCGAGCCCAAUAAGAUAUCCAAUUGAUGAAGGUAACACCCUUAUGGCUGUACCGUUCAAAUUCAUCACCCUUAAAGAUUUCAUGUUUUCAUCAAAUUCUGGAAGUUGUUCAAGCUUGUAACAAUUAGUGAAACUCAAAGAAUCAAGAGACUUCAACUUCAGGCUGCUAGGAAGCUUUUCUAGGUUAUGGCAUAAAUCGAGUUGUAAGGUGAUAAGUUUAUCAAGAGACCCAAUAGACUCGUGAAUUAUUCUUAAAGAGAAGCAAGUAUUGAGAUCUAAUAUCUCAAGGUUUGAUGCCAUUGAAAAGUCAGUAAUUUCUUCAAGAUUUAGACAAUCCCGUAGAUUCAGAACUUUAAGAGAUUUGAACUUCAGGUGGCUUGGAAACUUUCUAAAAGAGCUGUCAAAAAAAGUUUCAAGCUUUAGACAUGAAGCGAGAUUCAAAAGUUCAAGAGACUCUAACUUGUUGGUGUAAAUUGGUAGCCUUUCAAGGUUUUUACAGCCUUCCAGAUCCAAGAUAAUAAGCUUAUCAAGAGAACGACCAAUAGAGUCGUGAAUUAUUCUCAAACGGUCGCAUUCCCUGAGAUAUAGUUCCUUAAGGUUUGAAGAUGCAGACAAGUCAGGAAUUUCUUCAAUUUUUCUGCACCUACUAAGAUUCAAAACUUCAAGAGAUUUUAACAUGAGAUAGCUGCUUGGAAACUUUUCUAGGUUGUCACAACCUUCAAGGUCCAAUGUAACAAGCUUACUAAGAGAAGCCACAGACUCGUGAAUCACUUUCAAACUCGUGCAUCCCCUAAGAUAUAAUUUCUCAAGGUUUAAUGUGGCAGAGAAGUUGGGAGUUUCCUUUAACGUGCCACAAUAACUCAGAUCAACAUGCUUCAUUGUUUUACAAUUCUAAAACAAAUGGGAAAAAAAAUCAUUAAAUAAACUUCCAAAAAAUCACACACAAGUAGAAGCAGUACUAAAAUUUACCUCAAAUGCAAUCCUUGGCUGUUUGUUGACUACACCUUUCAUAACUAGUCCGACAAGCCGACCUUUCACAGAAAAACUUAUGGACGAAGACUGGUUAACAUAAAAUGUAGACCACUCAAUCCACUUCAACGAAUUAGGUAAAUACUCAAAUAUAUUUUUAGGGAAGUAUGCUACUCUUUGAAGGAUAAGCAAUCUAAGAUUUUUCAUGUUUCUAAAUGCUUCUGCUUCAACAAUUUUCAGCCAAGGUUUGUAGUGCAAGUCUAACUUUAUGGCUUUAACUGCUUUAGUUCCCUACAAGGUUAUAAAUCAAGUAAUUUUACAUUAUUAACAAAUAAUUACCGACCGAUUUGACUUGCAUUAUGUUUUAAUUUCAUCACAGUAUAUAUCUUUGGCAAUAAGUAAAUAAAAACAUUGUCUAAAGUCACUCACAGAUUUCUCUUUCAAUAUCUUGAUAGCUCCUUCUGCCUCCCACAACCUACUCCUUUUUGCAGGCUCAAAAGAUUCAUGGCGAACAAUUGUUUGACCCAUUUGUUGUAUUAAAUCAUGCAUUUGUAUCUUUCCAUCUUCAACAGUAACAAGGGAAAGAUCCAUAAGAAUUAUAAUUCCAUAGUCUGGAUUGAGAUCACAUGCCUUUAACACAUCCUUACUGUAGUUAAUAUCCUCUCCCACGAAAAAGCAAGAAAUAUCAAGAAAAAUCUCCUUCACUCUUUCGUGAAGCUCCUUAAAACCUAUUUGAAAAACAGCUUCAACACUUGGUUCGAGGGAAUUUUCAAGUUCAUGUAAUUUACUUUUCCAUAUUUUUCGCUCUCUCUUAUGGAGAAGAGAACCCAAAAUAACAAGAGCCAAUGGAAGACCUUUGCAAUAACUUACAGCAAAUUUUGAAAGGUCUACAUAAUUACUUGAGGGAUGAUUUUGCUUAAAAGCAUGCAGGCUAAAAAGCUCAAGGGAUUUCUUAGGAUCCAACAACUGAAUAGGAUAUACUAUAUCAAAUGAAUGGUUUUCUAGUAAAUGUCGAUCUCUUGUUGUUGCUAUGAUUUUACUUCCUCGACCGAACCAAUCACGUUCACCAACUAGUGCGUCUAAUUGUUCAUCCUUAUCCACAUCAUCAAGAAUGAUAAGAACUUUCUUUGAGCAUAACCGAUCCCUAAUGAUAUUCUUUCCUUUAUGAACGUUGCCCACCUUCCAAGCAUUAUCUUUUAAGAUCUCACUGAGUAGUUUUUCUUGUAGUUGAACCAGGUCUUUGAAUUGCUCUAAGGUUUCUCUAACAUUCGAAAGAAAGCAACAAGCUUCAAAUUGAUAAGCGAUUUUGUUGUAUAAAGCUUUGGCCAGAGUGGUCUUACCAAUGCCUCCCAUCCCAUGUAUCCCCACCAUGUUAACACCAUCGGGCACAUCAUGGGAGGCCAAUUCCUCAACAGCUCUAAGUUGAGAAUCAAUUCCAACUGGAUGCUUGGCUACAUGUAGUAGUUGUGUUUGAUUUAAUAUAGACAACACCUCCUUAACAAGGUCAUGAAUAAGAUCAGCCUCAUUCUUCCUGUAAUGAUUGAGCACAUCAUACACAAAUACAAGUAGACGAAGUUAAGAAACACAGUAGGGAACAAUAAUAAGAAUUAAGAAACAUAGUAGAUGAAGUUAAAUUCAUUAUAACAUUAAAUUUUUCAAUAACAAAAUUAGAUUGGUCAACAUGGCACUCACACAUUUCUCUUUCAAUAUCCAUUUUGUGUUUUUUGUUUGAGGUUUUCAUUGGGUGUUUUUUGUUUUAGGUUUUGAAAAUUAAGCCUAUCUUCUUCCAAUAUCUUAUUAUUAUUGCAUCUCUUAUCGCAAUGGUUGAAUAUUAUUAUCGAAGUUUUAAAAACAAAAAUAAGUUUUUAAAAUCUACUUUAUUUAGUUUUCAAAAUUUGGCUUGAUUUUUAAACGAUUGGAAAAAGUUGAUAACAAAGCAAGAAGUUUGGAGGUAAAAUUGUUAUACAGGCUUAUUUAUGAUAGAAAACUAACCACUUCUCUUUUUUUUUAACUGUUUGAGGAAUCAACUUGCAUAAAACGAAUUGUUUACCUUGAACAAGGUAAUUUUAAUUCAUCUCAUCGUUAACCUUGAAAACUGUUAAAACUAACUUAAAAACUAAAAAAAACUAAAAACAAUGAUACCAAUCAAUCUGUUUUCUUAAAAGUCGUUUUUUUUCUUAAUGUAUUUGAUAUUUUUUUGUAAUCUAAAGGGUAAAAUAUAAUUUCACUCCUAAAAUAAAUUCACUACCUUUUAGAAUAAUGCAUGUAAAAAAUACCUAGUUGCUAAAUCCCAACCAGACAAAGAAGCAGCAGUGGUCAAAGCUUCCUUCCAUGGUUGAACCUUGUUGGUCAUUAACUCAUUAGCUUCAUGUUUGGCCAAUGCUUCACCAAACCCACCAGUUUGUUUUCGAACCUCAGAUGGAUCCACCUUGUUAAGAAAUUAAUCAACAAAUUAAUAAAGAUAAACCCGUAAAGCAAUGGAGACUAUGAUACAGAUUUAUAUGAUUUAUUAUCAGUGGUGGCUAACUCCACAGGUAGAGGGAGGGAGCAAUUUUAUUAGAAAGAAAAUUCAUAUUACACAUCAAAUGUGCUUCUAUGGUUGGAGUGUUAGUGGGCUUCUCUAAAACGUUAGGGUCAAAAUCAUAGAUAACAUAACUAUAUAAAAAAUACGAAUUCAGAUAGUCCAACAAAUUAAACCUUGUAGAAGACAGGAAAAACUAUAUGUCCCAUGGAUUUCAUGCACUGAACUAUUUUCACCAGUUCAUCCAAACACCAGGUGGAAGAUGCAUAAUUUUUGGAGAAAAUAAUGAUGGAAAUUUUAGAACCAUCAAUAGAUUUGAGAAGGGAUUCAGAAAUUUGACCACCCCUCUCUAGCUUGUCAUCUAUGAAGAAAUUGACACCCUUUUCACGCAAGGCCCUGUCAAGAUGACUAGUGAAGUUGUUUCGAGUAUCCUCACCUCUGAAACUCAAAAACACAUCAUAACUCCAUUUCAAAUUUGAAGAACAAGACGAUGAUGAUUGUGCUAAACCAACCAAAGAAGAACCCAUCCGAAUUUUGAAAAUCCUGAAGUAAGAAUCCAGCCAAGGGAUGAGAAUGAAGAACAAAAUGGUUGUUUCUUUUCCCAGUGAACAAAUAAAUUACAAUAAUUUAUGCAAGUUAAAUUAUUAAAUUUUAAGCAAUUUGCAUCUAUUGCAGCACAAGGUUUAACCAACUAGUAUACAUAUAUGUUCAAGUCCACCUUUUCCAUGUUAAAAAAAAAAAAACGGUCAACUAUUUGUAUCUAUACUUUCUAUUUUUAACAUUUAAAAACUCAGAAGCAUCAACGUCAAGUUCGCUUAGAAGUUAGAACAUUUCCACUUUAUGUUCAAAUACUUCCUUCUUCUACAAGAUAUAUAUAUACAAAUAUAAUGAUAAUAAAAAGUUCUAUCUACAAAUAACAUAAAAUAAUAUUUUGUCUAACUAGACCACCAUAAAAUUAAUAAAUAAGAAGUGACAAAUUCAUUAGUUUUUCAACUAACAGAAAUAUCUAUGGAAAUUGUUUUGGGUCUUCAAGUUUAUCAUAACCUAAUUAUUUCUCUGACAUGUUCCCUUCAGGAUACAACAAGAAAAGUUGUGUAACUCAAACCAAUUUUCACUUAAAGAUCGUAUUUACCUUGGCCAAUUUGCUUUUAAAGAGAGAUAAUGAGAGAAAAAAAGAGGAAGAUGUAUUUAUAUAAUACUAAUCUUUGUUAGUGUAAAAUUGCGAGAAUAUGGUAUGUGAUGUAUUGAUAGUACUCAUCUUUGGAUAUUGAAUAUUUAAUUCAAAGCUAGGUAAUAAAUGUAUACUUGUUUAACAUUUCUUGAAAUUGCAUUUUUUUUCAACUUUUUAACGAAGAAACACGUACUAGAUUACAUAUGGAAGAGAAGUUUGCGAAAAAUAAGUCACGAUUAAUUAAUUGACGGCUUAAGUUAAAGCUCAUAGUCAAUAAUUGGAGUAACAGCAUGAGAAAAGACAAAAUAGAACACUAGCACGUUGGUAACCUAGUUGGAUGACACAUCAUCUACAUUUAAUUAGGAGAUUUUUAGCCUGAUUUAAAAUAUCAUUUUAUAAAUAUUAAAGAGGAUCAUAAGUACAUAACUUAUCCAAGAACCAACUAUCUUGAAUCAUAUAUGACUUUUACAAGAUAAACGUUUAUGUUUGCCCUAAACCACUUGAUGUGUGAACAAGGAAUUCGAUCUAGACUCCUCUAGAUCAUAUGUUGCAUGCAUCAUCCUUGCAUCUCAAUGUGCAGGCUCCCCUGUGAAAUGCCACAAACAAAGUGUUCAACAUCACACACCACAGAAACGGGGUACUUAGUGAAAAACUUUCUCAACACAUAAUUUUGCUGCACAUUUGUUACACCUCUAUCUUCAACCACAUGCAGCAAACAUCACACGGCCACAAUCUUAUAUUUUUUAGGUAACACGUCAUAACAAAACAAAUGCCCAACUCUAUUAAUUUAUUAAUAAAUAUUAACCAACUUAAAAAAGUAUAUAGUAACAACCACAACCAACGGAAUAUCUUUAUUAAUAAUAUAAUAUUAGUCAUAUAUUUAUUAAAAAAUAUUAGCAAACAUAACAAUCAAAUCUUCAAAGUCAACGAGAUAUCUUUAUUAAUAAAUAUUAUCCGUAUAUUUAUUAAUAAAUAUUAACCAUAUAUAUUAAGAAAUUAAGCUCCAAUUUUUCCUACCUCAGUUACAAAGUUAAAGCUGAAAUGGGUGAUUCCUAAACAUUGUAAAUAUGAAAAUCACAACCUAAAUCUUUAACAAAUCUAACUCCUUUACUCCUCAAUUCAAUUAGAAUCAUUGUUGUCAUUAUUAUCACUAGGAGUAGAGGAACCAAACUUAGAAGUUCGUUCGUGAAGGACGACUGGGCACGAAGGGCAGCACGAAGACACACACAAUUUGCUCGGCAGUGGUGGUUCGAUGAUGGAAGAGAGUGAUUAAGAAGAGAGGGUUUGGGUGAGAAGUUUAGAGUGAGAUGAGAUGAGAGGGAAGAAGAGUGAGUAAAGUGAUUAGAAGAGAAUUAAUUUUUUUAAAAAAAGAUUAAGGAUAGUUUUAAUGUCAGUUUUAAACCGACAUUAAUUCUUCCUUUUUGAUGUUGGUUUAAAAUCGACAUUAAACAUUUGCAUUUUUAAAAUCUGAUAUUAAACAUCUGUUUUCAUUUUUUUCAACUGACAUCAUAGGGCAAAUUUCUUCUAGUGAUACCAAUUUUAAUUCUAACUUCCCUAAGCAGGUGUUUGCGGCGAGGAGUGACUUGUAAUAGUUCUGAGAAUUAUAAUAAUUUGAGUAUUAUAGUAGUCUGCAUUUAGGAUACAGACUAUUAUAGUCUGCGUUUCAGGUGCAACCUAUUAUAGUUUGUGUUUGUGGUGAAGAUUAUUAUAAUUAUUUGUAUAAUUAUAAGCUGUGUUUAGGGUGGAGACUAUUAUAACUUGGGUUUUUUGCUACUUUUUUUUUCUUCCUUAAAUUGAUUUUAUUAAAUCUUUUUAAUUAUGAUAUUCAUUUAAUAAAUUUAGCCUCAAUCUUGAUUUUUCAUUACUUUUGUUUUCUACAUGUAUACUCUACAUGAAAUACACAUUUUUCUUAAAUUAACUUUAUUAAAUCUUUUUAACGUGUGAUAUUCAUUUCAUAAGUUUAGCCUCAAUCUUGAUUUUUCAUUACUCUUUUUUUUCUACAUACAUAUUGUACAUGAAAUACAUGCACGAAGGAGUGAGAGGGGAAGUGAGAAGAAUUAGGGGAGGGAAAUACGAGGAUUAUGGAAACCCUAAUACUAGAAUUUCCAUAAUUCGGGUCUCAAACAAGGAGUGAGUUAUUUUAGCCAACUCUACUCCAUGCAAAUAUGUGGCCCUAAUAAUUUCCUCAUAUCUUUACAUUAUGGGUAAUUAUAAUUUGUGACAAUUUUAGGAAUAAUAAUUAAAUAUCUAGCAACAUUUUUUUAAAAAAUUGCAUAUAUGGCAAAAUCUAUUAAUGAUAGACCAAUAUUUGCUACAUGAUCUAACAGAUGUUGCUAUAUUUACAAAUACCAACUCAAAACGCUCAUCCCUACUCUACCUCACUCUAAUACCCACCCUAAAUGUCUCAUAAGAAUUUAGAAAGUGUUCAUAUGAGUUAAUAACAAGAUGUAUAUAGAAAAUGUUCAUAGUAAGUGAGAGAAGGAUGUGUGUCAAUGUGUCAUACAAUCUUCUCUAUCUAGAGAUGUUUAAAAAAACCCAUGGGGUUGGGGUCCCGCCAGGUGCCAGCUCGAAAGAGGUGGGGAUUUCCUAUUUACAUAGGAAAUAGGGGAGGGAGUAGGGAAUGUUUUCCCCAUUUUCAAUUCGAGACCAAGGAUAGAGAUUAUAUUCCCCAUCUAUAAGACCCAAACUUAAAUUAAAAGUUAAAAGACAAAAUUUUGACUAAGUAUGUAACUUGACCUUUUGGAUAAGAAGGCGUUUUAGUUUGAGAAAAGCACUCACAAAACUUUACAAAAGAAGUUCUUCUUCUUCUCACAAGCCCCUUCUCGUGUAGCUAAACUAGCAAUACUUCAACAUUUCAACAAAACUUCCAUCUUCCCCUCCUUAGUUGCCCAAAUCCUCUUAUUUAUAGAACCCUUAAACUAACUUAGUCAUUUAUAAACUCUUCUCAGUUCAUUAACUCCUGCUUAAAAAUUUACAUGUAUAAAUUUAGUAUUCAACCUAGCCAUGCUUAAAUUCUUAAUCUUACAUAAUCCCUGUCAAAUCAAAUUUUACAUUUUCUACGCCAGACCUUGCUUCUCGCCAAACUCGAACCGCGAAUAACUUCAACCACUUAACAUUUCUCGUGAAUAACCUUAUCGCAUGGUUAUAUUUUUACUAUAAGAAACCUUCUUGCAAACUAACCAACUUUUACUCGCAUGGAACUCUUAUCGCGAACUUAAACUCUAAGGCUUUCUUGCAAACUUCUUCUCCACGAAACACUUGGUUCUUCUCGUGAAGACCACCCAAAAUGCCUAGUCUAACACUUUGUCAAAACUUUUACUUCUUAACUUACGCGAAUAUUUUUUCUCUUCUUAUCACACAACUUCUUUCGCGAACUACGCACUUAAUCGCAAAAACGUAUACUUAUCCAUAAAAGAUUCUAUCGCUUAAUCCUUUUCGCAAAUUUAUUCAAACGCCAACUUCUUAAUAGUACUUUAGCCGAAUUUUACUUUCUUACUCAAAUUAGAAAUGGGUCUCACAAGUGGAAUGAUUUGAAGUUAACGAAUGUUCAUUAGCUCGGUUUAAAGAGUUUAGCUAGUUAAUCUUGGAUCGUUGGAGUCCAUGAUCUAUAAGUCCAUUAGGAUCCCCUACUAGCUCAUAUGGAAUAUACUUAUAAUAGUAUAUAAGAUUAAUUCAAAUUAUUUGAAUUAAGAAAGGAGAGUAAAAUCGAGUAUAUAUGGUAUAGUUGUUGGUUCGUUUAAGUGAAUAUUUAACUAAUUAGUGGAUUUGAGUGUUGGUCGAAUUCGGUAUUUUGGUUUUAGACACCUUAUUUAAAGUUAUGUCUCAUUUGUUUAUCUUUAUUUCUUUAAAGAAUUGUCAGAACCCGCGAGUCACAUUUUCAAAUUAUUUUUAUUGAUUUUGUCAAUUUUAUGUUUUCAAAUAUUUAUUAAUAUUAAUUUUAGAAAAAAUUUAGUUUUUCCCUUUUCAAGAAAGUGUAUUUUGAUAUUUAUUGUUUGAGUAAUAACCUUAGCUUAGUUUAAAAAUUUGGAUUGUUACACCUAGCUCACUAACAUAUAAUGUUUAAUGAGGUGUUGGAGUUUGGUGAAUAAUUACAUACAAUUGUUAUAUGUAAUUUCUUUUUUUAAGGUGGGCAUUUUCAAAUGUUUAAAAAAGUUUUUGAUAAUUUUGUCUAUUUCCCCCUUAAUAUUCAUCAAAAGAAAAAAAAAAAACACCAAAUCUCUUAGAAGCUUAUAUUAUCCUCCUCUUUUCAUCUCUCUCUCAUUUUAAUCCUUCACUCAUCGGGUCCCAUAGCCCGAUUCUAAGUCUAGAAGAUAGUCGGUAUACUCUAGUGGCAGGUUGGUGUCGAUUUCGUACAAAAUCCACAAAUAAUAAAAAACAACAAAGGUAUAAUUUUUAUUAACCCUAGUUAAGUAAAUUAGGGUUCUUGGACAUUGAUUCUUAUUAAUUUAGAUGCAAUUAUAGUGUAAUUAUAUCUAUUUUCCGCUGAGUAUGUCUAGACUUCUAUUAUUUUGUGGCGAGUGGUUGAACUUGAACGCCUAGUCCCUCAAAUGGGCUCUUAGUAAAGUUUUUUUCACCUCAAAGUUAUUCUUUCCUCAAGUCCUAAGUUGGCUAACUCUUCACACACACUUCCUUAGUUCUUUUACCUAGUACAAAGCACACGUAAUGACCCAACUCUUUAUACUGAGCUAAAGUCAUUACCAAUAAAACAAAUAAAACUUUUUUAUUUAAAAUAAAAGAAAAUACUAAGUUUUAAAAGAAACACUUCAAAUAUUAAAUCAUAAAAUAUAAGUAAAGUAUGUAAAGAAAAUAAUAAAUGAAACAUUAGUUCGGGCCCUAUUUAAUUUUUUUUAAAAAAAAAUCUCUAAAAGUAAACAUGAGUUCUGAAAAAUAAAUACUGAAAACAAUAAAUGCAGAACAAAACUUAUAAUGUCCUCUAUGGCAAACCACAGUCACUUCUUGUCAUUCUUCAUCUUGUCUUUACCUUUAUCUUUGCAUGAAAAAUUUAACCAUAGAAAAGAAUUAAUAUAAAUUUAUACUCAGUAAGGAACCCACUAUUAGUCUCGCUACGUGUCUAUUAACUUUUCGUUAGAGUCCUGUAAGAAAGUACCGCAUAACUAUUGUGCAUGCUAUCUAGUGAUCCCGUAGGAAAACAUCUGGGCUCUCAGUGAAUCACGAAUGAAUCACCCUAAAGGAGAGUUGGAUUGUAAGUGAUCCCGUCGAAUCACACAUAAAAGUUGGCCACACAUGCAUAAAUAUGUGGUGAUCUCGAGGGACACCCAUAUGAUACGACUCUAACAGACAAAGCUAACAGAACACCAUAGCCUCAUGUAUAUUAUAACAUAAAUAUUACAGCUCAGUCAACAUAUUUCAAUCAUAGCAUGUCUCAUUCAUAAUGUAUCUUGGUCAAAUCAUAUCUCAGUCAUACAUAACAGUCAUCUAUGUAGCCACUCAUAACAAUCAUCUCUAAUACCCAUAUUAUGCAUCUUAGCUACAUUAAUGCAUAAUAAGAAAUAUACAUGCAAGCAGGUGAAUGUAUAAUAGAAUAAUCUCUUACCUAGAGAUUAGCUAAAAAAAAUAUUGUCCCUUCCUAAACACAACAAAAUUAAAUUUAUUAAUUUUGUCAAUAUCACCCAACUACUUAUACUUAAUCAUUCAAACUUAUCCAACUUACCAAAGCUAAGGUUGAAACCGACACAACUUUGAGUGUAAAUUUCGUCGCCUUAAAUCCUCAAAUUAACACUUGAACCUUCACGUAAAAAUAACUCAACUCAUUCCCAACGAAAACUUACCAAACCCAACAAAACUUACCUAAAAGACUCAAGUAGGAUGAAAUGGUUGACUUAAAGAGGGCAGCUCGCGAUUGGAAGAGAGUGGAAGCUGGAGGAUGGUUCACGCGGCUAAAAGACGGCUCGAAAUGGAAGGUGGUCAACUUAGACGACUACGACUUGUGAAGGAGGAACGCACGACUCGGACUUGAAGAGGCUUUGGCCGGAGAGGUAACACAGACGAGAAGACGACACGACUGGAGAAGAUCAGCUCGAACAGAAAAGCUUUGGCUCGCGUACAAAGGGUGUUCCAAUCAACGAUGAGCGCAUACAUUUCAGCUUCUCCGUCCGAUGUGCAUAAAAAUAUUUAUGCGUCAGGGCAAAUAUGUCGGGAGAGGAACUCCCAACUCACAACUUGUUGUGCGUCGGAAAUUCCUAAACCCAACAUUGUAUGAACGUCAAAGAUGUUGUCAAUAUAGUGUAGGAAGUUCCUACGAACUCCCGACGCAAAUGUGUAGGAACUCCCAACACAAAUGUGUGGAAACUCCCGACGUAAAUGUGUAGGAUCUUCAUUUGCGUCAGGAGUUCUCUAUUUUUCUUUUUUUAAAAAAAUAUCUUCCAUCUCAAGUUCAACACUUGAAUCUCAAAUUCACCACUUCAAUCUUAACUUCAACACUUCAAUCUCAAAUUCACCACUUCAAUCUCAACUUCAACACUUCAAUCUCAAAUUCAACACUUCAAUCUCAACUUCAACACUUCAAAUUCAAAUUCCUAAAACCUACAAACUAAUCCAAAAAUUCUAACAACACUUCAAAUUCAGAUACAAUACUAAAACGUAUAACUAAUUCAAAAUCUAAAUACUAAAACUAAUUUGAAAUCUAAAACCUAAAACUUAAAACUAAUUUGAAAUCUAAAUACUAAAACUAAUUAACUAAAACAAAAGAAUAACUAAACUAAACCACUUACCGGAAUGAAGAGUGACGACGAGACGACGACGAAUGGUUGGACAAGGACAACGGCGACAAAUGCCCUCUUCUUCUCGAUCUCCCUCUCUCUCUCUCUCUCAGUUUUCUUUCUCUUUUCUGUUUCUAUUUUGUAAAGAAUUGAGUUAAAAAAGACGGUUAACUCCCGACACACAACGAAAACGUCAGGAAAUGGGCCCUUAUUCUCUACGCGAUUAGUGACACAUCGGGAAUCCCUAAACCUUAUUCUCGACGUUGUUGACACCACGUUGGAGGAAGACAUAACGUACAAUUAAUGAUAUGUCCUUCCUCCGACGCAACACUAUAGACGUCGGGAAUAGGUGCACAUUUCCCGAUGCACCUGGCACCACGUCAGAGGAAGGUCAAAUGGUACAAUUAAUUGUCCACCCUCUUUCGACGCUACACUUUCCAUGUUGGGAAUAGGGGUCCAUUUUUCGACGUACCUCAUACCACGUCGGAGGAACCUUAAACCAUUACGAUAGUUUCGAUGCUAAUAUGUCUGCGUCAAGGGAAAUACCCUUCCUCGACGUGCACUAAGAUGCACCGAAAAACACCUACUUCUACUGACGUCAUGUUUCUCGAUGAUUUUUUCUGCGUCGGAAAACAUCUAAUUUCUUGUAGUGAUAUCAUUCAUUUGAAACCAAAAGCAUGAAGUUUACAUUAGGGAAUUUAAAGAAUUCUUAUGCUAAAUUAGCCUAUUCAUAGGCUUCUUUGAAAUUUGUUUGUCACCACCUACUUAAUUAAGUUGAUGCUUAACCUUAGUUGGCUAUGUGUCCCCACUAAACCGACUUAAGAGGUUUAGCUCAACAUCUAGCCUACCAACUUACUUUGGUCGCCUUGUCCACGUCUUACACCAUUGGCCGCAUAGUCUCGUUUAAGUCAGCUAACCCUCAUGUGGCAUGACCCUUCCUCCUUCCAAAUUGGCCACCUAGUAAGCAUAUCCUCCUAACUUUAAUCUCUUUGAAGAUACUUAGCCUUGUGCCAUAGUCCUCACUUUGGUCUCCUAACUCACAUACUUAGGCCGCCUAAGAGAUACUUAGUCCCAGCACAACCUUCAUAGUAUGAUCACCUAACACUCCAAGGACCUAGCAUCUUCUUGGUCGUUCAACUUUGUUUUGGUUGCCCUUUGGCUAUUCACUUUGAAUGUCAUUAGCCAACAUCUUGACUACAUACUUAGCCAACUCUAUACUCUUGAUCACUCUUUGUUAACAAUACAUGUCAUCAACCUAUAUAUAUAUAUAUAUAUAUAUAUAUAUAUAUAUAUAUAUAUAUAUAUUUAUUUAUUUAUUUAUUUAUAUUUAUAUUUAUUAUUUUACCUUGCUAUGGAUGUUAACACAAUUUGUCUGUUCUAUUUUAUUUUAUUUGACACUUCUGAUUUGUUUCAAGAUUUUAAUUUUUUUUAAAAAAAUAAAAAUAGUAAAGGGUAGAAAAACCCGAAGGGAUGCGGGAGAUUUGUGUUUUGGAGGAAAAAGAGAAUAAACUUAGUUUUUAGUAAGGGUGUAAGAAUAUGAGUUGAACCCAAAUAACCCAGACUAUCCAACCCAUAUUAUAAGAGUUGGGUUAGGUUAGGUUAAAAAAUUUUGAUUUUUUUUUGGUCUGGUUGGGUCUCGGGUUGGAGGUUUGAAAAAUUCGGUUUAACCCAACCCAACCUGGUCUUUCUCCCAUCGCACGCGCCGCUCACCUUUCUUCACUAUCUUCAAUUCUUCUCUUCUAUCUCACCCCAGUCUUCGAUCUUCUCCCUCACAAUCGCGUCGUCCACCUCUGUUUCCGACGGUUGAUCAUCUCCCUCUUCGGUUUCCUCUCUCCCUCUUCGAUCUUCUCCCUUACAAUCGUGUCAUCCACCUCCAUUUCCCUAAACCCUAAAAAAAAAAGACAUAUAUCAAAUCCAACUCAUAUUUUACGGGUUAGGUUGAAAACUAAAUUCGGGUUGUCAACCCAUAUAACUCAAAAAUAUGGAUUGGGUUGAGAAUGUCUCCCAACCCAACCUAACCCGAUUACAUCCCUAGUUUUUAGAUUUAUAUGAUAAAUGUGAUGAUAAUGUUCCUAUAUUUGCAUAAAAAGUUUAUAAAAUAAAUUAAUAAGAAUUCAUGAUUAUUUAUCAAUCUUAGUAAUACAAUGGAUCUAGAUCCAAAUCAUUCAAAUAUAGAAAUACAUCUUAACCAAUUAAGAGGAUUCUAACAACAUGGAUAGAAGUAAAGUAAGACUUUUUUUUUUUUUUUUUAAAUUUAAAAAAAUUUAGAAAGCAACGUAAAGCCAAAAUACGAUUUUAAUUUCUACUUUUUUAUAAUUGACUGACCGGUUGUUUUGGUGUCCAGAUAGAGAAAUUCGACUAAACUCAACCUGGUUUAAUAUAUAUACUUCUUAGGGUUUUGACAUUUCCCUCCAUUUCGUCCUCUGUUCACUCCCAACCCAAAACGCCGUUCUCCGCCAAUUGCCGCCGACCACGCCGUGCUCCUUUCAAUUCAUUGUCCGUCGUCUUGAGCGUGGGCGUCCGUCGAACUGCACCCCAGUCAUCCACCGUUUGCCCUUCGUUGCACCUCCGCUCGCUGGCGCGUACUUUCCAAUUUCUUUUAGUUUUGAGUACAUUAUUCGUCAGUCACCAUAAAGAAUCAAAACUGCUGAUGGACCCGACCCCUCCACUCCGUAGCACUGCAGCCCCCUCCGCGAAUUGCGUUCCAUCUGUAGCAACUGAACGCGAUGCCCUAUUUCCUAAUUCCACUCUCUAGGUAUUUAUUUCUUUCAAUGUUCGACCACGCUAGCAAAUUCUGCAGUCUUUUGCUUUGAAAUUGAAUUAGUUUUUUAAUUUUACUUAUCUGUAUAUAUCAACUGAUUAGAUCCAUUGGUUGUUAUGACCUUACUCUUGUUGUUUCCGAACUUAACCCUGAAUGUCAAUCCUCAAGCAGGUUGAAUAAUUUGAAUUUUUAAUCUUAAGGACAUUCUCCUUUGAAAUUCAGGCAAACAAUCCGUAGAAUGAUCCUGUUUUGCCUUGGCCGAUGACUGUGUGAGGUUUUCUUUUAUGGCUGAAGCUUAAAUUCGGUGUCUAGCCUGUUUCUUUGAGUUGUUUUACAUUCUUUAACCAAGAAAAUGGAAUCCAGUGCAACUCCUGGACCAGAUGAUCCUUUAAUUCUCAAAGAGCAAGAUAAUCACAUUUCAUCAGACAUUUGGGAUGGAAAGGUAAUAGACUUUUAGAUUUUUUGGAGCUUUGAUCAAUGAUAUUGUAUCCAUUUUAUAACCCAGUAUAUAUAUGUGUGUUUUUGUGUAUACAUAGGUUGAGAUAUAUUUUUACUGUUAUGCAUUUAAAAAAUUGCAGGAAAGAGGUGUGCUUAGGUGUCUAGAGCAUACUUCCAUUCUUGAGAGAUGGAAACUUACAGGAAAACAGAUUGAGCUAGUUGAAAAGGCUGGAUUCGGGUAUUUGAGAUUGAUGCCAGCUGUAACCCUUGACUGUGCGCUUAUCUCAGCAUUAGUGGAGAGAUGGAGAAAGGAAACAAAUACCUUUCAUUUUUCAGUUGGAGAAAUGACAAUAACACUUGAAGAUGUUGCUCUUCUACUCGGAUUGUCAAUUGAUGGAAAACCUGUUACAGAUGUGGAUGUUGACCCCAAGUCACUUUGUGAAAAUUUACUCGGGAAAGCUCCAACAGAUUUCAAGGGUGCUGUGAAAUUAACUUGGUUGAAGGAGGUUUUCUCUGAAUGCCCCGAAGAUGCAGGGAUCGAACAAAUAGAGUAUUCUACUCGUGCAUAUCUCUUAUACUUGUUAGGCAGUACUAUAUUUGCCUCAACAAGUGGGAACAAAGUUAGUGUCAUGUACCUUUCACUAUUCAAGGAUUUUGAUGAAGCUGGGAAGUAUGCUUGGGGUGCUGCUGCUUUGGCUUUCUUGUAUAGAGCACUAGGCAAUGCUUCUCUUAAAUCUCAGCGCACUAUUAGCGGUUCUUUAACACUUCUGCAGGCAUGUAAGCUUGUUGCUCUUUUCUUUUAGUGUUCACGAAUGUUGGUAACUUAGGGUCAAUGCGACUAUCAUUAUCUUGCAUCUCUGAAAUGUCGUGUUCUCAUUAAAAUGCUGACACCCUAUCUGGAUUUUUUUUCCUCACCUACAUAACAGUGUUGGAGUUAUUAUCACUUGAAUAUUGGCCGGCCCAAAUUAAAAAAGGAUCCAGAGAAUUGUUUUCCGUUUCUACUUAAAUGGACGGAAAAUAGAAGUGGUUCCCGAAUGGGAAUAAAUUUGCCCACAUACCGUAAGGCCUUGGAUUCUCUUCAGCCCUCUGAUGUAAGUUUCCUAUAAUACUUCAGUAUUUCCCCCUUCUGUAUAAUAGAAGAUUGUAUGACUUUUUUGUUUAUUCAAUAUAUAGGUACAAUGGCUUCCCUACAAGGAUAUGGACUUUUCUGUUGUACCAGAAGAUAUCAAGAACAGUUUGGUCUUGCGCACGUCAAGAACAAUGCUAAUUUGUUUUGAUAAGGCUGAGAAACAUCUUCCAGACCGAUGUUUGAGACAGUUUGGCCUGCCUCAACCUAUUCCGAAGGACAUUGAGGAUUGGAAGCGGAAAAUUUCUUCAAUGGAUAGCAAGGAGGAACUGCCACCAGAGCUCAAAGAAUGGUCAGAGAGGUAUGAAUUUAUCAAUAAUGGUGUUGAUAGUGUAGACGAAAGUGAGUAUCUGCAAUGGUAUGAAAAGAUCACCCGCAAAUUUGUUGGACGAGCCGAAUCGUGGGAGUCAAGAUUUAGACAAACAAUUAAGGCUAUGCAUGAAGUUGUGAAGAUAGUAAAUUCAAUCUCCACGAAUGGGAUGGAUCGAGAGGAUCGCAAGUUAUUCAGUAAUGUGAGAACUAUGGUACAGAAAUGUUGGACUGAAAAAUACGCUGAUUCACCCAGUGAAGGGGAUAGGGAUAGUGCAAAACGUACUGGGAAACGUAAGAGAGAAGGUUAAUCAAAUAUUGAUGAUGGUUAGUCUCCAUUCCCCUCUAAAAGCCAGGGUUCUAUUGCACUUUCAAAUAUUGUUAUUCAGUAAAGACCCAGAAAAUGCCAGUGUGGAAACAUUUUGACACUUGAUAAAUGUAUGAGGCAGUUCUUGGGAUGGCUCAGUUUAUAAAAUCUUAAUUUGCCUAUGCUCUCCGGACGAACAAUGGAGCUGGGGCAAUUGGGAUAUUCCUACAAGAGUUUUCGGGCAAUUGGGAAUCAGUAGACUUCAGUAGACGUUUGAUGCAAAGUUUUGGAAACUCUCCUCUGCAAUGCAAUUGAUCCGGUACUCUUCCUUGUUUUUCCUUUGGAAGAGCGAAUAUUCCAAGGUACACCGAGGUAUUGGAAGUUAUUCAUUGGGUGACCUUUUCCAAUAAAUGGUUAAUUGAUGAUCACUAGAAAGCACUUCUUUUGUUCAAUUUAUAACUUGGGAGCAGAUUCCUUCUUUUUGUUGCUAAGAAAUAUCCAACUUGAAUAUAAAGGGGUUAAGACUUGUGUCCUGGACCAAGAUGUUAAGACUUAAGUUUGAAUCUCCUCUUACAUGGAUGAGCUUUUUAAAACUUGUUUUUAGCUUUCAGCAUGUGUAGCCUAAGAAUUCAAAUAUGAACAAUUCAAAUAUGAACGCGUCAUUGGCUUAUGGCCUGUUAAGUGAAGGACUUUCAAAGGACUCAUUUUUAUUUAAAUUCUUUUUAAAAUAAUCUUUGUAAGUGUUUAGAAGUUAUUUGAAAUAACUUAUUAUUCAUCACUCAAAGUUAAAUUAAACACCCUCUUAGUUUCAGCUCUGGAAGUUGAACUUUGAAAACAUUUGUAAGAAGAUUAUGAUACAUAAAAAAAUCUACUUCAACUUUGGUAGAUUGAACUAUGGUUCAAAUAUUAUAUGAUUGAAUCUUCACAUUUUUUGUAUUCCAAGUAUAAUCACAUUUAUGAAAUGCUAAUGUUAGAUAUGAAACACCGGUGAAUUCUUGUAAUUCUAAUUAUAUUUUAAAUAGUGAUUUUAAACCUAUAAUAAAUAAAUAUUGUAUAUGUAACUAUAACUUCUAGUGCAAUCUUGUAGUUUUAAUUAUUUUGGUAAUUUUUAAUCUAUAAUAAAUUGAUAUUAUACAACUAAGAAAAGUCACACAAAAUAAUUGUGAAAUCACACGAAAUAAUGGAUUGUUUCACCAUAUUAAUUAUUACUUUUACGUAUUUUGUUUUGCUUUUAACCUAGCAUGUUAUAAUUUUAUUGGAAGAAUCAAUUUACCAAUUCGUGCGUAGAAACCUCAACCUUCAAUAGAUGUCAAUAGUUGCACUUAAUAAAAUUGAAAAAGGAACCUUUAUUGUCUCUGAAAGAUCAUUUUUAUUGUUGACACUUCAAAAGCAAAUAUGAGAGAUGGAUAAUUCUCACAUAAAAAGAAGUGUUAUGAUAAAUGCUUGUCGAAUUACUGUCUUGAAAGCAAUUACGGUAUGAUCAUGAUGUAACGUGCGCUCGCGAUGAUGUGGAUAUAAUCAAUUGAAGUGUAAACAUCCAAACUUAGCUACUAUAUGUAACUUUUGUAAUACCAGUAAAAAUCUGUUAUAAUAAGUCGUGAUAUUUAUAAUUAGUUGUGAUUAUUUAAACGUUUAUGAAAUUCCUAAGUGUUAAAGGGUAAAGUGUGUUGGAUUGAAGUGAAGUUGGUACGGAAAAAAGGGUGACAGGGACGCAUUCAAGAGACACAGGAGAAUAAUUAAUUGAAAACAUGUGAUGGAAUUUACAAGGAUGGAUUGAACAUUUAACUCAGAAAACAAAAGCAAGAGAUAAACAAAAAUCAAAGUAAAUGGUAAUAAGUUAAAUAAAAUAAUUUAAUUAAGCAAAAAGGGAUAUUUACACCAUUAAGUAAUUUAAUUGAGCUAGAAGUUAACGAGGAAGAAAACGAAGGUUAACUAUGCACAAAACAAUCAAAUUUUGAAGUAGGAGGUGUCAACUUCAUAUGCAACAUCAGCCUGCAGAAGAAGUUUAUUUAAGGAUAACCUUAGCCAAUUGUUCUGAUUUCAUUGGCAAGUUAAACUUGAGAGAGUGUAGUUUAUGUGAGUGUAAUCUCUCUUUUUUUUUUUAACAAAUGACAAAUACGUUUAUAGAGUUUCAAUUAUAUUUACUAGGUCAUGGCAUAUUCAACAUCUUUUAAAGCGAAUGAAUCAAUUAUAUGUACAUAAAUGUGAAUACGUAUAUUACAUCCUUAAACUUUGAUUAAGUAGAAAAAUAAAUAAAUAAAAAGUUUAGAGGCUUGUUAAUAGAUUUAAAAAUUUAUUAGACACAAAAUUAGAAGUUGAAUCGCGGUUAGAAAUUCUCACAUUAUUAUACAAAAAAAAAAGGAUUGUAAUAUAUAUCAAUUUAAAAUUUUUAAACAAUUACAUUUGUAUCAACAUAUUUUAUAAUCUAUUAUAUUUCGUUCAAAAAAUACUAUCACUCACAAUCAUACUAAUCAAACACGUGAGAGAAUUAAUGCAAGAACAAUAUUGAAAUAUAAACAUAAAUAAUGGAUCCAAUUGAUAGUACUUACAAAAAUUCAAGAGUUUAAUGAAACAGGAUUGUGGGUUGUAAGUUCUUUAAAAGUAAUUUACAUAAAUGGUUAAGUAAUUUACAUAAAUGUAACAAACCAAAAUUAUCAUGGCUCGUAUGAUAAUAAGUCUAUGAUACAAUAUUUUUUUUUUUUUUUGUAAAUUAUAUAUAUGACCUUUCGAUUUAUAUCUUCUUUACAAUUUAUUAAUCUUGAGUCAUCUCGGUGCAAUUAAGGUUCCAAGAUUGAAUAACUAAAGACAUGCAAAAGUCUUUCAUUUCGAGACAUCUCGAGGCAAUGUAUGUCCGAGAUCGAAUAAAAUAAAGACAAUUCUUUCAUCUUCGAGCCAUUUUGGUGCCACUAAGGUCUGAGAUCCAAUAUAACUAAAGGAAGAAUGCUUUCAUCUCGGGGCAUUGUAUACCCAAAAUCGAAUGUAUUAAAGGCAGAAUUCUGUCAUCUCGAUGCAUCUCUAUACAACUAAGGUCUAAUGUCAUGUAUUGUAAUCUACAUGAUCGUUUAAAUUUGAAAGUCAUCGUUUAAAAUGGAAGUAUAGGAUUGUGUAGAUCUACAUUUAUGUCUUUCAUCUCGAGUCAUCUUAGUGUAUUGUAUGCCUCAGAUCGAAUGAAUUAAAAGCAAUGUUCUUUCAUCCCGAGGCAUCUUGGGGCAUGGUAUGUCCAAGAUCGUAUAUCAAAAUCUACAUGAUCGAGCGUAUGUGGUUGAUUUAUCACGAGUUGACAUGGGUAAUUAUGGUACUUUACAUUGUGGGCCUAUGGAAUUUUUUCAAUUUUCAAAAUUGUUUUAUAUAAUAUAAAUAUUUUGCCAGUUUGUUAUAUUUUUUAAAAACUCUAAGUUUUACAUAGUGAAGUUUAAAUUGAUACAAUUAUUAGUCUAUGGUUUAAAUUGAUAUGACCUCAAAGUUUAAAGUUUAAAGGUUAAUUUUCUUAAAUAUAACAAAACACCAAAAUAUUUAUGGUCAAUAUAACAAAAACGAAAAGCCCAUGAAGUCAGUAAAAUAUUUUGUAAAUUCUAGAUUUGCUCUUGAUAUUUUGAACGAUUCAUCACUUCUGUUUUUUCUUCUUCUUUGCAAUUUAUUCAUCUUCUCUUUCAAAUUUCUUCAGCUCAUCUUUUCAUAUUUUCUUUCUUCUAUUUUUAUUCAUCAUCUUUUUUUCUUUCUUUCUUCAAGCUCAUCUUCCAGAAUAUCAAGAUCGUUUAAAUAUCACUAUGAUAUUUGAUAUGAUCUAAACGAUCGCCUACCUAGUCAACAUGAUCGUUUAGAUUUGAAGUCCUUUUCACAUCGUUUAAAAAGGACUACAUAUUUGUGUAAAUAUGAUCUAAGCAAUCGCUUACCAUAGUCAACACGAUCAUUUACCAUGAUCAACAUGAUUGUUUAGAUUUGAAGUCCUUUUUCCAUCAUUUAAAAUGAACUACGCGAUCGUGUGGAUAUGUUCCAAACGACCGCUUACCAUAUUCAAUAUGAUCAUUUAACAUGCAUGGUCAACACGAUUGUUUAGAUUUGAAGCAAUUUUUCCAUCGUUUAAAAAGAAUUAAUUACACGAUCGUGUGGAUAUGAUCUAAAAGAUCGUUUAGCGUGAUUAACACGAUCGUUUAGAUUUGAAUCAUUUUUCUCCUCAUUAAAGAAAACUACAUGAUCGUUUUGAUACUACCUAUAUGAUCGUGUAUCAAUUCCUAGACAAUCGUGUAUCAUGAUCGUUUAGUAGACGAAUUACAUACAAGCAUAUGAUCAAUUAAUCGCGUGUUGACUGGGAAUGGCGGAUCCAAAAAUUUUAUAUAGUGGGUCAUCAUGCACUAUAUAAUAUCACACUAAAAAUGUUUAAAAAAAAGAUUUCGACAUUUCGUUGAUGCUCCAAUAACGACAUUCACUACAUUUAUAGUAAUAAAGAAAAAACUAGCAAUUUCCACGUCAUAUUUUGUAAUGUAAACGUGAAUUUAAAAAUUGCAUAAAAAAAGAUAAAGAAAAGAAUAAUACUUUUUUCAUAUAAAUAUUGUUGAGAGAGUGGAAAUUUAGAUCAUCAUCUUUGUUGCAUUUUUUUUCUAAAUACUUAUUAGAUAGCGAACGACCACUAGAAAAAAGUUAGAAUUUUAUCUUAGUUAGGUUUUGUUCAUUUUUUAAAAAAACUAUUUUAUAACAUUAUUGAAACUUAUCAAUAAAAUUGAAAUUUGGAGUCUUGAAUAAAUAAAAUUAUUGAAAUGUUACUGAAUUAACUUGUAGUCUUUAAUUUUGAAAUUAAAUUAAAUUAAUAUAUAAUGUGAAUUAAAAAAUUACACAAAAUGUUUUUUUCUAAAUAUUUGUUAGGUUAGAUAAGUUUUUUUUUUCUUUUUAAUUAUUGAUUGUUUGAAAUAAAAUUUAUUUUGUUACAAUUUAGAAAAAAAUUUAGAGAUUUAAAAAAAUAAUUGUAAUAACCGUUGAAGAGUGAGCCAACAACCAUUGUACUGUAACUAAAAUUUAGCUUAGCUAAAUUAAAGCAUUAUUUAACCUAUGUUUACGAUGAUAUUUCAAAAUUAAUAUUAAAAUAUAAAAACUCAUAAUAUGACAUCUUAAAAUUAAUAUUAAAAUAUAAAAAACUGAUAAUACAACCGCAGCAGUUGUGUUGUGGAAUAAAUCUGCCCAAGUAGUAUUAUUUUUUAAAAACCCAAGUUUAAAUUGAUAUUUUGCGGUAUUUUUAUUUGGUGAAGUUUACUAUUAUGUAAUGAAAUAUUCCACUUGCUCUUAUGUACAUAUCAAACUCAUAAAUGUGAGAAAGGUGGGAAGCUAAAGUUUAUACAAAAACCGAAAAUUAAAGAAUUAAAAAAAUGUGAAGAAUAAUGGUUACAAUGAAGCAAAUGUAGAAAGCGAAACAAUAACGUCAUCAAGCCAUCCCUCACUCACACAAGACUCAUACAAGUCGAAGCUGCCUUAGCCAAUACUCUAACCACAACAGAUCUAUACCUGAGAGGCUUAAUCAACCUCCACGGGCUGAUUCCGCUCUCGUACCCAUCCGCGGUGACAACACUUACCGUCGUCUCCUUCGGAACCACGUGGAACAUCGGGGUCGGUGCUAACCGAGCCUGUCUCUUCCGAAUCUCACUCAACUCUAUUCUCGACGGAGUUUUUGUUAAUCCUAUCAACGCCAUCGGCCUCCUCGAAUUACUCCGUUGAAUUUCAAAUAAUCCGCCCACUGCAGACGAAGAAAACGGUCUCGAUCCAUUUCCGUACCGAAAGCUCUGGUUUCGAAUCAACGAUGAUUCCGAUCUAUUUCUAGAACUUGCAGAGUCUUCAUCUCGGAAUAUGUCCAAAGUCCUCCCGCAGAAAACGAUUUCACUUGGAGGCAACAAUGAACUUGUUUUCCGCUUCAAAUCGGUGCGAAAUUCGAAGAAAUCUUGGCGAUCGUCGUGAUCACUGCAGGAAUCCCCGGCUUCCGAUUGUGGUUCGAGAAUUGGAAAAUCACGGAAAGAGAGAGUGUCUUCGUCGUCUUGAACGUCAAGGACGUCCAACAAAUCUGGAUUAUACUUCACUGACUCCAUCGAAGCAGAAAGAAUGGUUUUAGAAAAAGAAAAUUGCGGUGAAAUGAAGAUGAAGAUGGAAUUGGUGGAUUAAAUAAAGGGAGAAAGAGGAAAGAAGGAGGAUGCUUCCUUUGGAGAACUUCUGGAAGGGUGGAGAUUGGAUUUGAUCCACCAUGAAUUAUAAUAUGGUGUUUUUUUAGCUUAAGCGUGUAUGCCAAGAUUUUCAAUACGGAGACUUUCUAGAAACACACUUAAGACAAGAGACUCUCUAAUAAAACUUUUGUUGUAGUUAUUAUUAUUAUUUCUAUACAAUAUUUUAUUUUAUUUUUUAAAACUUUAUAGGUUUGAUUGAUUAAUAAAUUUACAUUUGCACUAUAAGUUAUAAAUAUUUGGUAACAAAGUUGUAAAUAUUUUAUAUAGGGCUUAGUUGUAAAUAAUUUGUCUAUUUUACUGCAUUCUACAAUUCCUGCUUAUAUAUAAUUGGAAGUCAUCUAUUAAAAAUACUUUUAGGAGAAUAGACUAACUAAUAAAUAUGUGAAGAGUUAGCAGUUGGAUGAUGUGUAUCCAUUGUAUUUAAUAGAAGUGGGGUUGACAAAAAAAUAAUUUUUAAUAAUAUAUAUAUAUAUAUAUAUGUAUGCAUGCAUGCAUGCAAAUACACAUACAUCUAUCAUCUAUAUAUAAUAUAUAUGAAAAGCUAAUAAAAAAAACAUUUUAAGACAAAUUUGUCCCUAUGCAUUUUAAUUAAUCAUAUAUAUUUUUUAAAAUUUGAAAUAAAUAAACGUUCUAGAAUUAGAUGUAUUAAAUUAAAAAAUUAUUAGGUAAAUAGAUUUUUAAAAAACCCGUAACUUAUAAUUGAAUGAUUAGAGUAAUAAUUAACUAGAAUUUAAUUUACUUUUAUAGAUUGAGCUUUAGGGGCCGUUUGGAUGAAGGGUUGAGUUAUGGAAGGGUUAGGGUUAUGAUAAAACUAGUUUUAUGAUAAAAGUUGUUUGGAUGAAGGGUUAUGUGAGUAGUGUUAUGAUAGUGUUAUAAUAAUAUGUGUUUGGGAGAAGGGUUAUGUGAUUUGUGUUAUGAUAGUUUUAUGAUAAUAUGUGUUUGAGGGAAGGGUUAUGUAUGUAGUGUUAUAAAAUUUAUUUUUUAUACAUUUUUUUUAAAAAUUCAUAUUCUAAAUCCAACCAAAAUUUUGUAUAUUUAGUUUACUAAAUUAUUAUAUUUUCGUCAAACAAUUUUCAAUAAUUUCUUUAAAUUUGACGUCUUUUUCCAACAUUUUUUAGGUUGUCGUUAUGUGCAAAUAAUUUAUUAACUUUUUAAAGAAAUUUUGUAUUCUAAAUCUAAUACACAGAUUUAUUUGACGUAAUUGUUACGUUCAAAUAAAUUAUUUAUCUAAUCGUUCUAGUUUUCGUAACACAAUUUUCCUUAAUUUAUUUAAAUACAAUAUGAACUUUUUUUAAGUAAUCGUUUCGGUUGAAUAAAUUACUAUUUUUCUUUUAAGGAUAAAACAUUCUUAGUUUUUUCUUAUCUCAAUAUUAUGUUUUUUUUUUUCUCAUCUUUUUAAAUUAAAGGAUUGUUGUUCUGGAAGCAACAAAAAUGAUAAAAAAAAUUAUAAUAAAUCAAUGAAAGAUAUAAAAAUAAGGAAGAAGAAAGAGAAAAAAAAAAGUACAUUUUGGAAAAAUAUAGCAUAAUUUGGUAAAAAAUUAGAUUUAAAAUUUAAUUCAAAUAAAUCUUAAAUCAAAUCACCAUUGAAUUCAUUUUUUUAAAAGGAAAAUUCUUAUACAUUUCAAGUUUAAAUACUUCCAAAAAAGAUAUUUGUUAUCUUAGUUAAUUUAACGUUAAAUCCUCUUAUUUGAUUUUAUUUUGAUUUUUCUAUAAGUUUAAUAAAAUUCAUUUUUUUAAAUUUAUUUAACUUAAAUUUAUCCGAAAUAGUUUAGAUACAUAUAGAUUAGUUUUAAAAUAAAAUAUUUGAAAAGGUAAAAAACAAAUAAAAGACAUAAAAUAAUAAAAAAAAAUUAAAGUAAAUACAAGUACUAAAUGCAUAAACUAAUCACAAUUUAUAUUUAUUUAAAUUUUAUUUUGUAAAUAAAAUAAAUUAAAAACAAAAUUAUUUUAAGAUUAUUAAAUUAAUUGAAAAAACAAAUGGCAUUUGAUAAAUAAAAGAGUAUUUUUUUUUAAGAAAAAAUGAAAUGGUAAAUUUAUGGAGAAUUGAAAAAGUAGGAUUAGAGAGGGCUGAAGAGAUUGAGAAGGAAGAGAGAGGGGAAGAUGAGUUAUGAUAAACCUAAAACAAGGGUUAUGAUAACCCUUCCCCAAACAAGGGUUGGGUUACCAUAAACUUAACCCAAAAGUGAUAAUCCUUCCUCCAAAUUUAAUAAGAAAAAUGCUUGGCUAAUAAUUAAUUGAAUCCAAACCUACCAUAUAAACACAAAAUUAUUUUAAUGCUUCUCACAUUAUAUGUCAAUUUUUACUUUUUGAAGAUUGAAGAUUGCUCAACAUGAAGAUAGACGAAUGAAAUUGUUCAUAAUAAAAAAAUAUUUGUUAAUUUAUAUUUUGGGUGUGUUUAUUAUAGUUUCUACUCUUUUUUUUUAAUAAUUCAACCGUUCAUAGUAUUUUUUUUUUUUUUUUUUUUGUCUAUAGAAGGUACAUAACUUCAUUUUCUUAAACUUUUAGUUUAUCGAAAAAGAAUGGAUUGAUGAAAAAAGUUGUGAUUAAUAAAGUUUGAAGUUUUUCUAAAAACGUAUUCAACCAAAGUAAUUACAAUUGUUUACAAAUUUAUAUCACACCAAAUCAAAAAUAAAAAUAAAAAACCUCUUUGCAUUUAAAAUUUUAUAGUUGUUACAUUUAUUACACUAUGUUUGAAGGGACACAACCACUAUACGAGAGACAAAAUUUAGUAACACUAGAGCAUUAUUUAAUAUAUAUUGUAAUUUCAAAAUUAAUAUUAAAAUACAAAUAAAAAAUGUAAGAGGGAGACGAGCCCCUACCUCUUAAUAAAUCCGUCCUUGUGUGGAAGACAUAGUCAAACUUAUUAAAUGUGUACGUCAAGCUUCCUAUCUUCCUCCAUAGGGGUUAUUUAAGACCAUUAUAAGUGCAUUUAUGUGUUUAUAUAGCUAGGUUUGUAUUUUUUACUUAUUAAUUAGUAUGCCCCUUAAAAUUUGUGUCAUAUUUUCUAACCGUAUUCAUUCUAGCCAUCUUUAUCGAACCAUAAUUAAAAUUAGUUUAUUCGUAAAAGAAUUUCAUUAGAUAGAUCAAUUAUAGUAAACUUAAAUCGUAAAUAUAAUUGAAUUACUUUUGAUCACAUUUAUUUAGAGUUAUGAAUCCUUCACGUCUACUAUUAUUGUUACCAUUUGACUCUAAGUAGGAUCAAAAUUGUGACUGUAACAAUUAAAUGUAAAGAUAAAAUAACAAAUGUCAGUUCAUAAUUAUCAUAUGAUUACAAUAACAAUAUCUUAAUAACGAUAACAAUGAAGGGUAGUUAGUUCAACAUAAUUUUUAAGCAUAAUUGGAUAAUUAAGCACGUUCCUUAAUCAGAUUAUUUGAUUUGAUUACAAAUUUGGAGGUAGGACCUACGAUUGUUCAUUAAAAUUACAAAACACAAGUAAACAACAACAAAGAUUAUUAACUCGGGCCAACUUUUUAUAUUUUCAUUUAUGAAUUUCGAUUGAGGUAAAUGUGGCCUUACUUGUGUUUAAAUGGUGUUUGAAUUGGAUCUUUGCACAACUCUUGACCUUUUAAAUGGCUUAGAUUAAUGAUAUUAAAACUGUGUGUUUUCAAGAAUUGUCACUUUGUUGUUGUUUUUUCUUUUUUCAAAUAUUGCUUUAGAAUUGAUAUUUAUUGAAUUAGUCUUAGUCUUAUAGUUCUCAAAUGAAUUGUCUUAGAUCUAACAAUGAUUUAUCCUUCUAACUUUGUUUUAGAUUUGUAAGUGUUUGCAAAAAUCUAAAUUAGUAAAUGGUUCAGCAAUAGAGCAAUUUAAUGAAUGAAUUUUAUUUGGAUUAAAUUUUUAAAUGUUUAAUGUAAAAAAUAAGUUAUUCGGUAAAAAGUUGGGAGUAUUUGAAAGCUACUUAAAAUAGUUUUUUAAAUGUAUUUUAAACCAUUUUCACAAAAAUGAGUUUAAAGAAAAAUGAGUCGUUUCUUGAAAAAAAAAAAAUCUUCAGUCAAUCCAAACGGACCCUAUAUCGUUAUUGUGAAUGUCAGUUUGAUGAAAAAGACUAUAAAAAGCAUGAAUAUAAGAGAAAAGUAUCUCUAUUGAUGAGCUAUAGGAAGGAUGAUUCGAACCUAUAUAAUUGUAUUCCAGAAACAUAUACGAGCAUCGUAUGAUUGUAAAACAUUAAUAAAGAUUCACUAGGUGUAAAGAAAGCCUCCAAUAAACAAAGAGAAAUUGCAUUAGAUGACAAUACUUUUAUAUAAAAAAAGUAUAUAUAUAUAUAUAGCUAGUUUUCUUAAAAGAAAAUAAACGUACGUUAGUUAGUUCAGAUAUUUGUAUAUAUAUAGUCUAAUAUGAAAGAUAUUGCAUUAUUUGAUUUGAACCUCCAUAUGUCACAUGGUUUUUAGUUAGAAAACAGAUUAAAUUGGACCUUAAUCUAUAAGAUAUUCUCAAGUCAUCUAACUCUAAAUAUAAUAUAAUUUUCCAGGAUGAAACCUACAAAAUCUAUAAGAUAUCCUCAAGUCUUCCCAACUCUCUCUAUAUAUAAAUUAAUAUCAUUUUCCCAAGAUGAAACCUAAGAAAACAAUCAAAGUCAUAAAAUGUAUCAAUAUGGUGUAGUAUUUUUCAAAUCAACUCAACAUUCAACAACUACACAUUUUGUCUUUUACAAUCCAUAUUUUAGGGGUUUUUUUUUUUGUUUGAGAAAAACAGUUUAAUCUAUCUAUAUAUGUACUUGUAUCUAUACUAUAUUAAAGUGUGAGAUUCAUGAGAAACAUUUUUAGUCUAAAUUAUCCUCCUUAAUUUUAAGUUAUUACAUUUAUGUAUCCUUACUAUAGUGUUUUUAAUUUUAUUAUUCAUUUUAGUUUUAAUUUUAAGUUAUAACAAGGGACACUUAAAAAAUAAAAAGAGGAAAAACAAGUAUUAAUAAUUAAGUCUAUAACACACAUUUAUUGUUUGUAAAAAUGAUAAAGACAAAACCAACCCACUUAUAUAAUAUGUGAAAUGCCAUAAAUGUCUUUGUUACUGAUAUACAUUUGAUACACUUGAUACGCACCUGAUACAUCUGAUACUCUUUGAUACACUUGAUAUACAUUUGAUACUUCUUGAUAACUUUUGAACCUUGAUACACACUUGAUGUACCAUGAUACUCUUUGAUUGUGAGACUCGUUUCUAAUUUGAAUAUAGGAAUUAAAAUUCGGUUAAAAGUAUUAAAGAAAUUGGUGUUUGAAUAAAUCUGCCGAAAGGAUUAAGCGAUAAAAUCUUUUAUGGUUAGUAUAAGUUUUGAGAAAAAGAGGGUUUGCAGUAGAAUCUAUAAGUCUAAACGCUCUAAAAAAAGUUUGCUUAAGUUAAGUUUUGACUAAAACGACUAGGCGUUUAGGUAGUCUUCACGAUAAGAACCAAGGGUUUCGUGAUAAAAAAGUAUGCGAGGAAGUCUUGAAGUUUAAGUUCACGAUAAGUGUUCUAAGCGAGUAAAAAUUGGUUAGUUCGCGAUGAAGGUUUCUUGUAAAAAUAAAACCACGCGAUAAGGUUAUUCGCGAUGAGUGUUAAGUGGUUAAAAUUAUUUGUGGUAUGGGCUUAGGCAGGAAGUAAGGUCUAACUAAGAAAAUGUCAAAUAUGAUUUGACAGGGAUUAACGUGUAAGGUUAAGAAGUUAAAGCAUGUUGGGUUGAGUAUUAAAUUCAUGUGUAAAGUUUUAAGCAGAAGCUGGCAAAGUGAGAAGAGUUUAAGCAUGACUAAGAUAGUUUAAGGGCUUUAUAAAUAGAGGGUUUGGUCAUUAAGUAAGAAAGUUUUAUUAAAAAAAAAAAAAGCUAAAAUGCUAUUGUUUUAAUUUGCUUUUGUGAGAAGGAAAAAAAAACAAAAUAUUAAGUACGGUGAUUUGUUCCGCGAGAAGGCUCCACAAGACGAGAAUGAAGAGGAAGAUUUUUGUUAAAGUGUGGUGAGUGGUUUUCUUCUUAAAAGUUUUGUGAUUCUGCUUUACUAUUUUAAAAGAUGAUUUCAAAUGAGAAAGUGUUUAAAAAAGAAAUUUCUAUGAAAAGAUUAUAUGUCUUCAAGCAUGAUUUAUAAUGUUAAAGCUUGAUUUGAUGAUUACGAUUUCCUAAGAAAUGAUUUUCAAAACAUUAGUUGAUUCCUUGAGAUAAUAAUAACUUUUAUGUUCACAUAAAGAGUCAAGGCCACCAUGGAGUGUAUGGACUACAUGGUGAUAAGAAAUUGGCUUAUGUGUUGAAAGGAGUGUAUAAAGCUCAGCAGUCUAAGCAACAAGGAUGAAUCUGUAUGUUCUCAGAUGUUGUUGAUACAGUAGUCAAACGCAAGGUAAUGAGACCAAGCGUAGAUAAUGAUUCAGGAUCCUUGGCGAAAGAAAUAACUAUUAACUAAUUUGUGUUUAUGUGAAAUUGUUGUGUUAUGAAUGUGUUUGUUAAGCAUAAAGAAAGAUUUAUGCGAGAUGAAAUGAUUUGAUAUUAUUUAUGCGAAAUGAUGUUUAUGGAAAUGUAUUGCGAAAAGGAUUUCAUAAAAUCUCACUAGUCUUUUAGACUUAUUCUUUCAAAAAUUCAUCUUUCAGGAUCAGACGUUUAGGCCAAGUAAAGAAGAAGGUUGAAGGAUUUGCGACGAAAUAACUCUAGACCUUUUGGAAAUGGUUAAACAUUGGUUAUUUGAUCAAAGUGUUGUAAUUAUGUAUCCAACGCCUGUUAUUAAUAAAAUAUACUUAUUUAUUAUAUUUGGCAUUUAGGUUGACCACAGUUGCAUUUUGAGUUUUGUUGAUAGUAUAAAAGGAGUUGAGAAUAAGAUUUUGCGAUAAAAAAGUUUCAAUAAAUGGCGAUAUGCAAUGUGUGGGAAUUUAAUGCUCUCCAAGCCGAAGGGACUUGGUCAUUAGUUCCUCGACUUCCAUCUAUAAAUGUUGUUGGUUGUAAAUGGGUUUUCCACACGAAAUAUAAUCAUGAGGGCUCUGUUGCUUGCUACAAAGCAUGACUAGUUGCUAAGGGUCAUCAUCUGGUACAAGGCUUUGAUUUUGAUGAAACCUUUAGUACUAUUGUCAAAAAAACUCACUAUACGAGUUAUUCUGGCUCUUGUUGCUUAAUGCAAUUGGCAUUUAACCCAGUUAGAUCAAAAAUGUCUUUUUUCAUUGUCUUCUCUAGGAAAUAGUUUACAUGUCUCAACCUACUAGCUUCCACCAUAAAACAUAUCCAAAUCACGCGUGCCUCCUUUAGAAGAGUCUUUAUAGUCUCAAACAAGUCCCUCGUUCUUGGUUUGAUCGAUUUACAUCUUAUUUAUUUACCCUAGGUUUUGUUGCUUCUACUGCCAAUUCUUCAUUAUUCAUUUAGUUUGUUAGGUCUUCUCUCACUUACUUACUUCUAUAUGUAGAUGAUAUUAUUGUCACUCUUCGUAUAUUUUUAUUCUCAAACAACAAUUGGCUCAUGAGUUCCAAAUAUCAAAUCUUGAUCCUUUAAAGUACUUUCUUGGUCUCAAAAUACAUUCCUCCACUGAUGCAAUUUUCCUUAACCGAGCCAAAUAUCUCACUGAUCUUCUUCACACCUCCAUAAUGUCUUUUGCAAAAACUUGUGCCACAUCAAUGUCUACUUUUAUUGAUCUUUAUACCACUACCCUGCCAUUUAAUGACCCCUCCUUAUAUCGUUGGCUCAUUGGUUCCUUACAAUACCUUACUUUUAUCUCUCCUAAUAGUACAUUCUCUAUAAAUCAUGUUAGUUAAUUUAUGCACAAACUCAUUGUUAUUCACUUCUUUGAAAUCAAACGCAUCCUCCGAUAUCUAUAUAGUACUUCGACCAUUGACAUAAAAUUUUUACAACUUCGUUAUCUCUACAAACCUUUUGUGACUCUGAUUGGGCUGGAGAUAUUUCUGAUUGAUAUUCCACCUUUGGAUUCAUUGGCUUCCUUGGUUCUAAUUCAAUAUCUUGAUCUUCCAAAAAGCAACCUACAGGUUCGCGUUCUUCCACAUAAGCAAAAUAUCGCUCACUCGCCACUACCACUACCGAUCUUUACUGGAUCCAAAAACUUCUAUAUGAUCUUCAUGUUCCACUUAAGUCUUCAACAACGUUAUGGUGUGAUAAUGUUUAUGUGUUUCAUGCUUGAAUAAACACAUUGAGUUUGAUUACCACUUUGUUCAAGAAAAAAGUAUUUUGCAAAAACAUUCAUUUGUUACAUCUCUUCCAACGAACAACUUACUGAUCUACUAACAAAGCCACUCUCAUCUCCAACAUUUCUACAACUUCGAGAUAAAUUGCUGACUCAUUCCCAGCGAUCCGUUUUAGGAAGGGUAUUAGAGGAUAUUUUUAGAUUCACAAUUCUCUCCACAAUCUACUCCUCAAUUUCUACCCUUCAAUUUUGCCUAAAUUAUAUAUUCGAUUAUAUUGUAAUAUUUCCAUAUUGUAAUCUCUUGAAUUGUAUAUUUAUAGCAAGCAUUGUAAAAGAAAUAAGAUAUGCAAAAUACAUUAUUCUAAAAUCCUUUCGGCCACUAUAAUUUAAAGCAUCAACAUGGGGCUUAAACAACCAAGCUUAAACAUGACUUAUAAUCAGCACAUCCUUAAUCAAAUAAAUAUUAAUUGAAAACAAGAUUAGAAGAUAAAGAGAUUCAAAUUAACUAACAUGAAGUUCAUACGUACUAAACCAUAACGAAGAACAAAAACGACUAAAAAUUUUAUCUAAUCUACGUGUUACUUUAUGGUUUUUUUCCAAAGUUUCACGAGUCAAGUAGUGUAGUUUUUUAUAGUAUUAUCGGAAACUUACAAAUUAAAGAUAAUGACAAAAAGAUUUAUCCCCCUAAUAGAGAAAAAACUGUAUCGAAAUGGUCAAUCUCAAUUUUGAAGCCAACAAAAAAAUGAUAGAGAAGUCUUGUAAAUAGCUUUAGAUUAGAGGGUAUAUAAGAAAAUUUCAUGGGAUUUAGAUGGUGAAAUUGGGCUUUGACUGGGCCAUAAAAUAAAUGGGCCUAGUGGCCCAUUAGGGGAUGUAAGAAAAUGAAAAAAAAAAAAAAAUUACAAAAACCAUGUUGCAGCUUCGAAGUACAGCAAGGGAAGAGUUUUUGCUUCUGGAGAAUGACGAGGGCCGCUCUCUUCCAUUUGCUACGAUCACAAUCCAAACAUAUCUCGAGAAGAAAUUACUAUUCAGGUAUGUUUCUUCUUCCUUCUUCCAUUUUCCAAUCCCUCCUUGCAAGAAUGAGACAUUUUUCUUUCUCAAGCUUUCAAUUCUGCAAUUUUCAUGCUCCCAGUGUAGUAAAGAAUGUUAAAUUUCUUGUUUGCUUCCGAUGAAUGCGAUUAGAAAAUAUUAACGUUAGCCUUUAAUGUUCUGAAAUUAUCUCAAAAUUAUUUUACAAGACCUCUUCGUGAAGUUUUAUGCCAUAUGAUAGCUUGUCUAGCUAGGGAUCUUGUCUUGAAUAAUCUCAUUUUGAUUUUAGGUUUGAGAUAAAUUUUACCGGAAGAAUUAUGCAUGCUUUGAGUUGGAACUUUGGGUGCAUUUUGCUUCUCUUUUUUUUUCUACACCUAGCUACUGUCACGAACAUUUCAAUGUUCACUUGUUGCACAUGAAUUUAGGGAUUCUUGCAAAACUAGGUUUUAUUUCAUAUUUCGUAUGUGUUACUCCUCUCCUUGCUAAUUAGCUUUGAGGUAGAACUCCAUGUAUAUCUAAUGUGGUAUUAGAAUCUAUGAUAUCCGAAAAAACAUUCUUUGUAAAUAAAUUGAAAUCUGACUCAAGAAUGGUGAGCCCAAAGAGGCAUUAUGUUGAGGGGCAUGUGGAGAGGAGAUGUCAUAAUCUUUAUAGAACACACAAGUUACUUCUCUUAUUGUCAAUUGGCUUUGAGCUGGAAUUAUGUUUGUAUGUGUUCUCUUAAAGUAAUAUUUACACUGAAAGUACGCAUUUGGCUCAUCUCCUUGUAAGACAUCCCUUUUAUCUCUAUAGCUGCCUUGUUUCCUUGUUUCCCACUUCCAAUAUUGUAGUCUAGCAUCGUUGUUUGGUGGGUUCAUCUAAGUAUCACUAUGGAAAUUUUCUUUUUUGCAUAUAACACCCUUAUAAGUUAAAAAAGAUUAAGCAACAUCUAGUAAGUAAACAAAUAAAACAAUGCAAAUGAAAUUCUUGAUUGAAAUCAAGUAAAUUCACAAAAAUGUUGAGCAAAAAGCUAGAAAAUUUUCAAUUCUUUUAACGAGACCAAAAAUUUACUGGUAGAAAAGCACUGGAAAGCAUACAAUAUCAAGUUUUAGCAAAUAUAAUGAAAGGAAAUUGCUGCCCUCUAGGAUUGGAUGUCAGAAUUUACUAUAGUAUUUCUGGUUGUUAACUAUAUUUAGAUACUCAGUUUGUUAUGUGAUAGGGUGCUAGCCACUCAGGUAUUCAGGGUUGGGAGGCUUCCAUCUCUUCUCUGGCAGUUACUGAAGAUUCGUUUGUAUUUUUUCCCCUGCUUUUCUUCCUUCCCUCACAAUAACUUAAAAGACAAGCAUAAUCUUAGACCAAAUAUAUCCAGGACUAGCAAUACUUUAAUUUUUAGGUUAAAAAGUACAAAUAUUAAGCACUAGAAACAUGCUAAUCGGGCUUGGUGUAAGACUUUCUGUGGGAAAUAACUCCCUUUCUAUUAAUCACUUGCAAUUGCUGGAUGAUGCCAUUCUUGUUCUCUUACUUCGUGAAGUCCUCACAUUCUCGUUAUUAUUGUCAAGUCUUUGUAGAGGCUUCGGUCCCUACCAUAGGUAAGGUAAAUCAGAUAUUGCUGGCAUUGGUUGUGUGACCUCCAUCAUUAAGCUGAUUGCUCUGAACUUCAGCUUAGAAUCGGGACACUGGCCAUUUCUUACUUAGAGCCUCCUCUGUUUUUUCUUUAGACCUUUUUAUUGAAAGAUGAGAAAAUAAACUCUAAUAAAGAAAAUGCCUCAUUGAAGAAGGCAGGCAACCUUAUUUGAAUAGAUUCUCUCUAAUCUUCUUAUAAUAUCUAAUAAAGAGAGUAGAGAGCCCAGUGUCAAUUGAUUUUGAGGUGGAAUCUCAUGUUAUAUAAUGUCAUAAAGCCAAAACGGGUAUUUGAUCCAAUAGCAAAUUGAGAUCCAAUAAAAAAUGGUGAACCCAAAAGAGUCACAUCAUGAGGGAUCAUGUUGAGAAUCCCACAUGGAAGAAACCAAGAGAACUGAAACUCCUUAUUUUAGGAUAGGACCCCUUUGUCAAUUGGUUUUGAGAUGGAACCUCAUUGCUAAGAAUUCCACAUAGGAAAAACUAAGGUACCUCGCACUCCUUAUAAGAUAGACGAAUUUCUUUCCUAUUGUCAAUUGGUUUUAAGAUGGAAUUAACUCUAUGCUUGUGGGCUCGAAAUAUGAAAACUCAACAAGUGGAAAUGAAUAAUAAUUGGAGAGAAAACAACAAUGUAGAGGUUUGAGAAAAAACAACAAUUUAGAGGUUUGAACACAGGAUCUUCUGAACCAACCUGCUUUAAACCCCUCUUCAAUCAAUACCAUCUUAAAUUAUCAAUUGACUCAAAGUGGCUUUUUUGGAGAUUUAUUUGACAUGGAGAUUUCACCUUGAAAAGGAUAAUUUUUGGAAGAAAUUUGUUGUUGCUAGAACGGCAUUGCUAAUGAUGGAGGAAAUGUAUUUUGUUUACUUUUAAAAUUGUAAAUAUUUUUACUUCUGGCUCUUGCAUACAGUGCAUUGCAUAUGAUCCUACCCAACCCUGAGUACCUUUCCUACAUGUUGGACGAUCUUUCCCAUUCUUCCAUCAUCCAUGGGACUUGGUUUUCCUUGUAAUUGUUUAUUCAAUGAAGUUAGUUGUUCAAUUGUUUGUUAUUGUUUUUUUUAUCAGAAAAGCUUUAGUUAUUUUGACUUGGAAAGCGAGAGAAUUAUACAACAGAAAUAAGGAUGGUCUAUUGGUCUCUCUAUAUUUCCAUUAAAAGAAAGAAAUGGUUUUAAACUCAACUUAUAAGCAGUAUAUUGAUGUCUUUUUGUUCCCUUUUGUGAAGGAGUUAGCAAACAAACUCAAGACGAAUCAUUAUCUGAUGUCACUAUCCUUCAUGAGUCCGUCUUAUAUUUGUUAUUUAUUUUGGAUUUGCUUCACUCUCAAAGCCCUGGGCCUUGUCUUGUCUUGUUUUCAUUAUUUUUAAAGAUAGUAAUAGCUAGGGUUUUUCCUUCCUUAUUAACUAAGAAAAAUCGAAUUUACUCAGCCUAAAUGCAAAAGUUCUCUUGUUCAGAUUGGUUUUUCUUUUUCAUAUUUCCACUCCAACUAUGCUUUCUCUUCUUUAUGUAAUAUUUUUGUUUGCGCUUUGCAGUUAAGCUCUAGAAGACUAAAGCUCUUUUUAUCUAAAAGUAAGUGCUCUUUUGCCUCAGGUUAUCAUCUCCAACGAUCAACAGCAUGGAUCAAUGAAAAAUUUGUACCCACCAGCAACUUUCUUUCGCAGAAAAAUGCAGUCCAGAAGAGAUGGGCAUCUCAAGCUACAACAAGAGAAGAUGAUGGCAAGAUCAGCAUUGGACCCGGAAGAGGACAAGAAGCCGAGGAAGAUGAAAAAGAUGUUGCUUAUAUUGGGCCAAUCUCGUCAACUAUCAAAAAAGUCAAGCUUCUAUCUUUAUCUACAUGCUGCCUCUCUGUAUCACUCGGACCAGUCAUAACCUUCAUGACGUCCCCCGACAUGAAUGUGAUUCUGAAAGGUGUUGUUGCAUCAUCUGUGAUAUUCCUCAGUGCUACUACUACUGGAGCGCUUCACUGGUUCGUGAGCCCUUAUGUUCAUAAAAUUAGGUGGAAACCAGGUUCAGACAGUUUUGAGGUUGAGGUUAUGUCGUGGCUGGCGACUUACAUUCCACGAACCAUUAGAUUUGCUGAUAUUCGACCACCCGAAACAAACCGCCCCUUUGUGACAUUCAAGGCUAAUGGGAGUUUCUACUUCGUAGACAAAGAGCACUGUCAGAAUAAGGCACUCUUAGCCAGACUGACUCCUCAGCAACGCGAAUCAGCUCUUAGAAACUUAUGAUUGUCUUGGAGACUGACUUUUCUUUUUCUUCAUUGAGUUGAAGGCCAAUGAGAUGGCUGAACUGUUGUCAUAAAUCAUAUACUUUCACCAUAGACAAAUUGCUGCUCAUUGUACUGUUUAGAUCAAUUUUGGCAGAAUGGUUUUUUUAAAACACAAUAAUUCAUUCAUGUGUACAACCUUUGAUAACUGAUAGAUGAUACUACAUAACAUAUAUUACGUAGUUUGGAAUUUUAAAAAUAGUUUCUAUUAACAUAUUCUUUAUAUAUUUUUGAAAAGAUACUCACAUAGUAUAACUUUUCGUAAAUUUUUUUACUAUGUAAACCAUUUUUAUCCAAAUACUUCUUGGACUGAAUUUAAGAUUUGUUUAAAGUUUAGUGAUAAUGCAAUCUUAAUUCUUAACCUAAAAGUUCAAACUUUUUGUUGGUAGGAAGAUUUAAAUCCAAGAAACUAACUCCUUGUAUGAAAUUUAAAUCAACCAAAAGGGAAAAGGGAAAAAAAAUGUUAGAAUUAGAUUAUCUCUUUCCGGUAGGAUUUCAAACUUUGUUCCAUUCUACUGUCUCUCUACAAAUUUGAAGAAAAGUUGUUUGAAGAAAAGUUGUUCAAAUUUCUCAGAAAAAACCUCAAAGAAUGAGAGCUCAAAUUAGAUUAAUAAAAUCUUCGAUCAAGAUUAAAAGGAUGAAACAAUUGGUAUAUAGCAUUUUAUAGAGAUUGUAAUCUUUUCAAUCUAUAGACACAAAAUUCAAAAUAAAAUAUUAAAGAAAGAAGUUAUUUUCUAAAUCUCAAUCUUUUCAGCUACCAUCUUUAAUGUAUCUUCAUCUUUACAACCACUAUCUUUAAUGCAUCUUGCUCCAGAAACAUUAACUAAGUUAAAAUUGCUAAAGAAAUGUUAAGAAAACUAAUAACAGAAGUUAUCAACUUACGUUCGUUAAUUACAAUUGUGUCAUGAUACAUAUCAUCUGAUUUAGAAACUGAAUUUGAAUAACUAAACUAAAACUAUAGAAAAUUUAUUGAAAUUCACUAUUCUUUACUCUAAAAACGUCAAGUUGUUUUUUUGUUCAUCCAAAAUUACUUUUUUUUUUUCUUUACACCUAUCCAGACUAAUUUACAUAUACCACGACAAGUUUUCUUAGUCAAAACCCUACACAAUAUUUAGGUAACACAAAAACCUAGAAAAUAUUAAAACUUAGGUAAAUAGUCACAAAAGAUUGAAUCCAUACCGAUAGCCUUCUUACCAAAGUACAUGAAAAAUUGGCUCUUUUUUUCUAUUAUGCUAAUGGUUUAUUAUUCAUAUCAGGGUAGUGGCUCCGAAAUCAAGAAACCAACGUUGAUGAGGAUGAAAAGGGGAAGAGAGUUGAGUGAAAUGUGAGCACAAAGAGUGUGUUAAGGAUCCCGAAAUAGAGGGUUGUGAUGCGAGGAUUGUAGCAAUUAGAGAAAGUAGUGUGUCCAAAUCAGGUACAAAAUGAGGUUUAUUUGGUUUGGAAGACGACAAAAGAUUAUAGGGAUCGGAAUGGGGAAAGGAGAGGCAAGAUCAAUAGCAGGAGGCAAAGAAGAAGCAUAACUCAAUACAUUUGUGAUUUAGGGAAGAAGUUGUGAAGGUAGAGGUGAAUGUUGUAGAUUGGCCAAAUUGGAACGCACAUUAUAUGAACUUGCACGACGCUUCACCAGAAACGUAUGUAAGACCAUUGGAGCAGAAGUAGGUACCUGAACUUGCUCAUCUCAUGUCCCUUGUCUACUCGUUCAUAUAAAUUUCACGUAUUCACUUCAACAUAUCCGCUUUUGCAUUUUUAAUAUGAAUUUUAAGUAGUUUUAAAUAUAUAUAUAUACAAACUCAACAUAUUAAACAAUAACAAGAAACCCUAAACAUAAUUUUUUUAAACUCCACUUCACAACAAAAUUUUAAAACAAGAAAAGACCAACAAUAGUACACUUUAACAAUGGCAACUCCACUUUUGUUGCCAUUGCAAGUUGAGUUUAAGGUUCUUUUAAGCUUUUUGAUUCUUUCAAAAAAGAGAAAAAAUGGUUUUGAUGGGAAAUCAAUCAAGAAAUGGUCACAAAGGGGGGCCUUGACAAUAUACUCAAACAAAACAACGUAUAUAAGAAACAGAAACAAAGAUCAAUACCAGAAAAAAGUAGUUUGAAGUAAAACGAGCAUAGAACAUAUAACCUUAAUUAGGAAGGACUUGCCACCGCCGAUCAAGCACCCAAUUCUGAGAGAAUCUGCUUAACGACGAUGGAGGAAACUUAAAGACGCAACCAACGAAACAGAGACAAAACAAACCCCAACCAGAUAGUAAUUUAAUAAGAACCCACUCAUCAUUCUGACAAACUUCACCACAGCCAACGGCUACUCGUACCAUUCACUUCCCUGAUUUCUUUGCUGCAGACUUGGUGACCUUGGCGCCCGAUGCAUCCUUCUUCUCAACGGCCUUGAUGACACCAACAGCCACGGUUUGACGCAUGUCCCUCACGGCAAAUCGUCCAAGAGGGGGAUACGCAGAGAAUGUUUCCACCACCAUAGGCUUGGUGGGAAUCAUCUUAACAAAUCCAGCAUCUCCGUUCUUCAAAAACUUGGGCUCUUUCUCCAGUUCUUUACCAGAUCGCCUGUCAAUCUUAGUUAAAAUCUCGGCAAAUUUGACAGCAAUGUGAGAUGUGUGGCAAUCGAGUACAGGUGCAUAACCAUUUCCAAUCUGUCCUGGAUGGUUCAUGAUGAUAACUUGGGACGUGAAAUUGGCAGCUUCCUUGGCAGGAUCAUCCUUGGAAUUUGAGGCAACAUAACCACGCUUGAGAUCCUUCACAGCAACAUUCUUCACGUUGAACCCCACGUUGUCACCAGGGAGAGCUUCUUGGAGAGCUUCGUGGUGCAUCUCCACAGACUUAACUUCAGUAGUCAGUCCAGAUGGAGCAAAGGUUACCACCAUACCAGGCUUUAUAAUGCCAGUUUCAACACGACCCACUGGAACAGUUCCAAUACCUCCAAUCUUGUAGACAUCCUGAAGUGGAAGACGAAGGGGUUUGUCAGAUGGCCUCUUAGGCUCUUGGAUCAGAUCGAGAGCCUCAAGAAGGGUCGGUCCCUUGUACCAGUCGAGGUUGGUGGAUCUUUCAAUCAUGUUGUCACCCUCAAAGCCAGAGAUGGGGACGAAGGGAAUUUUUUCUGGGUUGUAGCCAACCUUCUUGAGGUAGGAAGAAACUUCCUUCACAAUUUCAUCGUACCUAGAUUUCGAGUACUUGGGCGUGGUGGCAUCCAUCUGUCACAUAAAUAGCCAAGUCAGUAAGUAACAAAACACGAAAAAACCAGAAUACUAAAGAAUCAGGAUUGACUAUAAACAUCAUUACCUUGUUACAGCAGCAAAUCAUUUGCUUGACACCAAGGGUAAAGGCAAGAAGGGCGUGUUCACGGGUCUGCCCAUCCUUAGAAAUACCAGCUUCAAAACCUCCAGUAGUGGAGUCGAUAAUAAGAACAGCACAGUCAGCCUGGGAAGUACCAGUAAUCAUGUUCUUGAUGAAAUCACGAUGCCCAGGGGCAUCAAUCACAGUGCAGUAAUACUUGGUGGUCUCGAACUUCCACAGAGCAAUAUCAAUUGUGAUACCACGCUCACGUUCGGCCUUAAGUUUGUCCAACACCCAGGCAUACUUGAACGAUCUCUUGUUCAUCUCAGCAGCUUCCUUCUCAAACCUCUCAAUAACACGCUUGUCAAUACCUCCAAGCUUGUAAAUCAAAUGGCCAGUAGUGGUCGACUUGCCAGAGUCGACAUGACCAAUGACCACAAUGUUGAUGUGAGUCUUUUCCUUACCCAUGCUUGAAUAUUAGGUCAAAGAACUGCGAAACAAGAAAAAGUUCACGAAAAAUAAGAAGAGCAAGAGCAGAUAACCAAAAUAUCAUUACUAAAAUUUGUGAAUAACCCUAAUUUUGUUAGAUUCACACAUCUAAAUAACGUUAAAAUUAAAAUAUCCACCACAAUAUCAACUCUUUUGGCUGGAAAACUUGUUGGUUAUAAAAAAAUGAUCGGAACUAGAACAGAGAAAAUAAAUAAAUAAAAAAAAACGAAAAACGACCAACCCAAUCAGCUAGACUAGAUUAAAAGCAGAUCUACGCGAUUGGCAGAACGACAGGGGACGUCUCGAUAGAUUGAUGAACAGAUACAUAAAACUAGCAUAAAAACAAAAGGGCAGGGACAAGAAGAAGAACAGAAGAAAUUAUAAUUCAUGCUAGGAUCUAGACGAGAAAAACAGUAAAAGCUAAAGAAAUAAGAGAGUAUCAAGCAUAUAGAAGAAAGAAAUCGAGAAAAGGAAGAAGAUAGGGGGAAAGCACAACCUGAGGAGAAAUGCUGCUGUUAAACCCUUGCGGCGAGAGAUGGAGAAUGGCAAUGGGAUUGAAGGGGUUAACAAUAGGGUUUGAGGAUCCUUAUAUAUGCAAUGUCUGAAUUCCUUUGUUGACGAAAAUACCCUUAUCAUAAUUUCAACAUUCCUACACAGUGGCUCUCAACAAUAAAAGAUUUUCGAAUUUACCUACUAGAUUCCAAAUAAAAUAAAGUAACAUUUUAGAAUAUAGUAAAAUUUGUCAAAUUCUAUCAAUGAUAUAAAUGUAUCAACGAUAGACAUGUUACAAAUAUUAGUCUAUCACUAAUAGACCAUACGAAGUCUAUAGUUUUGUUAUAUUUGCAAUUUUUUAAAAAUGUUAAUAUAUUAUUAAUUACUAUUCAUAAAAUGAUCAUCAACUACGAUUUUUAAAAAAAGUUCUUUUUUUCUCAACUUUCCAUUUCAAGUUAAAGGUUUAAAAAAUAUCAUCAAAACUCUUGGAAAGGUUAAAAAACAUGUUUAAAAAAUAUAACUAUUAAAAGUUUCAAAAAUUCCCUUGAAUUUAAAAAAUGUUAAAGGAAAAACUUUCUUAAAAUGUAAUAUGAACUAAAAGUGUAAUAUCUCGCUAAAAAAUAACUUUAAAUUAAAAAUGUCUUUAUCGUUAAUACAUUGAAAAUUUUAUUUGAAUUUGUUAAGUUUGAUUAGAUUGACAAAUAUUUGUUUUAUGGCUUUAGAUAUAAAAAUUGUGACAUUGAUGUUAUUUUUAAAAAAUGGAUGAUCUACCAAAAUGUUGAUUAUCCAAUAUACUUUUCCUACGAGUAGUUGUGUUUUCAAUUUCUCAUGUUGGCAUCUUCCUUUAUGUAGCGUGUAGUUGCUUUGGAGGUUAGGGUUGCUUAUUUGUGAUUUCACUGUGCAUAUUUCAAGGACACUUAGUUCUAAGGUUUGGGUUUUGGCGGUUUAGUUUGUUUUAAUAGCAACAUUUGUAUUGUCUUUAUGUAGUAUUUUCAGCUUGUGUUAGAAGAAGAGAGUGCUACGUGUAUUUGAGGCAUACUCCAUUCUCCCUACUACUGUGCAUUGUGAUGUACUGAGAAGAGAUUAUUUAUGUUUAGGGGAUCUUAAAUAUACCAACGAGAUAUUAACAGUUUCAAAUAAAUUUAUUACUAUACUAACGAUAGAGAUAUUUUUAAUUAUUUAGAGUUAGUUUUUGCAACGAGAUAUUAACAAUUUUAGAUCAUAUACUAAUUGUGAGAGUAAAUUUAAAAGAAUAUAUAAUUUAAGGGUGUUUUUUAAAUUUUUCAAUAAUUGAGGAAUAUUUUUAACAAAACUUUAACCUUCUACAUCCAAAACUAACAUUAAGGGUAUUUUCGAACCCUUUUCGAAAGUUUGAGAGUAUUUUUUAAACUGUUGAAAGUUUAGGGGUAUUUUUUACUCAAAAUACAAAAUUGGGGGGUGUUUUUUUUACAAUUUAGCGUUUUUUUUGUGUUUUUUCUAGGCCAAUAUCAAUUUAUACCUCUGAACUUUAGAUGUUGUAUCAAUUUAAACUUUGAACUUUCUUAUAUGCAUCAAUUUAAACUCUCAACUUUCACAAAUGUGUCCAAGUAAAACAUAAUGGACGAUUUAAAAUGAUUCAUGUUAUAAGUGUAAAGUCUAAAUUGAUACAAUUAAUAGUUUAGGGUCUAUAUUGAUACAAAUUUUAAAGUUGAGAGUUUAAAUUAAUACAAUUAUUAGUUUAAGGUUUAAAGUUCAUUGAUAUAAAUUGAAAUUAGCCCAAUUUUUUUUUAAAAAAAAACUUUAAACUAAUUAAAACUACGAGCCACUACCGUGAAGGCAUAAGUGAACCAAAGUAGGAAAGAUCAAGCCUAAGUUUUUCAAUGACUGACUCAACUUUGAAUCACUCUACUUUGUGGUACAGUCAACUCUUCCCUUUUUUAUUGAGUCAAGUUAAGUCGAAGCAACGAGACCUAGUGUCAUGCCCUACUCCAAAUGACUCUUCAUGCGACCAAGUGGAGGCAUGUCGCCUAGACAAUCAAUGCACAACUUCUGCGAGAUGGUACGCUAAACACCUAGUAAGCGGAACUACUUCUUACAGCACAAGGUUAAGCGCACAAUUUGUACUUUAAUGAAACAAGAGAACUUCAUUGAUAGACAAUUUACAAGAGUACAUUUGAUUCCUAUUACACAAAUCGUUCAAAAGAGGACACAGACUCAACAACGACUUGACUUUUCCCCACUUAGCUUCUACAUGCUACACGAGAUAAUAGUAGCCACUACCAAGACAAUGUGAUUUAGGAGGUACGGUAGACGAUCAAGACAGCAAAUUCUAUGUCAGAUGUCCUUUGCUACCUAAGGGGGAUGAAAUAAACAUUAGAAGGGUUGGGCGAAAAUGUCUAGUGAAUGGAAUCUCUUAACAGAUGUUUUAUGUAAAUUAAUCGUUUUUUUACCAGAUAAUCAGCUCCAGAACAGGUAUUAUAGCAAAAUGUGUCGAAUGUCAUUUAUCUCUUACAACACUACUCCGAAGAAAGAAUUUAUUUAAAACAAUAUAAUAGUGUUAAUAAUAAAAAAGAUCAAGAUUGAGGAUAAACACAUUACCUUCGUCAUUUUAUGAGUUUUGUCCUCCCACGUUAUGCAAACUUGUUGGAAGCUUUGGCAAUAGUUGUGGCUGAAUGUUGAAGCAAUCAUUCAAGUACAAUGCUAUUAAGUUAGUAAGUCGAGGGAGGCUUUGUUUGAGCCUUACAAAAGAAUUCUUGCUAAGGUCAAGAAUUUCCAAUAAGAAAAGACAUUUGAUAUCAUCACGAAUAUCUUCGUCCACAAUAUUGCAAUCACUUAGAUUCAAAUCUCUAAUAGGCAAAACAUCAUUACUCCCAACCAAAUCAUUCAAUGACCACCAAAUAUUUUUUGAAAGCCUUUCACAAUUCAAAGUUUCAAGACUCUUUAAACGAGCGAUAGCAUUUGGUGCUUGAUCUAUAAAUGUUCCUCCAUUGUCAAGCAUGGUAAGAGAUUGUAUUGUCCCCAAAGUGAAAGGAAAUUUGGUGGAGGUUUUUGCAGCCAUUCAAAUUGAGAGUUUGAAGUGAUAUCAAUUUUCAAAUUGAUGUUGGAAGACUUGAUAGCUUAGUACAAUCCCUUAGGUUCAAUUAAGUUAAGUGAGCUAGAAGUCCAAAUGAUGAAGGAAGGUCUUGUAUAAGAGUUCCAUCAAGGUGAAGUUCAGUUAAAGUUUUGGUUGGUUUUUCAAUCUUUGGUAAAGAUUUAAGGCAUAAAUUGGAAAGAAUUAAUGUUUGGAAUCUUUUGCAAGUUACUAGUUUAGAUGGAAAUGUUUUGAGAUUGACACAAUUUGCCAUAUGAACUAAAACAAGAUGGUUGAGAGUAGUAAUGGAAGAAUGAAUCACACACAAUCUUGCACAAUUCCUUGACAUCAACCUUUGGAGAUUUGGAAGCUUGGGUCUCAACCAAAUUCUGUGAUCCACUCACAUCAAACUCUUUCAACCUACUAAAUUCAUGUGGAAAACAAGUCCACACCAUCACAUUAGAUACCACUCUACUUCUCAAAUUCUUACCCAAAAAUAAAAGGAGAGUUGAAAAUUUGGUCAUUUGAAAAAGAGGAAGAAAAAUUCUUGAGAGAGAGUCGACUGAGAAAGUUGUUUAGAGAGAAUCUCUACAAGGAAUUUUUUUUUGAAGCAAAUAUUCCCAAUGUAGGUUUUAUUUAUUCACUUUAUUACUAUAUUUAUUUUUUUUCUUUAUCCUAAACAAUUUAAUCAAUGGAAAAUUUAGUUGAAUAGUGCAUUUGGCUCGGAUUUAUUUCCAAGAAUUCAUACCUCAUACGACAAGUCUUUCGGAUUUGAAUCAUUGUUUUUUUCUCUUUCUAAAGGUUGUGAGAGAAUUUAUUUUCUCUCGCUACUUUUUUGUAUAGUUAUUUCUUUUUCUAAAAAGACAAAUCUUUAGUCUUUUUCUUCUCACUAACAAAAAUAGAGAGAAAGAAAAGUGUUUUGUUUUUUAAUUUUUAACUAUCAUAUAUUUGUUUAAAAUAAUAUUAAAAACAUGACAUUAAUAUAAUUGUGAGAGUAAGAUCAACAAAGUAAAUACAAUAUCAAAUUUGGUCCUAACCUACUAUAAAUUAAUAAAUCCAUAUCCUAAUUUUGGUAGAUAAAAAUAAAUCCUACUCAAAUCUUUUAUAAUGAUUUCAUAUGAGUUAUCUAAUAAAUGCUAAUUACUUCUUCUCUAAUAUUCAAUUUUCUUAUUAUACUUAGACAUUACUAAUGUAAAGUGAGGGUGGUACGUUUCCUUUGACCAAAAUUUGAUAUCAUAUGCAUGUUACAUAUACGUGUGUGCAACAUGUAGAGAGUAGUGAAGGGGUGAACAUAGAUAUUGGGGAGAGAUCUACACAAUCAUGUACCAAAUUUAAAUGAUCCUGGUAAACGAUUGUUUAUAUUCGUAAGGAAAGAGAAAUGACAUGAUACUGGAGAUGACGCCGAAGGUAAGAUAUGACAAAGAAUAAAAAAAUUAUGGAAGAGUCACGAAGAAAUUAUGAAUAAGAAGAUGUGGGAAUAUGGAGAAUGAUUAGGACUAUGAUAUAUGAUACCUAAUAAUAUAAAAAAAAUGUGCAAGCAUAACUCGAAAUUCAAAACUAAUAAAGGUAAAUCUAGAUUUUUUUUGUUACACGGAUCAUAAAUAUUUUUUAGUUUUGUUAUAUAUAUGUGUGUUUAAUUAACCAUUUUUUAUUUAUUCAAUCUAAUUUAAUUUUUGUUUUCAUAUGAUUUUUUUUAUUAAUUCAAAUUUUAUUCUAGUGUUUUUUUUAAUAAUUAUAUAUAUAUAUAUAUAUAUAUAUAUAUAUAUAUAUAUAUGACAACAAAUAUGUGUCAUUUAUAUUGUUCACAAAUGACCUUCUCAUUAACCUCUAUGUGAAAACCUAAAUCACUUAUAUGUGACUCUGCCUUCUAGCCAUCGAUCUAUUUUGCUACUUUGGUGAGUAUUCGAUUAAGUUUUGGUACUUCCAUCAAAUAUCUCAAAUAUCUAUUUUUUUUUAAUUAUCCCAAAAAGUUGAUCUGAUUUUAACCAAAAUUGUAAAUCCCAAAAAGUUGAUUGAUUUUAACCAAAAUUGUUGAUUGAGUUAACUAAGCUAAGACGCAUAACUUGAUUGAUAUGAAUGAUUGAAAUGUUAUGACAAAUGAUAUAUUAAUCACAUGACAACGACGUUCCGAUUGAUAUUUAUGUCAUGUUAUAAUAUGUUACAUGUUAUGGACAAGUGUUCUACUAACUUUAUCUAAUUACAAGUAAUUCCUAAAAAUUUACGGUCUUCAAUUAAUACAAAAUAAAUAAAUUACAACGAUUAAUAUCGAUAAAUUAAAAAUUAAUGAAAACAUAGAUUUUAAAAUUAAAAAAAAGGUUGAAAGAUAGAUUAGUAUUAAAUUAAAAAUGAAAGAAUUUAGUUUUUAAAAAUGAAAAAUAAAAUUCAAAAUGAAUAAAGAUUAAAAAAAAGUAUAAUUUAGUUUUUAAGAAUAAAAUUAAAAUUCACAAAGAUAAAAAGAUUACAUGAAUUUUUAUUAAAAAAGUACAAUUUAGUUUUCAGAAAUGAAAAUUAAGAUUCAAAUAGAAUAAAGAUACAAAAAUUAUAUAAAAAAUAAAGAAAAAAAAGUUGAUUUAGUUUUUUUAAAAAAUCAAAUUGGAAAAAGAAAAUAUAUAUAGAGAGAGGUCCACAAAUUCUUUUAUAAACAAAAAUUAUAGAGUUUGAUAAUCUAAAUAAAUUAGGAACUAAUACACAUUCAAGAAGAUUAUAUUACAAAAAAUAUAUAGUUAAUUUUAAGUUUUAGGUAAAAGUAAUAAAUUGAAUAAAAUUUCAAGUAAAUAUUCAAAUAUUAAAAAUUUAAAUUUUAAAUAUACACGUGCAAUUAAAGACUAGUAAAUAUUCAAAUACUAAACACCCAUAUUUCAUUUGGAUUCAUAAGUAAAGUGUGUAAGAAAAAUUAUGAAGGCAAUGAGAAAGGAAUUGGUAAAUAAUGUGUUGAAACAAAAACGAUAAAUGUAUUAAGCAAUAAAUAAGAACUCAUAACAAGUCGUUUGAAAUAAAACAGCCAUAAAACAUAGAAAUUUCAAAGAUAAAAAUGGAAGACUUGCCACCGCCGAUCAAGCACCCAAUUCUGCGAAAAGCUACUCACCGACCAUGGAGGAAACUUGAAGACAUAACCAACCAGACACACACAACACACAACCCAACAACCACAGAACGUAUUAAUAAGCUUCCAGUCAUCAUGAUGAUUAACAUCAAGCCGUUGGCCGCCAACGGCUACUCGCACCAUUCACUUCCCUGAUUUCUUUGCUGCAGACUUGGUGACCUUGGCGCCGGAUGCAUCCUUCUUCUCAACGGCCUUGAUGACACCAACAGCCACAGUUUGACGCAUGUCCCUCACGGCAAAUCGUCCAAGAGGGGGAUACGCAGAGAAUGUUUCUACCACCAUGGGCUUGGUGGGAAUCAUCUUAACAAAUCCAGCAUCUCCGUUCUUCAAAAACUUGGGCUCUUUCUCCAGUUCUUUACCAGAUCGCCUGUCAAUCUUAGUUAAAAUCUCGGCAAAUUUGACAGCAAUGUGAGAUGUGUGGCAAUCGAGUACAGGUGCAUAACCAUUUCCAAUCUGUCCUGGAUGGUUCAUGAUGAUAACUUGGGACGUGAAAUUGGCAGCUUCCUUGGCAGGAUCAUCCUUGGAAUUUGAGGCAACAUAACCACGCUUGAGAUCCUUCACAGCAACAUUCUUCACGUUGAACCCCACGUUGUCACCAGGGAGAGCUUCUUGGAGAGCUUCGUGGUGCAUCUCCACAGACUUAACUUCAGUAGUCAGUCCAGAUGGAGCAAAGGUUACCACCAUACCAGGCUUUAUAAUGCCAGUUUCAACACGACCCACUGGAACAGUUCCAAUACCUCCAAUCUUGUAGACAUCCUGAAGUGGAAGACGAAGGGGUUUGUCAGAUGGCCUCUUAGGCUCUUGGAUCAGAUCGAGAGCCUCAAGAAGGGUCGGUCCUUGUACCAGUCGAGGUUGGUGGAUCUUUCAAUCAUGUUGUCACCCUCAAAGCCAGAGAUGGGGACGAAGGGAAUUUUUUCUGGGUUGUAGCCAACCUUCUUGAGGUAGGAAGAAACUUCCUUCACAAUUUCAUCGUACCUAGAUUUCGAGUACUUGGGCGUGGUGGCAUCCAUCUGUCACAUAAAUAGCCAAGUCAGUAAGUAACAAAACACGAAAAAACCAGAAUACUAAAGAAUCGGGAUUGACUAUAAACAUUAUCACCUUGUUACAGCAGCAAAUCAUUUGCUUGACACCAAGGGUAAAUGCAAGAAGGGCGUGUUCACGGGUCUGCCCAUCCUUAGAAAUACCAGCUUCAAAACCUCCAGUAGUGGAGUCGAUAAUAAGAACAGCACAGUCAGCCUGGGAAGUACCAGUAAUCAUGUUCUUGAUGAAAUCACGAUGCCCAGGAGCAUCAAUCACAGUGCAGUAAUACUUGGUGGUCUCGAACUUCCACAGAGGAAUAUCAAUUGUGAUACCACGCUCACGUUCGGCCUUCAGUUUGUCCAACACCCAGGCAUACUUGAACGAUCUCUUGUUCAUCUCAGCAGCUUCCUUCUCAAACCUCUCAAUAACACGCUUGUCAAUACCUCCAAGCUUGUAAAUCAAAUGGCCAGUAGUGGUCGACUUGCCAGAGUCGACAUGACCAAUGACCACAAUGUUGAUGUGAGUCUUUUCCUUACCCAUGCUUGAAUAUUAGGUAAAAGAUCUGUGAAACAAGAAAAAGUACGAAAAAUAAAUAAUAAAAAGAGUUGAUAGAAAAUAAGAAAAAGGAAGAUUAAAGAGGCAAAAAAAAAGCUCAUUAUUGAGACUUUCUGAACUUCACAUAUGGUAUUUGUAAAUCUAAAAUACCCACUCUAAUCUAAACCUCUAAACCUCGAUAAUCUAAACCUCUAAACCUCGAUGAUUAUCAAAAAAAAAAUUCUCAGAACUAACAAAUAAAAUAAACUGAAAAACAAAUUAAAAUGAAUCCAAUCCAAUCAGACUAGAUUAAAUGCAGACUAGAUUAAAUGCAGAUCUACAGAAGAUUAUCAACAACAACACUUACGUCGCAAAUAAAAUCGGCCAAUUCAAAACAAAACAAUGACAAAUAUGCAUAAAAGAUAAACAGGAAGAAUAGAAGAAUAAAAGAUAACGAAAAGCUCAUUAAUAAAGAAGUAAUACAAAAUAUAAAACAAAACUAGACUUCAUGAUCUACAAGAGAAGAACAAUAAAACGAAACUAGACUUCAUGAUCUACAAGAGAAGAACAAUAAGAGCUCUAAAAAUCAACAAGAAAAAUGAAGAAAACCUGAGGAGAAAGGUGUGCUGUUAAACCCUUGCGGCGAGAGAUGAGGAAUGAAAACUAGAUUGGAGGGGUUAAUAAUAGGGUUUGAGGAUUGUUAUAUAGUAUGUCUAAACAUGUUUUGUUGACGAAAAUACCCUCAACCAAAUUUCAUAAUUCAGUAGACCUAAACAGUAAAAAGUUGUAUUGAAACAGAAAAAGAUAAACAGUUUAAAAUAUCUCUUCAUUUAUUUGAAAUUAUUAUUUACCAUUACAAAUUUUAUGUUUGUUCACAUCUUCUAAAAAAUUUAGAUAUACAUCUCAAUGUUUAUUUGUUUAUUAUGGUUUAUAAUAAUUUUAUUUGAAAUAAUUAUAAUAGAUAGUAAUUUUAUGAAUAAUAAUUAAAUGUAUAACAAUUAUUUUUAAAAAAUUACAAAUAUAAAAAAGUAUAACAAUUAUUUUUAAAAAAUUACAAAUAUAAAAAAGUAUAUUUAGAGUGAACUUAUUUUAGUCGUAUCAGUUAUAAUAAUAUUGGUUGGGUUGAGAAUGUCUUCCAACCUAACCUAACCUAAUCUGAUUUAACUCCUACUUAUCGUUAACUUUUGGUUUUUCUUUUUAUAGGAUUAUAGUGGAAACCUGAGCUUAUUCUUUACAUAUUCUACAGCUUCUCAUUUUAGUGGAAAAUUUGAAUAAAGAGUUCAUAUCAAAUUAAACAAUUUGUUAAAAUAAUAAAGUUUAAAUAAAUGUGAUUUGAAAUAAAUUUAAUUUAUAGAAAAAAAACUAUAAUUUAAAAUAUAUUUUCUAGGAUGAAAGGUGAUGUUAUAUGGGAGUGAACUAUAUUUUCCAUCUAUAAGUUUUGUUUAUAAUUAGUACAUGGAUGUUAAUAAUUUUUUAUGAAUAUAUAAAUAAAUAUUGAUUUUAAUGAUAAAAAGUCCAUUCUUAUUUAAACAUAUACCUAAAUUUUAUAAUAAUUUUGUUUAGAGUUUUUAUCGAAUAUUAAUUACUUUUAUGAAAAUAAAAUAAUUUUAAUGAAAAAUCUAUUCUUAUUUAUAAUAAUUAUAAAUAUAACAAAAUAUUAAUAUAUUAAUAUGUACCAUCGAUAUAACAAAAUAAAAAAACUUAAGAAGUGGACCAUUUUUUAAAAUCCCAACAGGUUUGCUUUUUCUUUUUAUCUUUUUUCUUCGAUUUUUUUUUAUAUUUUUUGAAAUCAUAAUAUUUGAUCAAAAUAAUUUUUUAUUAUUUUUUUCGAGUGUUACUAGUUUAAGAUUGUGUACCAAAUAAAUGAAAUGUUGGUAUAUUUAGAUUUUGAAAAAUUAUUGUUCAUAUUGGUACAAAAUCUUAGAUUUGAGUAGCGAAAUCUAAGCUAUAUGAUAAUGAAUUUUGAAAAAAAAAUGCAAAUCUAACUAUCAUUGUGUACCAAAUCUAAACAAAUCAUGUACGGAAUAUUUACCAUACAUUCUUUCCAAACUAAAAUUUUAAGGUAAAUAUUAAUAUAAUCUUAAAGAGUUGUAUCAAUUAAAAGACUAAAUUAAUAAUUGUAACAACUUAACUCUUUAAGUUUAGAAAGUAACCAUCCAUUUCAGAUCUUGUUCAACUAAUAUGGUGUGGCAUUAAACUCUUAAAAUUUUAUACGUUGGUAAAUUUAGAUAUUUCUUUUUAAUUAUCUUAAAAUGCCACAUAUAUGUACUACUUUGGAAAGAAUUUUGAAUUAUGAUUAAGUAUUAGGAUAUAUACUCAUGUAUGUGGUUUAUACAUAUAUACUCAUGUAUUAAGAAAAAUGUUUUAUCCUUACUUUGUAUAAAAGUUUGUAAUAAUUAAUAUACAAAUCAAAUGUUGAAAUAUGUUUCCUAAUAUUACGAGUCUAAGGUCGUGUGUGUGAUUUUUUAACAUUUUCGGUUUUUAAUUUUGAAAAACAAUUCAUCUUGAAAAAAAAAUUAUUCAAAAAAUAUAUUUUUGCAACAUUUUCAAAAUUAUUUUAAAUAUUUUUUAUCAAAAGUAUUUAGAAAAUGAAAAUUAGGAUAAAUGAUAAAAACAAUAAAAAUAUUUACAAAAUUUAAUAUUUACUAAAUCUUUACUCGAUAUUUUAUCUCUAUGUCUUGAAAAAUACAUUAAAAUUUAGUCCAUAUAUUUGAUGAGUAGGACUUAGUUUCUAUACUUUUUGAUCAAACUCUCAUAAAUAGUCCUUAAAUUUAUAAUGAUUUUAUUAAAACUUUGGGAAAAGACUUCAUCAAACAUAAAGAUUGGAUUUAAAUUUUCUCUAAAUUAAAGUGUAUAUGACCCAAUCAAUAAUGUAAUUUAGUCUUACUUGACUUUAAAACCAUAAAUUAUGGGUAGAAUUAGAAGUAAACAAUAAUAGCAUAGCAAAUGAAAUCAAACUCAAAGUUAACCCAACAAAAGUUCACUUAUACAAGUACUCAAACCAUCCCCACCAAAUAAUGUAUCCAAUAGAUCACUUAUGAAAAACAUCCCACCAACGAAAAUAAAAAUUGUAUAGCAAUAACCUAUAAGACAACAAGAGAAACAGC